Molecule: long non-coding RNA, 131776 nt
Filed under: Arabidopsis lyrata
Lineage: Eukaryota; Viridiplantae; Streptophyta; Magnoliopsida; Brassicales; Brassicaceae
Description: long non-coding RNA (ALYR_LNC001091)
Rfam family: tRNA (bases 95813-95885)
Source: RNAcentral
UUGUUUUUUUCCUAUAGCUUUGCUGAUGUAAAUCUGAGUCACAUUGUUGACCAAAAACCAAAAGUUCACACUUUUUUCAUGACUCAUUAUUAGCAGUAAAUUAAUUUCCACACUACAUGCCAUAAAUGUCAAUUUCCGUUUUUAGCAGAAAAAUUACUUUAAAAUUAUAAAAUAUAAAAUAUAAAAUAUAUUAGUAUAAUUGUUAGGUUUUCUGUGGUUAUUAAAAUCUGUUUUACACAGGAUUUUGUAAUACAAAAUAUAUUUCUCUAAAAAGACAGCUGCAAUUAAUAUUAGUGAGUGGUUUGACUAACUAUACAAAGAUAGUCAUAUUUGUUUUUGAUAAAAUAUUUUCUUUUAUGACCUCAUAUAAAAAAUUAUAAAAAAAAAUCUUAAAUCACCAAAAAAAUAUAGUACACACAAAUGUCUAUUUAUGAAAUAUCCAAAACACUUAAAAUCCUAAUUCUAAUUAAAAUAACAUAUCUUAACAAAAUAUAGUAAUUAAACAAAAUAAUACAUAUUUAACUUAGUUUUAGUCAUACAUCGUCACAUAAAGUAAAUGACAAUAUCAACUUAUUUAACUAAAAAAAUACCGAUCAUAUAUUUUUACAUAGAUCUCAUGUCGAUUGAUGUUCUGACAUUACAUUGUGUCCUUUCAACGUUAAGAUCUCGUUAACGGCUAAUUUACUGUUCGUGCGAUAAUAAUUUAACCGUCGAUCAUUAAAUGCAUAACACCUACAUAAUACUCCAUUUGUUAUUUUCUAAAAACGUGCAUAUUAAAAAUUGAUUUUUAUAAAAAAAUCAUUUAACAUUUUUUAUUUUAAAAAAUUAACCUAUAGAUAAUUUCCUUUAUUUUUUAAAAAAAAAAUUCUUGUUUUUAAUUAUUUUAUUUUACUUAAAAUUCUUUUUAGAGUUAGGAUCUAGGAAUUAAUUUUAUCCGAGGCAAUAAUAUUAAAUAAUAAAAAAAACUCUAAUUUUAUUAACAAAAAUAAAUCUUCUAAGCAAGUUAAAGUAUUUGAUUAAUUUUUUCAAGUUAACGAAAGUGAUUUAAAGUUAUUUUCUUAAUGAAAUAUGAACUUAUUUACAAAGAAAAAGGCUUUUGUAUUGUAUUUGUAUUGUAUUAUAUAUAGAUUGGAUUAUAUGGACAUUAAAUUAUAGAUUGGAUUAUAUGGACUUUAAAUUAUAGUAUUAUACAACACAAAACUUCGGUGUAAGAUGAAAAUAGAGUAAUUGGGGGCAUUAAACAAGUACUUGACAGGGGCAUAAUUAAAAGCUCUUGUAAAUAACACCAACUUUGAAAAAUUUACCCGUGGCAAAUGCCCCCUUAUUCGUAACGUACGUCCGCCCAUGCGCUAUAGGUAAACCAUUAAUUUUCCGUUACCUAUAAGAACCCCCCCCCCCUACCUAUUGUAGGGUUGAUGCAAUGAGAGGUUGACUAAAUCAUACGUGACAUGUUGUGUCCCUAGGGUUUUGGUGGCCGCAAGCAAAAAUAACUUUUGGGCCACCUAAUUAUUGAUUUAUCCAAAAAAAAAAAAAAAUCUUAAAAAUGUACUUAGGGGAAAUCGAAUCCACGAGCCUCAACUCUUAAAACAGCACCCAUUAACCAGCAAAGCUGAUGACUUCCUACAGAAAUUGGGGCCGAUUAUAUUAAUAAACCCUUGUACGGCCGUAAGGUGGUGCUUGGCUCGCUUGUAGUCAUGGACGGCUCUGGUGUCACUCUUGAUGUCUAAAUUCCAGGGAUUGUGACUUGCUAUAGUGGUGAGAUUUUCACGAGGUAAUCAAGGAGUUGGCGGGUGAUGUAAAGUAAGUAGCAAUGGUAUUUGUGAGUGUUGUAAAGCAGACUACAACUAAUUAAGAGCAUCUCUUAGCCGAGUGACCUUGUAUACUGCAUAAUUGACAUCAAAGGGUUACGUUGUUGGUUAUUUUAUUUUGAAUUGUUCUAGGAACGUUAAUAAGAUAUGAAGAGAAGAAACAUGAGCCGAAGAAAGCAACUUAGCUUCAUGAUUGAGAAGUUUCUCAUAAAUCUCCAUGAGAGUUGGUGGUGUAUCACCGAUUUGAUCAAUCACCGAUUUGUAAUCUUUUAGAAGGUCUUUAGAUAUAUAUUCAACUUGAUCUUCAUGAUCAAUCAAUUUGCUAAACGGAGUUAGAUGAUCAAAUGUGGUUGAUAAUCCUUGAAAGUACUCAUUAAUAAUUUUCGAUCAUUUGUUCCAUUGCUUCAGCUGUUUUAUGUGGCAUAUAUAUGGUUUCACAAAUGUUGAGGCAAGAGUGGACCACACAUCUAAAACACUAGAGGCGCCAGAAUGAGGAAUCUGAAUGAAUAAUAUAACACCAAUAAAUAUAAUAUAAUUCAACUUAUAUUGCAGUAUGCAGGCUUUACGUUGUUGAUCUAGACCCGGCUUUAGGUGCUUUGAGUUUUGUUUCGUUUUCUUGGUGGCAGCUUGGAAUGAGAUUAAAUGAUAACUCUCUCCCGGUAUAUCUGAUCUUGGUGGGUCGUUAUUACCCUUUUAUCUCCUUGAUGGAGCAGUUUCUCUUCCCAACAUUCCCUCCUAUUUGGAGUGGGUUGGAUGUUCAAGCGUUGUCGGUAUUGCAAGGAUCUUCCUCCCGGCGUAUGCUCUUCUCUGCCUUUGAUGCAGUUGUUGUAACCCUUCGGGUUGCGUUGGAUGCGAUCUUCCGAGAUGUCUUCGAGAUUGUUGUAUUGCAAUUUCUUAUGGUAUCUCGUUAUGAUUUGUAUCGUCUAUCAAUCUCUUGUUUAACCAUCGGCUGGUGGUCCUUUUUGGCUUUUGAUGCCUUGCUUUCAAACUUCAUGUUGUUUGUAUUUUCCCUUUCCUUUGGAUGUAAUCCCUCCUCUUGUGAUAGAGUUUGAGGCCUAAUUUUAUUAAAAUUAUCAGUUUGACCAAAAAAAAAAAAAAAAUAUUCAGCUUAUAUUAGGGCUUACAUAAGGUAAUUCUAUAUUAGGACUCAUGGUACUAAAUUUAGUGACUGAGUGGAAUCUAGUUUUGGUGUAGCUCCAUCAAGAUAGGAAGCCAAGGCAUACCCAUCAAGGAAAAAAUGCACUUAGCAAUUCCAUAUAAGGUAGUUGGAGAUUGAACAUCAUAGUUUUGGAAGGGUGUAACGAAAAGAAGAGUUCUUAGAAAUCAACAUAGUCACUGGAGAAUGAGAGCGAGAGAGACAAAGAGAAGGAAAUAGAAAGCAAAAACAUAAAAGAGAUGUGAGAAAUAGAAAGAUAUAUUUAAAACUGACGAAGAGUUGGCUAGAUGAUUUUACCUUUAGGUACCUUUUGCUCCGAUAUCAUAUAUAUAGAACGGUAAUGAAUUGAAAAUUUAUAUUACUCUUUAGAUAGUGUAGGGGUUUUGUAUGUGAAAACAACAAAAACAAUGUAUAUUCAUUCUAUACAUCUGGAUCUAGAUCUAAUAGUUUUGAGAUUUAUUCUUCUUCUUUAAUAUUCUUUAUACAUCUAAAUUCGUACAUACUCUUAAUCUCUUAUGUUGAAAUUUUUUAAUUGAUGUUUUCUUACUUUACAAAUAUAGUUUCGUUAUCAGCUUCUUUCUCUAUGAACAUAAAUAAUGUUCUAGAGCAUUUGCAUUGUUGAAUAGGUGCUAACAAAUAAUUCUACAAAAUUCGGACUACUUAGAAACCUUCUAAUCAAAUUAAUUCAUGUUGGUGGUUUGAAAAUUUUCAUGACCUUAGUUUUUUCCUUGUUGACUUAUAUCCAUUUCUUAGAGAUUUGGUUCCUAAGUUAGUUUGUGUAUUCAUAUGACGUGGCACUUUUUCAUGUAUUUCCAAAUAGAUUUAAAAUAUUGUGUCUUUAUGGAAUUUAAUAACUAUUUGGUGUUCAUCAAUAAAAGUUUCUAUAUAUUUAGGUAAAUAUCAUUAAACAAUAUGUGUAGUUAUUAGCCAUGUCUACAAAAUAUUAUGCUACUGCUCAGGCAAACCCAAGUGGAGUGGGCCUAGGUAUGAAUUAAGGAUCAACAUUUUUUAUUUAAAGAAAAAAAUACAAAAUAUACUCUAAGGAUUUCUGAGACUUGUUUUUAGGUAAAGCGAAAAAAGUUGUUUGUCUGGUUUUCAGAAUUGUAAACAAAAAUCCUACAAAAAAAAAAAGAAUUGUAAACAAAAAUAUAAAUAAAUUAACUAUUAAACUUAUGAAUUAAAGGCAUUGGGCUUUAGGAUAUUUCGAACAACAAUGACUAGCAGAAUAAAUGUAACAGGGAAUUCAGAAAUAAAGAACCAUUUUCAAACAUGAACACAAAUCUAGACUAAGGGGGGUGUAUUGAAGAAAGAAUUUGUAGUGAUUUGAGUUUUAAUGAGUUUUGAGAUGAUUUUGGUGAAUUUUGGUGAAUUAGGGAAUUUGAUAUCAAAACUCUCCCAAAUCCCACCUAAAACCAUGGGAUUUGGAUAUUUGUAUUUUUAACUAAGAUGUUCUCUGAAAUCCCACAAAAAAUCACUCAAGACAUUUCAAAUCCACAACUUAAAAUGUUUCCAAUAACAGUGGAUUUGAUUGUAGAUUUUAAAAUCACUAAUCCAAUAACACUUGAUUUUAAAAAGAUUUUUAAAAUUCAUGUUUGAAUAACAUAAGAUUUAUCUUUUUAAUACAAAUCAUUUCAAAUCCUUUAUUGAAUACACCCCCUAACUCUCUCUCUCAAGACAUUAAUCACGAAAUUUGACUAUUUAACUACUAAACUCUCAUUUGUAGUUUCCUAAUCAAAUUCGCAUUAUCGAGUUGGUUCAUUUGGUUCACAAUGCGUUCUAAAGUAAACUUCUCGUUGGCUAAAAACACAUUGCUCAAUUUACAUUGGUUCAGGCAUUCUAUCAAACACUUUUGAUGCACAGAAAAACCUUUGUUCUAAAACAGGGAGAUCAAUUCUAUUCUGGCAUUAAGAACAUGUAAAUCGAAGAACCUAUGGAUGAAGAAUCCCUAAUGACAAUUUAUUUACAAAUUCAUUGGCUCUUUUACUUAGAACCCUAAAACUCAAUUAAAGGACUACUCACUCAUUGCAAAAGAAAUAUUACAUAGAGUUAUAAACGAAAACAUGAUUCAAUCGAUAAAACAAAAGAUGGUAUAGAAAUCUUCUCUAAAUUGUCAAAGAGGAUGAAAAUAAAAAUUUAGGUCUCUAAGGUUCUUAUACCCAAAUACAGAAAAUAGUAGAUAAAUCCGGUUAAAAAAAACCAGAACGGGAUGUCAUAGGGAUGGAUCGAUCGAUCAUGUGGGUGGACCGAUCGAUCCAACCCUCUCUGGGAAGAUUUCGUCGAUGUUCAUUGUUUGGAUCGAUCGAUCCACUCCUUAGAUCGAUUGAUGAGGCCUUCCCAGAGAGUCCAUGCUGGAUGUCAUGAUUUGGACCGGUCGAAUCCACACCUUGGAUUGAUCAGUCACUUCCUUGAUCCUUCUUCUCUCGAACAUUCCUGGCCCGAACAAGCCCAAUAAUGCCCGAACACUCAAGACACGAUUAAAAAGACACAAAAAAGGUCAACGACAAGACAAACAACUCAAAACGGAAACUAAACGAAAAACCAAAGACACCAAAAACGCAACUACUAGGCCGGACCUGCUAAUAUUAUUUGCAUAUAAUCUUAAAUAUAUUUUAAACUAUAUAAAAAUGUAAAAUAAUUCAUAAUUACUAGUCAUGGAUAGUGUCAUGUUAAUGUUCUCAAAAUUAAUUUCUGAACUACUGUGUUUUUCAAACAAAAUUGGCGUCAUAAAUCGAGAAUGUAUUGAUAAAAGGUACAUGCAUUUUCCAAAAAAUUUAAUGCAAAACAACAAAAAUACAAUCUAUUUUUUUUUUUUUUUUGUUUAUUGUCAACGAUUAAUUAAUCCAUAAAUACAGAAACAUAGGAAAUAUAAUUGAAUUCUAAACAUUGAAGCAAUAAUCAUCGAAAAAACAUUGAUGAAAUGAGCUUUAGAGGACACCUAGCUGAUCACAAUUAUCAUCUAAAAACCAUUGAUGAUUGAGCUUUAGAGGACCCCUAGCUCUCUGAGAAACGCAACACAUAUAUCAAAGAAGAUAAACUGAGGUCCAUCAAUUCUUUGGAUGUCCAACAAAUACUUGCCUUCACGUACUUUGUAUAGCUACAACAACAACAAAAAUUAUACAAAUUAGGUUUGAAGUAAAAAAAUUGCUCUAACUUGAUUUUAACAAUGUAAAUUGUAGAUAAUUUUAUGUUCUCAUCACAUAAAAACAAAAAUUCUUUAGGUGUAGCCUACCGAAAAACAAUUGGUCCUCUAUGGACUAUUAAAUUCUAGUAUGUUAUCUUAAAUUGGAUAAAUAUACCUGAAGUUCAAAUUUGAUGAUAAUACAUUCACCCUCAAUUGUAUGAUUCUUGUAGUUAGCAAGGCUUCGGACCCUUCUACAUUUUAUAUUGUAGAGUCCGAUUUUUUUCCAGCACACUUUUAGAUUUUGAAGAGCCUUAAAAAUUUCAUUCAUUAUAUCAUGAGGACUCCCUUGAGACUGUCAAAAUAUUAAACAAUUUUUUUUUUUUAUAUUGAUAAAAUGUUUUGAGUGAUAAAUUAUUAUGCUAACAAAAAUAAUCGAAAAAAAAUUAAGAAAAAAUGAAAGGAAAUUGAAUGUUAAAGUAAUAUGAACAAAAAAAAAGAUUAAACAUUAACCAUGGACUAACCUGAAGGCCAAGGGUCCAUGUUUUGUCAUCUUUGACAUGUGAUUUUAGUCCAUACAAUGCCGAGAAUGAAUGGCCAACAUGUGAAGUAAUAUUUUGAACAGCUGGAAACGUCGAAUUAAAUAUACCACCCUAUAUUUGUAACAUUAAAAAGAAAAUAUAAUUAUAUAGAGAAGUAAAUUUUAUAAUUCAGGUUGUAGCGAAAGAGAAUAAGUACCGAUAUCUCUUUAAAGUUGGAUUGGAAAGGGUCAUUAGGAACAAAAUUUUGGUUUCGGUUAUCUAGUAUUAGAUGGUAUGCAAUUGUAGCCUGAAAUAAUGAAACAUUUAACAUGAGUAUCAUUUAUAAAACUAUUUAAAGUAUAAUAGAAUAAUUAUAUGAAAAUAUGAAAACACUCAUACCUCGUUUUGGAUUCUAUUGACAAGAGAUUCAACAACUUGGUUUCUAUCAAAUCCUAUGUUAACUACUUUUUGAAUUAUCUCCUCAUCAAUCUAGAAAGAGUAAAGUUAAUACAAAAAUUAAUGAAUUCAUACAAAUGAUGUUAUUUUGGUACAAUAUAGUGAAAAAAUUUCUAACCUUUUUAGCUUCUUCUAUUGUAUCUAAUGGAGGCAUAUAAAGAUAAAGAGGAACAUGAUUAUUGAACCAAGGAUGUUGACGAAUCUCAGUAAUGCUAAUUCUCAUCAGAGGAUCAACCAUAAGCAUUCUCGGUAUCAAAUCUCUAGCAACAUAUGAUAAAUGAUCUGGAAGAGUAUACAUUCCUUUCUAAAGUAAAAAAAAAAAAAACACAUAAAUAUAUCACUGAAAAACCAUGUAUAAUAAUAGAUGAGUUUAUAACAAUAGUGUUGUCUAUUAAUACCUUUAUUUUAUCGAAUAGAGUAGGAAUAUUUUCGUCGUCGAAGGGAAGAGUACCGCACAAUAGAGCAUAUAAUAUAACCCCACAACUCCAUAUAUCUACUUCUGGUCCAGAAUAUGGUUUUCCUGAAAUAACCUAUAAAAAAAAAUUCGGUCGUGAGUAAUUGAUGCUUCAAAUAUAUAUCCAAAUUCUUGAAAUAAGAAUGAUAAAUAUGUUAGUUUUCUAUACCUCUGGAGCAGCAUAAUUAGGGCUUCCACAACUAGUCUUUAAAAAAUGACCAUCAUGCAUGACAUUACUCAAUCCAAAGUCAACAAUCUUUAUGUUACAUUUCGAAUCCAAAAGCAUAUUCUCAGGCUUAAGAUCUCUAUGAACGAUCAUAUUGCGAUGACAAUACUCCACACCAGAUAUGAUCUGAAUAUAUAUGAUUGUAAUAAAUUGUUCCCAAUAUAAAAAGAUAUAAAGUCUUAUGAAAUAAAAAAGGAUAUAUAUACCAAACCUGCUGAAAUAGAUGACGAGCCUCGUCUUCUUGCAAUCUACCUUUUUCUAUAAUAUAGUCAAAUAAUUCUCCAGACUUAACAUAUUCCAUCACAACAUAAAUGUUAUCAGGCGUCUCUAUAACUUCGUAUUGACGGAUGAUAUGAGGAUGCAUCAACAACCUUAGAAUUUUGAUCUCCCUUUGUACUACAAGAGACAAAACAAACAUUUAUUAAGAUUAUUAAUAUAAAGUAACGAUUAUAGUAUCAUUUUACCUCUCUCCAAAAUUUCGUCCACAAGACAGAAAGUGUAAUAUUGUUUGUCACAUAAACUAGUCCCACGACACAAAAAUAGUUCGUGACAAUGAACGAUAUUAAUAAAUAGUAUUUCCGCUUCGAGACCUAGAUUGGAUAAAAGUAUUUUUUAGAAGAAACAAAAUUUAAAAAUAAAUCUAUUUUGAUGAUUUCUCAAUAUAAAAUAUGAAAAAGAUUAAAGUAAAAUCCAUACAAACAAACUAUUUAUAUUAUCAAAACCAUAUAUUGAUCAUGGUGGAUAGCCGAAAUCUCAUAAACCUAUUAGAUCUCAUUAAGAAAAAUAAAUAUAUAUAUAUAGCGAGAGAUAUUGUACCUUCUUAAACUUAGUCAAAAUGAAAAAGAGUAAUAAAAAAAGUAACACAUACCUUUGAUCUCAAUACCCAUGUUCUUAAUCUUAGCACGAUUAAGGAUUUUGAUAGCAACUUUGUGCCCAGUAGCUACAUGCAGUGCUAAUUUCACUUUCGCAAAGGAUCCAUGCCCAAGAGUUUUACCAAUCUUAUAAUUCGGUAGAAUUGAUACCAUUCUAUUGGUAGUUUUUUCCGAUGAUCCAUCCAUUUUACUACAGAUAGAAAAUCAGAAAUAUAUAAGAAAUUAUAAUUAAAUCUCUAUAAAAAAUAUUUAGUAAAUUAAUAAUUAAAUAACAGUAAAAUGGACGGAUCAUCGGAAAAAAACUACCUGUAAAAUGAACAAUAGAAAAUAAUUGACGGGGAAUCUAACUAGAAAACCCAAAAAAUGGUGAACGUCCCAAAUCAAAAUCAUCUUUCAGCGAAAUUCAUUUCGUUCAUGAAUAGGUGUCCUAAUUGAAUGAAGAAAUUUAUGGGUUGACUGAUUAUAUAAAUAGUAAAAAAUCAAUAGAUUCCCAUAGAAUUCAUGUUUUUCUCUCUAACAAAAACUUUGAAAUUUAAAGUUGUAGAAAAAUGAUUCAAACGCAGAAGACUCUUAACAUAAUCUUAUAGAGUAGGGUUGAUGAUAGAGACAAAUUGGAACCCACGAUAUAAAUAUGAGCACACACGAAAAAUUUGCACCUCUAGAAAAUUAAGGAAAAAUACAAGAAAGGAGUAAUUGUAUACCUCUAAAGAAUUGAGGAAAACUACAAGAAAAGAGUCCAAGGGCACAUAUAUUAAACCUCUUUCCUUUGUUUGCUUCCCUACUUUGCUGAUGUAAAUCUGAGUCACACUUUUGACCAAUGGUGUCACACUUUUUUCAUGAGUCAUUAUAUGACAAGAUAUAAAUUUUCACACAAUCAUGUUAAAAAAUCAGUUUCUGUUUUAUAUUAAUAGUAAUUGUCUAAUUAUAACAAUAAAUAUUAAAAUAUAUUAGUAAAAUUGUUAGAUUUUUAUAUUUUAUAUAGUAAUAGAAUCUAGUUAUUCAACAUUUUUUAAGACAAAAUUAUCUUUCCUUGAAAAACAAAUUGUAAUUAAUGUUAUUGGUGCUUUGACUAUAUAAUGUAUAUUUCUUUCUUAUUUUAAAAUAGGAAAUAAUUAAUACUGAAAAAUGUAACAGAUUUUUUUAUAUUUAUAAUUUCCUUCAAAAUUUGAUUAUAUAAAAGGACGUUUUUGUUAAUAAGUUACUACAUCUGAUAAAUUUAAAUUCUUGUUAGUUAAAAACCUUAAUGUAAGAAAAAAUGUGUUAAAUUUAAAAUGAUUAGACAAAACAAAGUUUUCUAAAACAAAACAAACUACAAAUGAUCAGUAAAUUCUUUGUCUUGUUGUUGCUGCUGCUGCUCUUCUAUCGUCCUCUUGAAUCGCAAAGAAAAUGACUAUUGACACUAAGACGCAUGCACCAAGUAUUGCCAGUACUAUAGCAACUAGAGCUCUUCUAUCGUCCUCCUGAAUUGCAAAGAAAAUGACUGUUGACACUAAGACGCAUGCACCAAGUACUGCCAGUACUACAACAACUAGAGCCUUCAAAACAUCGUAGGUCAUGGAUCCGUCCGUUGACUCCUGGCUGCUCGAAUCGAACUCAGGAAUUAUUGAAACUAUUUCUCAUGACCUGCAAGUUAAAAAAGUAAUCACUUUAUUCACAGAUUUUAAAAUUGAACAUCUCUUGAGCAUUAGCUCGUAUCUUUUGAAAUAACCUCCUAACGCUAGAGAACACGCACUUAGCACAAUUAAGAAUAAACCUAUUGUGGAUCCAUAUAAAAAACGAAGUAGCAACAUUGCAUAUCUUCAAUGCAAUAUAAUUAAGAUUCAAAACAACACCGAACAUUCACAUAUAUAUAAUAUGGUGCUGUUCGUUUGGCAGUCGCAUGAUCAUGUGACUAAUCGCGCGAUUAAUUGCUACGACUUGCGACUGAUUUUUUUUAUCCCAGAAAAAAUUAGCGAUGCGACUUUUUAAAUAACGAUUAGUCGCAGUGACUAGUCGCGCGAUUGCGAAACGAACAACAUCUUGCGAUUCGAAAUUGCAGUCGCAGUCGCAAUCGUCAUGCGAUUACGAAACGAACAUGACCGUACAUCCCUUAUGUAAAGUGGAAGUAAGCAUCAAUAUUCAAUGCCCUAUAAACGGAGAGUCUACUUGGCCGUUAAACGGAGAGACUUCAAAAUUGUUCACAGGAAAGUUAUAGUCUUUUGCAUGGACAUGGACAUUUGUCAGUGUUUCUAUAGGAGAGGCAGCAUAAUUGGCAGCUUCAUAUCUUCUGUAAGAGAAAACACAUUAACUCAUCGUUAGAAUUUGAUGAAUCUAGGGUUUGUGGAAUCAUAGUAACCAAUAUUAUAAGAUAACAGAGAUGAUAGGUUUGGGUGAACAUAUAUCUCUGUACCAACCAGUGGCGGAGGCAGAAUUAUUUAUCAUCGAGGUCAUAUAUUAAUAUAAAUAUAUAAUAAUUUUGAAAAUUUUAAAUUUAUAGAACUAGGGAGAAAGAAGAAGAAAAAUAAUAUUUACGUAAAAAAAAAACAAAAGAUGAAACCCUAUAUAAAAUAGGAUUAAGAGUUAAAUAUUAUGUAUUAUACCUAUAACGGUUAGUCAAAAAAAUUGGUUAGAGGAUGCAAAUGAAGAAUAUGAACUAGAAACAUAGGGUUCAUAUUACAUUUUUAAGCUAAAUAAUUCAAAUGUUCUAACUAAAUAAGCUUAUAAAUUUUUUUUUUAUAAAAGUUAUGGGGGUCAGUUGACCCCAUUGCCCUCUAUAUAGCUCCAACCCUGGUACCAACCGCCAUGGAAACUUUAGUUUCAGGGACAAGGUUCGCGAAUAAGAGAAAGUACUUGUUUGGGGGAAGUGAGAGGGUAAGAUUGGUUGAAUUUUGAAUUUGGUGGAGGAGAGAGAUCUCUGAAUGUGAAGAGAUUGGUGACGUAGUGCGAAUCUAUAACGCAUAAUUUAGGGUUCACUUGUAUAUCGAAGAUGAAUAUUUGAUCCGUCAUAGAAGGUGGAACCACGGUGGAGAACGCCGUGGGGAAGAGGAGGAAGAAGACGACGACGGAGAGGGGCAUUUUCGUCAUUAUGCUUUGGAAAAUGAGAAUAACCAAGUUAAGCACACAACGAGUUUGGGAUCAUGGAUAUGGAGGAAACUGCUUAAAUACAGAGAUUUGGCAAAGAUUUUUUGUAAGGUGGAUGUGGGAAAUGGUAAAUUGAUGUCUUUUUGGUAUGACAACUGGUCGCAGCUGGGAAUUCUUAUGGACUCAACAGGUGCUAGAGGUGUCAUUGAUCUCGGGAUAACCCGGAAAAUGUCAUUGGCAGAGAGGCUUUGAAAGACCGUAGACGGAGGAGACAUAGAGUUGGUUUUCUAAACACGAUUGAGGAAGUCAUGGCACUGACCAAGCUUCUCCACAAGAGACUUAGAAUCACACUAGGACAGUCUCAAAUAAAGUGCCCUGGUUUAAGGGAGUCUGGUUCCCCCAUGGAACUCCAAAGUUUUCGUUUUGUGUUUGGCUUGCAGUGCAAGACAUACUUUCAAAAGGAGAUAGGAUGGCCAAGUGGAAGGUAGGGACAUCGACAACUUGCGUCUUUUGCAACAACAACAGAAACCCGAGAUCAUCUCUUUUUUUCUUGUGGUUUCGUUUCAGGUAUUUGGGCAGCUCUAGCCAAACCCAUUCUCAAAGCUCGUUACACGGUCGAUUGGCAAUCACUUAUCACCUAUAUCUCAGAUCUACAACAGGAUAGAGUGGAGAGCUUCCUUGCUCGAUACACUUUCCAAGCUUCGGUAUACAUAGUAUAUAGAGAGAGAAAUGGGAGACCACAUGGUAACGAUCCGAACCCGGCAUCUCAACUUAUAAAAAUGAUUGACAAACAAGUACGAAACCAAUUUUCAGCCAUCAGAUCAAGCGGGGAUAGGAGAUAUGAAAAAGGACUUCAACUUUGGUUUGCGUCGAGAAGCCAACUCUAGAACUCUCUUUCAAUUUUCUGUUUCAGCUUAAUAGUGUAAGUGUGAAACAACAAAUAAGUCCAACAAGCCCAUCAAUAGAAGGUCCAACUGAAGAGAAAGGCCCAGCUCAGUCCAGUCAACAGAGAAGUCAACAGAAGAAGACAAAGUCUUCUUUAACUCAAGAACAGAGCAACGAAGGUACGGUGCAGAGAAGCUGCCUCAAUGCGAUGACUCAUGACUGCCAGCUACACUAGCCGUUGAAGGAUAAGAUCGAGUGUGUUCUAGAUUGUUCUGAGUAUAAAUUGAUGUAUAUAAACACAAGUAUAAAACCCUAAUGUAAUCUAUCGAGAAUAGAACAGUUUUACCAAAAGCUUAAACCUUUCUCUUCUCCUACAAAUUUUUUUUAAACUUCGUUGCACUAGUUGUACAAACGUUCAUUUUUCUUUUGAAUAUAAUUUAACAUUAGAUUCAAAAAAAAAAAAUACGCUAUUUUCUCUUUGAUUUUGUCUAAUGUAAGAUCUACGUAGUUUAGUUUGUUUGUUAUGUCUCUAAAUAUCUAUCAUAAAAAUUUCUGUUUUUUAUAUAAAAAAGUGAUAAAAAUAGAAUUACUUAACGGUUAUUUCUUGAGAAGAGGAAUCUUACUGGAGAACUAUGUGGAUGUGAAAGAUUAAUGGGGAAUUUGGAGUGGAAUUUAAGGUAAGAUUGGUCAUAAAAGGGUUAUGGCGUUCUUCAAUGGAAGAAAAUUGGCUUAUGCAUGUGUUUUCAGUUUAACUCUAAUUAGGUCUUGGCGGAUUUCAAAGUUCGAAUAUGACGACGACGAAGAUUACAAUUUCUCAGCAUAAUAUACACUAAAACCUCUAUAAAUUAAUAAUGAUGGAACCACAAAAUUUUAUUAAUUUAAAAACGUAUUAAUUUAUUGAUAAAUUAUUAAUUUAUAGAGAGAUUUUACUAAUUUUGUAGUUUCUUAAAAACUUUCUAUCUAAAAAUAAAUUUUUCUAUAUAAGCAAUAUCUUUUAAAAUCUAAUUACACGUAGAGAAACAAUUAUUAAGUUUAAAAAACAAAACAAACUUUUUUCGAAUAAUAGAUUCAUAUUUGACUAAAAAUUUUACAUAUAAUAUUAUAAAUAUAUAUCAUAGUAUUUCAUAUAUGACAUAUAUAAAUUUAUAUCAUAUAUAAUAAAUUAUAUAUAUAUAUAUAUAUAUAUUAAUAAGUUUAUACAAUUAUUAAUUUACGAUAUAGAUGAGACCAUAUGUUUAUAUGGGAUUUUCAAAAAAAUUAUUAUCUUAUUAAUUUAUCGAUUUUUGUCAUAUUUUACACGGGUCCCAACUCCGGACCGGAAGAAUUUAUUAAUUUAGAGAGGUUAUUAAUUUAUAGAGUAUAAAUUUAUAGAAGUUUUAGUGUAUAUGCUGAGAUUCGGAAACUUUAAUUUCUGUUUUGUUAUUAAAGUAUUAAGCUCUCACUGGCUAUAUAUAAUCGAGCCUCUUCUUUCGCUUUUUUUUUUCUCGUUUGUUUGUGUGUAGAAUACUUGCGUUUUUCCUACCAAAUUGUGUGACGCCAUGAAAGUGUUAAGAGCUUUUCCAGCAUCAAGGUUCGUUUAGUGCAUAAACUAUGUUUAGUUUUGCUUAAUGACGUUUAGUUAUGUUCGCUUAAAGAUAUUAAUUUGGUCCUAAUAUGAGAAAACAGUCAAAGUGGAAUCAUUCUCAAGUUUUUUUUUUUUUUUAUGUUUGAUAUUCCACUUGUAGAUUUUGACUUGGUAAAACUCUAACAUGUAUCAUUCAUGUAAGAUUUGUUGCUAAAUCUUGUGUCCCACUUCCUCUUUGUAAACUAGUUUUCUAUUUUAUGUCAUGGACGGCCAAAAUAUAUUGUAUUCGAAUGGACAAAGUCAGGUAAGGACUUGAUCCAAUGUAAAUGUAAACUAUAAAGUCAUGUCUUAGUAUCUAGAGAUGAUUCUAUUACAAAUAUAUUCAAAUCUUAUUUCUUAACAACAUCAUAUCUCUUGAGAAAAAAUGUAUUUGUAUGUUGGAGAUAUGAUUUAAAGCAUCAGCGUAAAAACUUGAUGUGCUUUUAGCUUUGGCAGGUUCUUGAUAAAAAUUGUAAUAAAAAUGGGUACAUGUAUGUCAACUCAUUCAAGAAGAAUUAGGCCACGAAGGAAAGGUCGUCGGAGAUUUCCAAAACACAUUUCUAGAGUGUCUGAUAUUAUUUCUCAUCCAAAUAUUAGACGACUAAGUGAUGUUGGAAUCCAAACCUCUUUUGGUGAGUAUCAUUAGGAUGAGAGUUGUGAUAUUGCAUUUCUUGUUUAUACAGAAAAAGAUAGGUGAGGAAUGUUGGAUCUUCGGUUUUUGUUGCAGAUAUUUCUCAAAACGAUGCGUGGUUUGAUUCUUCAAGUCUUUUCUCUGACUCUGAUGACGACUUUAUUAGCCUACAUGAAGGUAAAUGUAAAUCUACAUAUGAAAUUUUUUGGUUGUCAUUUUUUUUUUGUUUUUGGGUAAUGAAUAUUUGAUAGAGUCUAUAUUUGUUUCAGCUGAUAAUGUUUGGUUAGAGGGUGGUGUAAUGGGUAAUAUUCCAAAUGGUCAGGUGGUUCAGUUUGAGACUUCUUCAUGCAUUGUUGAUGGAAAUGGAAAUUAUGAAGAAUACCAUGAGAGUUACUUGAAAAUUGAUGGCGGCAAUAAAAUCGAGAAGUUUAUGAGCAACGGUUUAUACAAAGAUACUAAUAGUUUGUCUAUUAUCACUGGAAACAACAAGAAUAAACAAUUGGACCAUACUUAUAGAAGCUUUAAAGUAUUGAAAGAAAUAGACCCUAACCCUCAAGAAAAAACAUUAAAAUCCAAUUUGAGCCGGUUGAUGCCAACCGUUAGUUUCAACGACAAGACUCUAAACUCCCCCACAUCUCAAAAGCGGAAGUCAGCGGUUUAUCAGACUUCUUUCAAGAGGAGAUCAUGUGAUGGUGAAGAAGUUACCGAGCAUAGUAAGUUGUCAAAUUUUUACUAAACCGUACAAACAUUAAAACGUAUAUAUGCAUUGUUAUGUGAGCCUGUAAUUUUAACAUGUAUAUUUUGAAACGGUUUUUAUAUGAAGGGUCGUCCAAAAGAUUGUUGUACCGUCCCAAAGCCGGAUACACCAUUCCGUGCUAUGCCAAUGAGAAGCAGCAAUCAUCAGGAAGUUGGUGUGAGAUACCUCCUUCAAACUUGAAAUUACGUGGCGAAACUUAUUUCAAGUACAUUUCUUAACUUCUCUCUUUAUUUAUACAUAUAUGCAUUUAAGCGGCUAUAAGUAGAUGUAAGCUGUUAAUACAAUGAUAAAUUUGUAGAGAUAAACGAAAAUAUCCGGCUCCAAACCAAUGUCCAUACACUCCAAUUGGUGUUGACUUGUUUGUGUGUCCAAAAAAGAUUGAUCAUAUAGCCCAACACAUUGAACUUCCCAACAUCAAAGCCGAGGUGAAGUUCCCUGCUCUUUUGAUUGUCAACAUCCAGGUAAAAACCACUAAAUAAAGUUCCUUUAGAACAAUAGAUGUGUUUCAAGGCUCUAAUAAGUCUGGCUUUUGUAGUUGCCAACUUAUCCAGCCGCAAUGUUUCUCGGUGAUAGUAAUGGAGAAGGCAUGAGCAUUGUACUUUAUUUUAAAUUAAGAGAAAAUUUCGAAAAAGAAAUCUCUCAACAAUACCAAGACAGCAUCAAGGUUAACCAUCAAAAACAUAAAGAACGUUCCUUUUUUCUUAACUUUCUUGUGAAUGCACUCAUUGAUCGUUAUAUAUGGUUUGUUUGCAGAAACUAGUGGAGGAUGAGAUGGAAAAAGUGAAAGGGUUUGCAAAAGACAACAUUGUUCCAUUUCGUGAACGGCUUAAAAUCGUAGCCGGAUUAGUUAACCCAGAGGAACUCAGCCUUAGUUCUACUGAAAGGAAGCUUAUACAAGCUUACAAUGAAAAACCCGUGCUUUCUCGCCCUCAACACAACUUCUUCAAGGUUUUAAUAGAACAACAGACUCUUUUCUAACCGAUAAAACACCAUUUGGUCUCCUAAUCAUGAUUGGUUUGGGCUCUCUCUGUCCAGGGUCCUAACUACUUUGAGAUUGAUUUGGACGUGCAUCGGUUUAGCUACCUCUCAAGAAAAGGGCUUGAAGCAUUCAGAGAUCGACUUAAAAAUGGAACUCUUGAUCUCGGCUUAACUAUCCAAGUAAUGUUUUUGUUAUCAUCUUUUAUAAGACACUAUUGUUGUUGAAGAAUGUAGAGAAUUAUAUAAAAACUUGUUUUUGCAAAUAGGCUCAAAAACAAGAGGAGUUACCAGAAAAGGUCUUAUGUUGUCUAAGAUUAAGCAAGAUUGACUUUGUUGACAACGGUCAAAUUCCGACACUUUUAAUUCCUGAAGAAGGAGAAUCUCUUGUUUGAAAACUCCCUUUGUGAUCUUCAAUAUUGGAUAAAGAAAUAACAAGAAAAAUCUGAAUUUUGUUUUGCCGAAUUUGUUGUGUAUUGUUUGCCAAUGUUGUAAUAAUGAUAUAUGUUCUUUCCGUUUAUAAUCAUGGAUUAGAACACCUUAAAGUCAUCUUCUUGAGUUUGUCCUUUGUUGCAACUUGUAGUCUUGUACACUCUCUUUUUAAUUCAGUUCUAUUCUUGCGUUUAUGUGUUGUAAACUUCCAAGUCUCUUUUGUAAUCUUAACUCAAGAAAAUAAUAUAAAACUUGUAGCUAACAAUUAUAUUUGAGGUCUAUUUUUAACGAGAUGUGUAUAAGGGUCAAAAAGGCAAGAAUAAAACUACCAGGGUAAUCCAAAAAAAUGAUAAAGUGUUGAUAAGGAUGUGUAUAUUAUUAGAGUCCAACAUUGGAAAUCGGCGAAAUUCUUUGGGCAAUAUAUAAGUGUGCGGCUAUCCUCCUCUUUUGAAAUAGUUUUUGUAUGUGAGUUAGGACCACACUAAUAUAUACUACAAGAAAACAAAGACCAGAAAAAUUGUUCGAAAAACGUUAGAAAUGAACGUUUCCGAGCGAUUUUCCGUGGAGGUAUUUUAUUUAACCGAAGAUUCUCUCUAUCUAUCAAAAUUCAAAGACAUGGUUUGUUCUAUAAAAUAAACUCUGGAUUAUGGAACAGAUUUGUAGUAUUUGAAAUUAAAUGUGGUGUUUCUCAGUUUUAUAUUUAGUUUUUUUUUUCCCUUCAUUUUCGAGGUUUUUAACCAUUUCAUUAUUUAAAAAAGCUCUACUGGCUCUAGUAAUAAUGAGAAUAUUCUUGAAAGAAAACAAAAUCUUAAACGAGGCAAAAAUGCCAUGCUUGUUAUAAACCAUAUGGAUGGACUCCAUAACCGGCCCAUGACCCAUUAGGGUUUUACCUUAUUCUCUGUAUCCUGCUAUUAUCCUUGUAUAUAUAACCUUUAUACUAUUAAUGAAAGACAUAGUUCACAACACGUUAUCAGCACGAUAGCCUCUUACCCUAAAAAAUUAAAAAAUCCCGAAACCCUAAAUCUCUCUCACAAAAACCAAAACCAAAACCCUAGUUGUCUCUGCAAACAAAAUUUUAAACUCUAUCGAGAUAAGUUUUCUGUUCAUAUUUGUUUCUGCACGAAUUUUGCACGGAUUAUAUGUUAUCAAUUUUGUCUGUAUUUCUGCAUGAAUUUUGCACAGAUGAUCUGUUGUCAAUUCUGUCUGUAGUUUUGCACGAAUUUUGCACGGAUUAUAUGUUAUCAAUUUUGUCUGUAUUUCUGCACGAAUUUUGCACAGAUUAUCUGUUGUCAAUUCUGUCUACAGAUUUGCACAAAUUUUGCACGGAUUAUUUAUUAUCAAUCCUGUCUAUAUUUUUGUACGAUUUAUGCACUGAUUAUAUGUUAUUGAUUCUGAACUGUUUUAUGCAGUAUAUUACAGAAACCCUAUUUUUCUUUUUACUAAUGUAAUAGCCAUGUUUCUAUGAGCAAAAUUUUGAGUUUCUCAGGAAUCAGGAUUAUAUAUAUUGAGAUUUUGUAGGAGGUCCCAACCAGCUAAGAGACAUAACUGUUUCCAAUCUCCGUAUCAGAUCUCGGGUCUCUGUUUCAGUUCUCCAAUUAAGAUAAGUGCUAUUUAUUUAUUAUGCUUUAUAUACAUGAUCCAAUUAAAGUUUGAUAAGAUAAAAAUUUGCAUGACAAUUGGCACAUGUGAUUUGAUUUAUGAUUGGAGAAUUAAUUGAGAAGUUAGUGAAUGGAAAGAUGUUUAAUGGCAUGAUAGAUUGAAUGUUUUAAUAUAAACCCUAGGUUAAACCGAAAGUAAACCGAAACCCUAAAUCAUAGGUUAAAUCGGUUUAAUAAACCCUAAGUCACGGUUUAAGAUCAAGCUUCCUAUAAAUGGAAAGUUUCCAGAAAUAGAAAGUUCCAUAUAUAGAAAGUUUCGUAAAAUAGCAAGUUUCCCAAAAAAAAAGGUUCCCUAAAAUAGCAAGUUUCCCAAAAUAGAAAGUUACCAAAAUAGGGAACCCCUUCAUUAGGAAAUAUUCCAAAACCCUAAAGUACACGUUUGUUUAGGAUUUCUUUCUAGAUGAGAAAUAGAAAGUUUCCAUAAAUGGAAAGUUCCAUAUAAGGAAAGAUUCCAUAAAUAGAAAGUUCCAUACAUAAAACCGAAAUCCUAGCAAAAAAAAAAAAAAACCCUAGUACUAUAAAUCGUGGAUGCUAAAACCCUAAAACUUAACCGCGAAAUUCUAAUAUCCUAAUCUAGUAUGAUCCGAUUGUUUGGUUGUUGCAUACUAGAUCAAUCUUCUAGGGUUGAUUUCAUCCAUAUAUAUAUAACAUGAUUGUUUAGAAAACACUUGCUGAAAACAAGCAUGGCUCGGUCUUAAAUACCGCAUGACUUGGUCUAACCGAUUACAUGAGUUCUCAUUUAACUCUAUAUAUUAUAGAUAUCAGAAAUCAACUAUUAUGAAUACACGGCACUUAAUGCCUCUGAUGACAAUUAUUUACAAUGGGCUUUGGACACUGAGAUUGUCCUAAAGGAAAAAGGGCUUGGUGAAUCUAUUAUGGAAGGAAACAAUGUCACCAGAAGAGAAAGAUAUAAGGCGAUUACUAACAUACGCCAUCACCUCAAUGAGAGUCUCAAAAUCAGUACCUCACUAUUAAGAAUCCUCUGGACCUCAGGACAGAGUUGAAAAAAAAAAAUCAAUAUAACCACCAAAGAACGGUGCUAUUAGCCAAAAGCCCGAUUCGAUCGGAAGAAUCUCAGAUUCCAGGAAUUCAAAUCCAUGAAUGAGUAUAACUCAGCACUAUUUAAAAUAGUGUCAAUACUGAGAUUCCGUAGUGAGGAAGUUACUGAGAAUGACUUGCUAGAGAAAGCAUUCUCGACCUUUCACACAAACAAUAUAUUGCCUCAGCAACAAUAUCGUGAAAAAGGUUUUUACCACAUAUGCGAGUCUAAAAUCUUGUUUUGCUACUUGCUGAGCAAAAUAAUGAGUUAUAAAUAGUGAAAUGAGACCUCCUGGUCCUACCCUAUUAUCAGAAGCCCAUUGGGCUGAAGAGCCUAAAGAGCCUAAAGAGACUAAAGAGUCUAACCACGUCCAAAGAGAUAAGUAUCAUGGCCACAGUCAUGGUAAAUGGAAUGAACAUGGUAGAAGUGGCAAUUAUAAUUUAUAUGAUCAAGGAAACCAUUCAUAUGGUUAAGGCCGCCAACCCGACUUUGGUCGUAAUCGAGGUAGAGGCCACGGUAUACCCAAACCACAAGACUCAGAUAAACUUGUUUGCCACUGAUGAGGAAUGGGGAAACCAUUGGACUAAGACGUGCAGGACACCUAAGCAUCUCGUUGAUCUCUAUCAAGAGAGUUUGAAAAGAAUCUAGAAGCUCAUUUAGUUCAUCACGAUGGUGAAGAAGAUUUCGACCAUGAGAUAGAUGACUAUGAGAAUUUAAUAAACAAAAAAUAUCUAAAGACAUGGUUCAUUAGCCAAAUUGCGGGUAUAGCUAAAUUUAGUGAAGGCCCAUGGCAGGCCCAUAUUCCCAAGGGCACACAUCCUCAGAUGCUUCAUAUUCACCCAGCCCAAAGGGGCUUGUUGAGUUUCAAAGAAAUGUGUUUGAAUGGUUUCCACAUUGAAACUAAGGGUGAAGGGAACAAAGGAUUCCCAUAUAUUACUAAGAGCACCCAAGACCAUGAGAAGGUCUUAGAGACUAUACCCGCGUCAUAGAAUUUUACUAUUUCAAGGUCAAUGUGAUAAAGGCUAAUAAAGUAAACAAAAGGGUUUACUGAGAAAUUCACUAAUGGCAUGACCGGCUUGGCCAGCCCGGUUCGAAUAUGAUGCGUAAAUUAAUUCAAAGUUCUAAAGGGCACACCCUUAAAGAAAACCGAGUUUUCCCUGAGCACCACACGUGCAUAGCCUGUUCACAAGGGAAGCUUAUCACUCGACCUUCACCAGUCAAAGUGUCUAAAGAGACCUUAUAUUUUCUGGAACGAAUUCAAGGAGACAUAUGUGGUCCGAUCCAUCCACCUUGUGGAACAUUUCGCUACUUCAUGGUUUUAAUCGAUGCAUCGACCCGCUGGUCGCAUGUUUGUCUUCUAGGAACCAAGCGUUUGUUAGGUUAUUGGCCCAAAUCAUCAGAUUGCGAGCCUAUUUUCCAGAUUUUCCUCUUAAGACCAUACGUUUAGAUAAUGCUGGUGAAUUCACUUCCCAAGCAUUUAAUGACUAUUGUAUGGCCAUGGGGGUAAGUGUGGAACAUCCUGUGGCACAUGUCCAUACACAGAACGGAUUAGCUGAAUCCCUCAUUAAACGAAUUCAACUAAUUGCUCGACCAUUACUCAUGAGGUCGCAGCUUCCGGUCUCAGCUUGGGGACAUGCAGUUUUAGACGCUGCUGAACUAAUAUGCAUUCGGCCAUCUAGUGAGCAUAGAUAUUCCCCAUCCCAAUUGCUAACGGGUCAUGAGCCAGACGUUUCCCAUCUAAAGACAUUUGGGUGUGUCACCUAUUUACCCAUAGCACCACCACAAAGAGCAAAUGAUGGGACCUCAAAAGGGGAUGGGAAUAUACGUUAAAAAAGAUUCUCCCACCAUCAUUAAGUAUCUCGAGCCAAAGGCCAGAUACAAGGAUUGUCAUCUCAAUGAAUCCGUUUUCCCAACACUGGGUGGAGAGACUAACAAGCUGGUCAAAGAACUUAUAUGGAAUCAAACAUCCUUCACAUGGCAAGAUCCUCGGACUCCAUCAGAGAUCCAAAAGACUAUAUAUCUACAAAAGCUAGCUAAAACAGUUGCCAAGAUUCCUAUAAUGACCCAAAGAGAGUAACAAAAUCGUACAUACCAGCUUGUAAUGCACCAGUACAUAUUGAUGUUCACAAGGAACACAAUCAAGUUGCUACAGAGGCUACAACACGUAAGAAACGUGGUAGACCCAAAAGGUUCCAAAGACAAGAACCCUCGAAAAUCAAAGAAAGGUGCAAGGGAAACCGAGAAGGUUCAAGAAACCAUAGACAUGGCCGGCUAAUAGACAUAACCCUAAGGUACCAAUCAAUGAGAUUUGGGACGCCAAACCUCAAGGUCCUGAAGGUGUAAAGAGAUCUCUAUAAACUAUAUCAUGUCUAGAAUACAAUAGAACCGAAAAGAUGUCGACAUCAAUGAUAAUAUAUUUGCGCAUAAGGUAGCAACUGAAAUGAAUGAGGAUCAGGAGCCCACGUCUAUACUAGAGUGCACUCAAAGACCUGAUUGAUUAAAAUGGUACAAGACCAUAAAACGUGGAGCUAAUAAUCAUUAAGAAGAAGAAUGUGUUUGGUCCAAUACGAAGGACACCAUUCAAUGUAAAGCCAGUGGGACAAAUGAGUCUUUGUGAUUAUGUGAAAUAAACAUAGUGAAAGCGUGAUAUAUCAGACACGGCUUGUCGCACAAGGAUUCACACAAAGACCAGAAAUAGAGGAGAUAUACUCCCCUGUGGUGGAUGCUAAGACAUUUAAAUUUUUGCUAAGUCUGGCUAUAUAAAAGAGAAAGAUUUGCGGCUAAUGGAUGUAAUGCCUGCAUAUUUAUAUAAGUCCACUGGAUAAUAUAUGAGAUUACCAGAGGGUAUUGAGCUCAAAGAUAAGAAAGAUUUUCGAGAACAGCACUGCAUAAGGCUGGACAAAUCCUUAUAUGGACUGAAACAAAGCGAACGUAUGUGGUAUAACCGGUUAAGCGAAUAUCUCAUCAGAGAAGGCUAUAAAAACGAUCCGAUCAGUCCAUGUAUUUUUAUCAAGAAGUUUGCAAACAAAGGAUUUGUAAUCAUAACAGUGUAUAUGAAUGAUUUAAACCUCUGGGUAAUUGCCCAAACAGUUGAGUAUAUCUAAAGAAAGAAUCUCAAAUGAAAGACCUAGGCAAUAAUUAAGUUCUGUUUGGGAUUACAACCUGAGUACGUGAAUAAUGGAAUCCUUGUGCAUCAAAUGGCAUACACUGAAAGAGUACUCAAGGAAAUUUAAUAAGGACCAGGCCCGCCCAUUGACCAUGCCCAAUGGUGGUGAGAAGCCUCAAAUUGGAUAGUGAUCCAUUCAGUCCGGAAAUGCCAUACCUCAGUGUCAUAGGAGUUCUAAUGAAUUUGGCUAGACACACUAGACCAAACAUUUGUUUUGCCGUGAGUCUCCUGUCUAAAUUUAGUUCAUGAUCAACCCAAAGGCACUGGAAAGGUUUAAAGGAAGGUUUGAUUAAGUUUUAAAGUCUAUUCUUCCUGCGUUGUUUACUUGGGUUUAUUCUAUACUGAUCUAACCAAAGAAGGUCCAGUUUGCUUUAGUUUAGUUUGAUUUACUAAUGCAGGAUAUUCAUAAGAUCAGAUUAUGGUAUGGUCAAUGAAUAGGAACUAUGUGUGGCUUGAUCCCUUCCAAGGGUACGUAGGCAGCCUUCCUUAAGGCGUAUCUACUACUACAUCAAAGACCAUCAUAUUUGAAGACAAUGCAUCCUGUAUUGCUCAACUCAAGGAUGGCUACACUAAGAGGGAUCAAACGAAGCACAUUUUGCCAAAGUUCUUCUUCACUCAUGAAUUACAGAAGGACGGUCAGGUCAAAGUUCAACAGAUCCGGUCAAGUGAGAAUUCAGCCGACCUAUUCACCAAAUCAUUGCCGACUUCAACGUUCCGGAAGCUCAUUCAUCAGAUCGGGAUGCGCGGAUUUAAGGAUCUACAGUGAUGCUCAAAUCAGGGGGAGUAAUGCGUGUUGUACUCUUUUUCCUUCACCAUAGUUUUGUCCCACUGGGUUUUCCUGGUAAGGUUUUAAUGAGGCAACAUUCCCCAGCGCAUUAUAGAAAUCUCGGUUUAGUAUCGGGCACGGUUAUGUCUUCCAAGGGGGAGUGUUAUAAACCAUAUGGAUGGACUCCAUAACCGGCCCAUGACCCAUUAGGGUUUUACCUUAUUCUCUAUAUCCUGCUAUUAUCCUUGUAUAUAUAUCCUUUAUACUAUUAAUGAAAGACAUAGUUCACAACAAUGCUCUAUUUUUUUUUUUUUUAGAUUCCUCUAAAAAUGAAAAACUUUUUGUUACAAUAUUUUCCCCUAUUAUACAUCAGAAAACGAAGAGGACUCAGAAACAAUUUUGGUAAAAAUGGGAUUUACUUAUUUUUAGUAAUGUUUCUUCUUCUUUUUCCCUCUUUUGUCUAACAACGAUGAAAAAAAGUGGACUUUUGUCUUUCUCGGUAGUUUGCCUUCCCGGUUUAUCUGUCAUCUUGUUCUACAAAACAAAACAAAAACAAAGCUGGUUUAGUGUGUAUCAAAACUAAAAUCAUGUUAUUUCCGGUUUAAUCACUGGUUAUUUCCGGUUUACCCCUCUGAAAAUGGGAUUUUCUGACAGCUUGCCGGAUAUUACUUUCAUUCCUUUGCAAAAUCUCAUCAAUCUUUCCUGAUUUAAAAAUCAACGGUCCUGAUAUGCUCUGUUUUCCAAAUUGCAGAUGCUCCUAAAAACACCAAACAAUCACAAACAUUUAACUUCAAAUAAUUCUAAAAAUGUAUAUAUAUCUCAAAUGAAUUUCAAAGUUGAUAAAGAUUCUAACAAAAACAAGAGCACUUACUAAAUUUUUCUUUGGAGAAUCCUCCUCUCUUUGGCCGAAAUCCAAACCAGAACCAUCAAGUGAUCCGUGCCGUUCCCCAAUACGGCUAAGCUUACUCUCACUAGGAACCUCUUCGAUACCAUCAUCAUAGUUGUCUCCCUGAACCUCCCAAACUGAGUCACUAUCUGGUUUCAGGUUCAAACCAAAAGUGUUCUUUGCAAAUGCAACACUUGUUCCACUCAAUUGACUCUUUGAGCUGGGUUGAUAGUAGGUAAGAGUGGAGAUAUUAUCAGGAUCUUUUCGUCUUUUCACUGCCCACGCAAAACCGCUGGCCGGUCCUGUGGUCAUUGGGAGGUCAGAUACUUUGUAGUAGUUUCCAUGUGUUGUUGUAGUAGCUCGAGAUGCCUCAUUUGGUAUGUUCUUAACCUCAAGCGUGUCCUGCACGUUAAAACUUUACUUGAGACUCAAGAAAUAAAGGUGAAAGAGGAUUUUCCGAGAUAGAGAGAAAGAGGGACCUGUCUUAUUGGUAACUUAGCGUAAUUCUUUGGAUCGUAUUCUGCUCUAUGUGGUCUCUUGUGUUUCCUGCCAACUCCUGAAUCUCGCAACUUGAGGUUUGCUCUUUUCCUGUAUGAGAAUAUGAAUUAACAGUUUUGACUUUUGAGACAUAAAAUGGAUAUGUACAAAGUAAAGAAAAGAAUUCUAACCUGCGCAUAUCGUCACGAUAUUUAGCAUCCAUUUCUUUGUUUGGUGGAUAUUUUGGCAAUGAAGAAGGAUCACACGCGUAAGGCCUCGUCAAGAAAUACUAAGUCCACAUUGAGAAGAAUUCAGAAAAAAAAAAUCUGAGAGUUGAAAGAAAAGGAGGAAUGAAAUUGAAUUUUUUUGCUUCACCUCGGAGUUAAGUGCAGAUGAAGCAGUGCCACGCUUGUCAGGUUCCAUUGAGAGUAAAGUUUCUAAUAGAUAAACACCAGUUGUUGAUAACUCUUUGCAUCGUUCUCUGAGAGUGGCUUCAUAAGUAUGUUGAGGUUUGAAGGAAGUUGCGUGAGGAAGCUUAGUUCUUUUCCAGAAGCUAUCUGGUGGAGAUCCACAUAGCUUGUAGAUCUUAUGCAAUUGUUCAAUCUACGAAAACCAAAAACAAAAAAUGAAAAGAAAAAACAGUGAAGCUUAAAGGAAAGACAUCAAGAUACAAGUUAUGUAAAUAUGAAUAUAUUAUCGAUAAAAUUUGUUGAAAUGAUAGGAAAUAUCUUAUAAAAUCAAUUAGAAAACUCUUAAUUUUUUACAAACUAAGAUAUAAAACCUGAAAAUAUGAAUUUUGAAAUGAAUAUAAUUUUGAAAAAUAUAUAUAUUUGAAGGUUUUUUCAAAAGUAUUUAUGCCGGAUCGAAUAUCAUGAUUCUAGCGGAGAUCCGAACACCGGAUAUUUCAAAAUAAAAUCAGCUCUGUGCCCAUUUCUAAAUCAAUUUUUGUUUUUACCUCGGUUCUGCCUUUUAGGAUUGGUUUUCCCAUGAGAAUCUCAGCAAAAACACAUCCCACACUCCAUAAAUCUACUGAUACUCCAUAACUAGUGGAUCCCAUAAGAAGCUCAGGAGCUCGGUACCACAAAGUCACUACACGGCUCGUCAAUUGAUUUUUGUUCGUAGGUGUAACCACAUUUGCUAGCCCAAAGUCUCCAAGCUUUAAAACUCCUUUGUUAUUCACCAAAAUAUUGGAGGCCUUAAUGUCUCUAUGUAUUACUCCUCGCAUAUGACAAUGCUCAAGUCCCCAAAGUAGUUGCUUCAUGUAACAUUUGAUCUUGUAUGACAUGAAUCAAAAAGAAAGAAAGAAUAUCAAAAACUCUAUCCAAUGUCACAAAGAAAUAGACACGAAUUUCGCAGUUUGUACCUGUGGUUCGGUGAAUCUGAUGUCGGGAUUAGAAGAUAAACCGGCAAGGUCAUGUUCCAUAUACUCAAAAACAAGGUAAAUGCUGCUGGAUGCUCGAGAUGUAACUAUACCCUCAAGUUUCAUGAUGUUUGGAUGGUUGAGUUUCCGCAAUAUCAAAAUCUCUCUUGCCAUAAACCUAAUGCUCUCUGGUUGAAGAUUAUCAAACUUUACCUUCUUCAAUGCCACCAUUUUCCCGGUUUCUACUUCUCGUGCUCGAAACACGCUACUAUAUGUUCCUUGUCCAAUCUAACAUCCAAAUAAAUUCAUCAACACAAAAACAAAACAAAAAAUAUCCUUUCGUUUGUGUAACUUCCUUGACAAGAAACAAUAUGUUUACCUUCUCCAACUUCUGAAACGCCUCUGCCUUUAAAGGAACCCAACCAUGGACAGCCUCAGCCGCAGCUGAACAAAGCCAAGCCGGCCAACCAGCAGCGGCUUGCUCAGCCUCUAUAUUCCUAUGAGACAAUCCAAGACUCACACCAAUCCUCAAAUCAGAACCGCCCAAUCUCCUUGAUUUCCUUGAACGCUUGCUAUUGUGACUUGCCUCCAAAGAAUGAUCAAUAAGAACUCGAUGUUGCUGGCUCGUGGAGAUCAAGCCAGGUUCGGGGACCGGUGACUCACCCUGGUCCGUUAAACAUGAGACAUUCUUGGAGCUGAUGCAACCCAUUUGUUAUAGAAAAAAAUUGUUUCCGGAUUUGGAAACGGGUCUAAUAUGGGGGAAUUAGCCCCACAUUAGGCCAAAAGAUUAAAUGGGAUUGCAGACAAAAGACACAAAGAAGACGAUGAUGAAAAAAAAGGAGGGAAAGAGUAAACCAAAAAAAAAGAUCACAUGACAAAAUUAUUAAAAGUAAAAGGAGACAUUUUUUUUCUGUCUGUUGAAUCUUCUUGUGAAAGAGAGGUAAGGGAAGCUGCAAAACACAACCGCAAAAACAGCAAGAGAGAGAAUCAUGGGACCAAAAUUGGGUAAUAAUCUUUUUUUCUUGUGUUUGCAAAAAAGAGAGAGAGAAAGAAAAAGACAUAUUUAGCUUUGUCACCUGUCUAACAGAGAAAUAGAGAAGACCUAACCGACAAGUUAAAAAGCUAAGAAACAAUUAAGGUGGAUUAGUUAGUUAAUCUAUCCCAAGUUGUUCAGAUGUCAUAACAAAAUCAUAGUUCUCACAAAGACCUAAUAAUAUCUUCCAUAUAUGUCACAACAAGAGCUCUCAAAAGGUAUAUAUACUUACCAGGAGGUGGGGUUUAAAACUAAAGCUUAUUAAAGUUGUACAAUGAUAAUUGUUAGUCAGGUGCAUUGCUUUAAAGGGUCUUCUUCUGUCAAAAGGAUACUUUAAUUUAUACACACAAAGUAAAUUUCACAUAAUAUACCUUAUAGGAGAAGAAACCAUUUGAUAGUUUAUAUCUAUAAAUCGAUAUCAUGAUUCACCACCCCACAUAAACAUUUCUGACAGUAGUACAAAAACAUACUUGAUUGAAACUAUUUGCACUCAUUGGUUGUAAUGUCUUCUCACAUAGUGGUUUGUUAAACCAAACAUUGUUUAUACUUUUCCGGCUUAAUCUUGCUUUAACAACGUCUCUAAUAUUUCAGCAGUUAGAUAACCUCAACAAAUUCUCAUAUGGAUCAUAUGCAACAAAGUCCCGUUACCACCAAAUCUCUGAAUUAUAAAAAAACAAAAGCAUAAACUCUCAACAACUAUGAACAAAGAAUAAAAAAAAUAGUAGCACCUACUUGAUUGAUUAAUCAACAAAAUAUACAUAAUCGAAGUUAGGGUAUCUCAUCAAACACGAAAUGAACCAAAUUAUCUUUUGAAUGUGUUACUUUACGCGGAAUCCUUAGGCAUCAAAGAAGUUCCAUAGAGUUCAAGAAACUGGUUUGUGGAAAGCAAGCAAGUGAGCAAUGAUCAGAAACAAAUGCUAGGAGCAUCAGUGAGAACUUUUUUUUGGUAACAUGCUAAAUUUUAAACCAUUUUUGAGAUUCUUUACAGAAUACGGAGAUGCAACGAAGAGAUACAGAAGACCGAAAUCUACUAAAUAAACAACAAUACGAAAUGGGGCCACACAACGAAAAGAGUAAGCUUUGACGGAAGAAGACAUGAAAAAGCCAUCGAUCCGAGGCCAGCCCUCAAUAUCUCAAAUCAAGUGGUGCUUAAUUCCUAGCAAACUUCCAAUUGGAGAGAAAGAGAGAACUUGGUUAAACAAGUUUUCCAUUUUCUAGUUACACUACGUGCCGUUUCUUUGUCUAUUUCUAAAUUUUAGACAGCGUGUAGUUUUAGUAAUAUCAGUACAAACUACAAAGUGCGUGAAGUCAAGUUUUAUUCUUGAACUAGGAUCGGAUCCGCGGUCCACCGCGGGAGAAUAUUGGUUUACAUAUGUUGCGUUUAAUAUUGUGUGUGUUUUUUAGUAGAACGAAUCGUGUAGUAUACUUAUAAAUAUUCAUAAUAACGAAUUGUAGAGAAAAUGUAAAAUUGUUUAUAAAUAUACCUAUCGUAAUAAUUAUGAUUUACAAAAUAGAAUUUUGUGUUUUAAAAUUCUAAAAUUAGACGAUUCAUGGGAAUUAGAGCAGUCAAAAUAGGUCAAAAACCGCGGGUCCAGUCCACAUCAUCUCACUAUAGGGCAGAUUUGGGAAAAUAUAUUAAACCCGCAAAUAAGCGGGCCACAUGGAUUAAUUCGCAGUGGGUCAUAGGUAUAAUCGGUUUUCAUCCGCGGGUUGGCGGAUCAGUCCGCAUAUUAGUAUUUAUUGAUAAAAUUAUAAUUUAUUCAAUAUGUGGUAAUAAACAAACUUUUAAUAGUAUUUUGAUUUAUUUAUUUAUUUUAGUAAUAUUUUAAAUUUUGGUUACUUUAAAAUUAUUUAAACAAAAUCCAUGGACAAUCUCGCAAAUCCGCAUAUAUUCGCGGGACGUGUUUGUAUUUCAUAUAUGCUACCCGCGGGUCGUGCGGACCGACUAACUACAAGUCAAAAUAUUUUUUGUCUAUCGCAAAACGGACUUAACGGGAUGAAUCAACUCGCUUUGACAGUUCUAAUGGGAAUAUUAUUUAGUCAUACAACAAAAUGAAGUUUGGACAUAGUAAUAAUAGAAUAUGUAUCUUAUUUGUUAGAUGAGAGAUUGAAAGAUGAAGUAUAAUGAUUAAAAAUUAAUUAUUAUUUUUCAUGAUUCACAAAAUUUAAUAAAUACUUAACAUCUUGUUGAAUAAUUCUAAAAUCAUAUUCAAGAAAUCUUUAUAAAUUGAAAAUUAAACUUCUUUGGUAAGCUAUAGGUAUGAAAAUAUCAUAAUUUUGAUUUAAUCUAACUAAAUUAAAAUUAGUUACAUGGAUUUCAAAUCUAUUUAAUUUACACGACCAAAAUAAAAAUAUCUAUUUAAUUUACACGACCAAAAUAAAAAUAUCAAUUUAAUUUAUAAAACAGAUGGGUUAUUUGUGAUAAAUUUUCUAGAAAUCUUUAAAAGCAAGUAAAAUAUCUUUCAAUUAAUGAUAAUUGGCUAAAAUGAGCGAAAUUAAUGACAAAAACGUUGAUUGUUAUGGAAUUAGUCCCAAAAAUAUAUGAACAAAUUUAUUAUACGUAAUUUAUGUUUUUUAUUGUUUGGAAUAUGCUUUUAUUAUUAGUUACCAUAAGUACAAUCAGAUUUUAUUUGAUUUCCAUAAAUAUUUGAUUUUAUUUCGAUUUUUCAUUAUUAAUUCGAAUUUAUAUUCCAAAAAAAUUUCAAAUAUCCGAUUUCAGAAUUUCGGGUCAAUUUUCUGAUUUUAACCCGACCCAUUUUCAUUUGUACUUCUCUUUUAAUAGUAUAGAGAUUCAAGAAAUCUUUAUAAAUUGAAAAUUAAACUUCUUUGGUAAGCUAUAGGUAUGAAAAUAUCAUAAUUUCGAUUUAAUCAAAUUAAAUUAAAAUUAGUUACAUGGAUUUCAUAUCUAUUUAAUUUACACGACCAAAAUAAAAAUAUCUAUUUAAUUUACACGACCAAAAUAAAAAUAUCAAUUUAAUUUAUAAAACAGAUGGGUUAUUUGUGAUAAAUUUUCUAGAAAUCUUUAGAAGCAAGUAAUAUAUCUUUUAAUUAAUGAUAAUUGGCUAAAAUGAGCGAAAUUAAUGACAAAAACGUUGAUUGUUAUGGAAUUAGUCCCAAAAAUAUAUGAACAAAUUUAUUAUACGUAAUUAAUGUUUAAUAUUGUUUGGAAUAUGCUUUUAUUAUUAGUUACCAUAAGUACAAUUAGAAUUUAUUUGAUUUCCAUAAAUAUUUGAUUUUAUUUCGAUUUUUCAUUAUUAAUUCGAAUUUAUAUUCCAAAAAAUUUUCAAAGAUCCGAUUUCAGAAUUUCGGGUCAAUUUUCUGAUUUUAACCCGACUCAUUUUUAUUUGUACUAGUAUAGACUAUAGAGAUGAAUUGAGAAUUGUGUCACAUAUGCGUAUGACACAUGCCAAUCAAAUUAUUAUAUGAUUGGUAAAAAAAUGAUUUAUUACUUAAGAAUAAAAUUUCAGAAUGACGUGUAACGUCGUCGUUGUCGGUAGACACAAAGCUCCAUAAUAAGACUUGACUAUUAUUAUUAUCUUCGAAAUAUCUCUCACAAACCCAAAAAGUUUCUCCGUCUUCGAUUCCGAUCACAAUGAACCCAACCCAAAAACCCGACCCGGUUUACGAUAUCGUCAUACUCGGAGCAUCCGGAUAUACCGGCAAAUACGUCGUCAGAGAAGCUCUCAAGUUCCUUCAAACACCAUCUUCUCCGUUAAAGUCUCUAGCUUUAGCGGGUCGUAACCCGACCCGUUUAACCCAAUCUCUCGAAUGGGCUGCCCGCCCGAACCCACCUCCUUCCUCUGUCGCUAUCCUCACUGCUGAUACAUCUGACCCUGAUUCACUUCGUCGUCUCUGUACUCAAACCAAACUCAUCCUUAAUUGUGUUGGACCUUUUCGUAUCCAUGGUGAUCCUGUUGUCUCUGCUUGUGCUGAUUCAGGGUAAAGUGUGAAUCUUUUCCUCUGUUUUCUUAAUUGUGUUUUAGUUAAAGUUGAUGCCUUUUUGAAGUUUGAGAACUCGUGAUUGUUAACAUUUGAGCUUUGUUUCAAUGAUACUUAAAAAGAUCAAAUUUUUAUUGAGUUCUUGACAAAUGAUAGCUUAUAAGAAUGGUUAAAAGUUGUAGCUAGAAAAAGUGUAAUCUUUUCUAGUUUCAUAUGAUUGCUGCUACAUGGUUCUUUAUAGGGACAAAAAUUGUAGCUUGAUGAAAAAUGUGUAAUCUUGUUAAGUUGGUUUUUUUGUAGGUGUGAUUAUUUGGAUAUAAGUGGUGAACCUGAGUUCAUGGAGAGAAUGGAAGCUAACUACCAUGAAAGAGCAGAAGAGACUGGCUCUUUAAUUGUUUCUGCUUGUGGUUUUGAUUCAAUUCCUGCUGAAUUGGGUCUUCUCUUCAAUGCUAAACAAUGGGUAUCUCCAUCGGUUCCUAACCAGAUCGAAGCGUACCUUAGCUUGGAGUCUGACAAAAAAAUUGCUGGAAACUUUGGGACUUAUGAGUCUGCGGUUUUAGGUGUUGCUAAUGCGGAGAAGCUUAAAGAACUAAGACGUUCAAGACCAAGAAGGCCAAGACCAUCGGUAAGUAAUGCAUUUAACAUAAUGUGACAUUGAAACAAUUCUGCUUGAGAUUGAGAUAGCGUUGACUAAAUUGUCGAUUUUGUACAUUCUUCGUUAGUAGGCUUUGGCUUAUAUUGAACUCUGGAAUGUAUUUGCAGAUUUGUGGUCCUCCUGCUAAAGGACCAACACUAGAAAACCAGAAGACGAUAGGUCUUUGGGCUUUAAAGCUACCUUCAGCUGAUGCAGUAGUUGUUCGUAGAACUCUCACAACUCUAACAGAGAAACCCCAUGGGCUUCCUGGGCUUAAUGAAAGUCCUGAGCAGAUACAAAAGAGAGAAGCAUUUUGGUCAUCGAUCAAGCCUGCUCAUUUCGGUGUAAAGAUAACGUCCAAAUCUCUCUUUGGGAUAUUCCGAUAUGUUACACUUGGAGUGUCCCUUGGUUUACUUUCCAAGUUCUCCUUCGGAAGAUGGCUUCUUUUGAAAUUCCCUUCGGUUUUUAGCCUUGGUUGGUUCCAGAAGAAAGGUCCAAGUGAAGAAGAGGUAGAAAGCGCUACGUUUAAGAUGUGGUUCAUAGGUCGUGGGUACAGCGAAGAGAGUCUAGCUUCACAAGGAGAAACAAAGCCUGACCUGGAAAUUAUUACAAGAAUUUCAGGACCUGAGAUUGGGUAUAUAACCACCCCAAUAACACUUGUUCAAUGCGGUCUGAUAGUCUUGGGCCAGCGCGAAAGCCUAGUUAAAGGAGGAGUCUUCACACCCGGCAUUGUGUUUGGUUCAACCGAUAUCCAGCAGCGACUUGAAGAGAAUGGUAUAUCCUUUGAGGUGAUUUCAAAGAUCAAGACUCAAGGAUAAAAAGAGAUCUCUUCUCCUGCUUUCCUAUUCUGCUUUUAGUUGUUAUGUUUCUCCAUCUAAUUAGCUCGAGUUCGAGCUUUUUAAUCACAGUGAAGACCGUUUGAUGGUAAGUUGUAUUCCAAUAAUGAAAAACCGUUUCCUUUACUUUUACUAUGGAUUUAUGUACUCAAAACAGAGAAUCUGGUUCUUAAAACUGGAAACAGACCAUCCUAGUGAAAAAAUGGAUGGUAAGAGAAUCCCAUAAAUCAUAUUACUGUCUAUCAUUUACCAAAACUGCAAUCCCUGCUACAAAAUAAAACAUUGUUCAAAAAGUGGUUCUUUUGCUGAUAUUGUUUGAUACUUUCCCAUUAGCCUCUGCAUUUGUACAUGGAAACUCUGUUUUCAGCCAUUGAAGUGUUUUGCAGAUAUCAGCAGAGCUAUUCAAGCCUCCUUUGUGGCUGAGUGAUGAAACAGAACCGUUUAAAAACUCAAUUGUUGAAUCCAGUGAGCUGAAAAUGAGGCCUUAAGAGAGAGAAAGGUCAUCGCGGGAAAGAAACUUUCCGAAUUUUGAACAAGCUGGGCCAAAGAGUAACUCCAAGCUAAAAUCAGGACCAGAUAUCGAUCUUCCGUUACCACCAACUUUAUCUAGCUCUCCUAUGGAAAACUGCAGGAGCAAGAAAUGGCCAUAAAUAAGAAUGCCAAGAGAGAACAAUGGCUUUGAGGCAUCUGGAGAAUUUUACCUGAAGUAAGCCAUUGGUUAUAAAAGCUGUGUUGAAGCAAGUAUAAAAAAGACGGCUUCCAAUCAUUUUCUGGUAGAAUGUGAUGCGUAUGUCUCCACUCACCUGUCCAAGAAUCAUAUGCUUAUCAACAUAUUAUCAAAAACAUUGUCUGGAAGAAGAUUUGUUUUGUGACUUACUCUCACAGGUUUGUCAAAGUAGAAAUCAAGACAUGUUUUCUCGUCGAUAAUUGAACUCUCUGUAUCCAUUUGAACAACAAGACGUGGCUCUUCUCCAUCUGUUACUUCCUCAUCUUCUUCUGAAUCACAGUUCACAUGAGAUAUAUAAUACCGUGGACUCGAGCUUCUACAAUACCCUUUCUUGAAUUGUCUACAACAACCUCUUGCAAGUUCUACAGACGGUCGAUACAUCUCAUUUGGAACCUAACAUCAUAAAUAUCAUUGCAUCAAAGUUUAUAUAUUAAGAAGCAACAGAGUCUGCAAUGCAUCAAAGUGUAUAUAUCAUUACCUCCUGAAGUUCCGAGACCACAAAGAAGACGGAAUCAACGUUGGCUGUAUCGUAAAGUCUAAUUCGAAGCAACUCUCUGCUAUGUUCUUGAGGUAAUUUAACCUCGGGAGGUCCCCUUUUACGAAACGAAAGUAAAUCUGACCAGUAUUUCACAUAACGACGUUGGCUUGGUAUUGAGACCUGUCAUGGUAUUGUUUAUUAGAUUGAUUCUCUAUUAAUCCGUAGCUAAAUUAAGUACUUACUCCAUUAUUGUUUGUUGUUCUUCUGCUUGCAUACAUCUCAAGAGCUUCUUCAGCUGACAUUCCACCAUAAACAAGGUACGCCGAUACCAUUAACCCUGUUCUGCCUUUUCCUGCCUGCACAAAGUACAUUAGAAUAUGAAAAUGCAACAAUGUGGAAGAAACCGUGUUGUGGUUUUAAGAAAGUACCAUGCAAUGAACAACCGCGAUGUUCUUGGGAUCUAGUGAGAGCCAAGAAUGAACACUUUCGCAGAAAAGUUGGAUCAUUUUGAGAGAUGGAACAUGAUUGUCAUCAAACGGAAAUCGUUCCACGCGGCCAUAGAAGUUUUCUGGAUCAUAAGAUUCCUCUAUACAUAGAUUAUAGACCUAGGAAAGAAUUGCAGGACCAAAAAAUGUUUAGAGAGAUUGGUUAAUUUGUUGAUCAAUGUUUGAUUAACCAUAUGUCUUAUAGACCUUGUAAUGAUCAGGAUGUCGCAUAUCGAGCACGGAUUUGACUUGCCAAAGAGGGUUUCUAUAAACUGCUCUCAUUCGUUCAGCUGGAAAAGACAUUGCCAAUAAUUUGUCAGAGAUGUAAGACAUGUCGAGAUCAUAUCCACCGAUGAUUAACCGUCUUCGUUUCUUGGACACCAAGCUACGUAGGUAAGAACUUGUGCUAAGGUAAGUUAGAAUGUGAACCCUCGUAAAUUCCAAAGUUGAUUUUUCUUUUACAGGCCCUCUUGAGAGCUUGAGACCCAUUCUGAAGGAAAGAAACAUAUCAUUAGGUUAGGUAACGUACUUCGCAAGAAAAACAAUAUGAUCAAAAGGUUUAUACCUGAAGAAUUGAACAUGAAGUUGAGGAAGAGAUAUUCAGGUUCCCAAAUUGAGGGAAUUGGGAACCCGAGAAAGAAGAAGAUGUCGCGAGGUAAUACAAAACGAAAAACUUCAACUUUUUGGAGGAAAUGGGUUUUGUUACCUGAAUAGAGAUAAUGGUCAUUCAUAGAAGAAAACGAUGAACAACGAUGCAAUUCCAUUUUUGGAGCUCCUGAAAUUUAGCCAAGCUUCCCUUUAAAUUUAGGUUUUUCUUUCUACUCUUAUAUUCUCUUUCUACAUUUAACGGUUAGUUUUGGCGGGAAUGUAUAAGGGUAUAUAUAUAAGAAGAGUGAUCAUUUUGAUUCUUCAAUUUCUCAAGCUUCCAGCUUUCGUUUCGUAAAGAUUCCAUUAGUAUGAAGAAAAUUAUAUAUAUAUAUAUAUAUAUAUCUAUGGCUUGAGUACAUUCAUGUUCGGUCGGUUCCAUUCGGUUCAGGGUAGUUUGGUUAGGGAUUCUAAGAUUCAUGCGGGUAUUAUGAUGAGAAUGACUGAAGCAGUACAAGAAUUAAUCUCAACCAAAUCUAAGUUCUCCUCAUGAAUGGAUAUUUAACGCGAAGAUGCAUACAAUCUAGACUAUGAUGAUGAUAUCAUAUAUAGUCACCUUCUCAACUACUUAUGGGGACACAUUGAAUGUGUCUUUACUUCGUGCUUCAUGGUUACAUAGAGACUACUCUGUUGCAAGAAUGAUAAUCUUACUUAUGAUGUUAAUAAUUUUUCAUGGGCGCAUAAACGGGUUGUUGUGAAAUUUCCUUUUCUUUCGGUUCAAGUUUUGUGAUUGCUUCAAGUUUGGUCCCAAAUGAGAUUCAGUGGUUCUAAUCUAUUUCUAUACCAAGAUGUGUGUGUAUCUAUCUUGCUUCAAUGAUUUGUCCACUUAGAUAUAAUGAUUAAAGUGGCCAAAGUUUUAGCCUUUUUCCCCACCACAGAAGAAAGGUAAGAGUGAAAAAGCUUCUUUAGUGUUUCUUUCAAGUUCAUCCACUUUACAUGCAUUCAUAUAUGCUUAUGUAUUCACUUGUUCACCAAAAUAUGCAAAUCUAUCCGUCUAAACCAUAACCAUUUGGACCUUUUAACACAAUAAUUGUUUUUUUUGAAUUUGAUAAGCAAGGUUAUAACAAUCUAGAAAAGAUACAAAUAAAAUUAUUUAAGAUAAAAACCCCUAAACGUAAUCUCAAAGAAUAAAACAUACAAAGUAGAUUAAUUUAAGGGACUGUAAAACUUUUAGUCAGAUAUUUUUUUCUCCUAAUUUUAAGUUUGUUUGUUUUGCCUUUUUAAAUAUACUAUUUAGAAUUUCAAAAUUACGGAUAACAUCUUGCUAACUCAGGAAAUGUUUCAUGGCUUACGGACUAAUAGAAUGUGUAGAACGGAUUUUUUGGCAAUCAAGACGGAUAUGAGCAAAGCGUAUGAUAGGAUAGAAUGGGAUUUUUUAGAGGCGGUCAUGACUAGGUUGGGUUUUAAUUCUGCGUGGGUUUCUUGGAUUAUGUGGAGUGUUAGUUCAGUCUCGUAUCAGGUUUUAUUGAAUGGAGAACCUAGAGGAAAUAUCAUUCCCAAUAGAGGUUUACGGCAAGGUGAUCCCCUAUCGCCUUAUUUGUUUAUCUUAUGUACGGAGGUACUGAUUGCAAAUAUUAACAAGGCGGAAAAGGAGAAGAAGCUCACCGGAAUUAAGAUAGCGAAAAGAAGCCCUGCAAUUUCACAUUUGCUUUUUGCGGAUGAUAGUCUCUUUUUCUGUAAAGCAGAUUCAGAGCAAUGUAAAACGGUGAUGGAUAUUAUUGGGAAUUAUGGUAAAGCUUCAGGGCAAGAGAUAAAUUUUAGUAAAUCAUCGGUUAUGUUUGGUAAGCGCGUAGCAAACCAAAAAAAAGAUCAACUUAAAAACAUCCUUGGAAUCACUAAGGAAGGUGGCAUGGGUACCUAUUUGGGUAUUCCAGAGAGCUUAGGAGGCUCGAAAAGUAAAAUCUUUAAUUAUGUCCGAGAAAGACUUAAUGAACGGAUUAAUGGCUGGUCAGCUAAAUUUUUGUCAAAAGGUGGGAAAGAAACAAUGAUCAAGUCAGUGGCUUUGGCACUCCCAACCUAUGUUAUGUCUUGUUUUAAACUCCCUCAAGAGUUAACAUCUAAGUUAACAAGUGCUAUUUCUAAUUAUUGGUGGAGCUCUAAUGGAAGAGAUCGUGGGAUCCACUGGAUAGCAUGGGAGAAAAUGUGUAAGGACAAGGAGGAAGGAGGUCUAGGCUUUCAUUCCCUCGAUACUUUUAAUGAUGCCAUGUUGGCCAAACAGAAUUGGCGCUUAAUCCAAUACCCGAACUCUUUAGUAGCUCGGGUGUUAAAAGGUAGAUAUUUCAGGAAUAUUCAUCCUUUACAUGCAAAAAAACCAAACUCUCCAUCGUUUGGAUGGAAGAGUAUUUUUUCGACUAAAAGACUAGUUACGAUGGGAGCUAGAUGGUCAAUAGGUUCAGGUUUCAACCUAUCGGUAUGGCGAGAUCCUUGGAUUCCUGAUAUUAAUCCACGGCCCGCGAAUGGGAGAGGAAAAUCAUUGCUUCCAAGUUUGAUGGUUAACCAUUUAAUUAAUCCGGAUUCUAAAAAAUGGCACCUUCCCAUUUUACAGGAAUAUUUGGACCCAGUGGAUAUUCAGUUUAUUAGAGGACUGACUAUUAGUCAAGUUUAUAAGCCAGAUAGGCUUAUUUGGCAUCAUACAAAAUCAGGAAGAUAUACAGUAAGGUCAGGCUAUCAGGUUGCUCGAGAGAUGACAGAACCGAUCGAAUGGGGCCCAAGUUAUAAAUCAUUAUAAGCACAAGCUUGGAAAAUCAAAUGCCCUCCAAAAAUAAAACAUUUCUUAUGGCAAAUUGCUUCAGGAGCCUUAGCAGUUACUUCAAAAUUAACACAUAGAGGGAUUCAAUGUGAUAUUAUCUGUAAAAAGUGUGAGUUGGCAGAGGAAACAAUAAAUCAUGCUUUAUUUUAGUGCUCACAUUCUCAGAACAUAUGGGAGUUAUCAACAAUCCCUACGGCAUCAGGUAGUUUUCCUCUAAGCUCGGAACUUUUAAACCUAGAUUAUCUUUAUUGGAGGCUACCAUCUAUGUUAGAUGGGGGGGGGGGGGGAGAAAACCGACCUUUAUGCUUGGAUCUUGUGGUUCAUAUGGAAAGAUAGGAAUAAAAAGGUUUUCAAGGGAUUAUAAUCGGAUCCCACAGAUAUCUUAAAUCACGCUUUAAGUGAAAAAUCAUUGUGGGAAGAAGCUCAGUUAGAACCGAUCGAAACUAGUCCCAUUACAGAAACUAUGGAAAGCCCAGUUCAGACAAUAAGAUGUCGGAUUGAUGGCUCUUGGAAAAAUUCGGACCCAACUAUGGGUAUAGGAUGGUGGUGUUUUCAAGGAACUGAACAAACGAUACUACUCGGUGCAAAGUGCCUGCGGAGAUGUCCCUCCCCACUUCACUCGGAGAUGGAAGCUUUAAUAUGGGCUAUGAAGAAUAUCUUUUCAAGAAGGAUCGAUUGUCAGGCGUUUGAAACAGAUUGUUCGGAGUUAGUCUCGAUGAUACAGUCACCUGAUGAAUGGCCCGCUUUCUCCAAUCUGCUAGAUGAGUUUGGUUUACUCCGCGCUUAUUUCCCUUUCUUCUCGCUUUCUCUUAUUUCUCGUUUAUGCAAUGUUAAAGCGGACUGCUUAGCCCGCUCUUCUAGACUUUUAUUCUCUGAAAUUUCUUUUGUAGACUUUUUUCCUCCUAAUUGGGCAAUCAAUCUAGGAGUUAUAUAUUAAUUAAUGUGUAGUUGAUAAAAAAAAAAAAAAUACAUAGUACAAUCUAGAAUAUUUUUUUUCCAUCAAAAUAGUUUAUGUUGAGUUAAUGUGAUCAGUACAUAGUUGUUGUUGUUAUAGUCUUUUUUUUUUUUUUUUUAUUAUAGUCAUAUAAGCGGGUUUACAGAAUCAAAAGUUAGAAAGAUUACAACCAAAUUUAGCUAGACUAUGCGCAGUGCGUCGUUCCUCGAAGAGCCAUUGACUAAUAUCUUUAGAAUGUCUAAGUUUUCUUACCAAUUAAAACAUUUUUUUAUAGUGGCAACUAAAUUUUGGAAUCCUUAACUAAAAAACGCACACGCUAUAUCAUGAUAUUUUCUUACAAAUAUUAAAAUAAAAUUUGAUUAUUUACUGCAUUUAUAUCCAUAAAAAAUAUUCAAAAUCAAAUCUCUAGUCUAGAGAGAAUGUUCAUCAAUUUAAACGUUCUAUACUAACAUUGCACCAUAUAACUUUGUUUCUUGGUAUCAAUGUUAAGUAUUUAUACUAUUUUCGCAAGUUUUUGACAAAUAUUACAGAGAAUACAAGAAAAAAGAAAGACCGAAAACUACAUAAAUCACCAUAAACUACAACACAAGCAGAAAACAGAAAGAAAGCACAAGUGAAAACUCUACAAGUAGAAACCGAGGAAAAAACACCGAUUCCGAACCACAAAAUACGGUUUUGUUUUCUGCUUCUUCGUUUUGUGUCAACUUCUAAAGGUUUUUAGAUUGUAUAUACGAACCUUCCUCUACCUUAUAAUACAAUGUUGCAUUAGCUCUGUUAAUAUUUCAAUUAUAGUAUAUGUCUGAAAUUUGAAGACGUCAGAAAAAAACUUUGAAAAAGGCGAAAAGAUUGCUUUGAGGUUGGAGAUAGUAUUUAAUUUAGAAACCGACCAUUCAUUAAUCAUCAUUAAAUUAAAAUAUGUAUUGUUUUUCAAAACUAACUUUCUUAUUCCUCCAAUGAAAAUGUAAAGGAGAGACUCGGAAUAGCUUAUUGCCUUAUUCAAAUGAUUGUUCGGUUAUAGCGUUGAGAUAAAUCAAAUGAAAACUGAGCUUUCAAACUUUCAUGAGCUGGGUUGUGAUGUGUUUGGUUUACUAUUUUAUAUUUACUUUAGCUUUCAAGAGUUUUAAAAAAAACUUUUACCAUUUGUAGGAAAGUUAUAAAAUAUACCACAAAAAUAUAUCAAUAUUAAUGUAAUAAGUAUAUUUUUAAAAAAUCAAUAAAAUAGUAUAAAAUUUAAUCUCUGAAACUUUAGAUUAUAAACUCCAUAAAGCGGCUUUUCUUACAAUUAAAAGUGAAAAACAUGAUUUUCUUUGUUUGAUUGGGUAAACGACUGUCGAACAUCGCUAAAGACUUGAAAAUUUAAAUUUAGACUUUGAUGUCUAUCCAUAAUUAUAGUUAUAGUUAAUUCUUAUAAUUAUUCAUGUAUAUUAUCUAAAAGUAUUGUAAAAAAAAGUUUAUAUUUAUUUCUUUGCAUUGAAAGUCUAUAAAAAUGACAGGUAAAAGGUUUAUAUUUAGUUCUUUACAUUAAAAUGAAAUUUAUUUCAAAUGACAAUACCACUAAAAUUUAAUGGAACUUGGAAAGUAAUAAAUUGAAUACCAAGACUUAAUUAGGAAGAAUGACUAUAAAUACUGAAUCAAAGAAGUAAAUUCAUGAAUAAAAUACAUAAUUGAAUAAAAAAGUUACUCUCUUUAUUCCUAAAAGGUUGAUGUUUUAGUUUUUGUUAUUUGUUCCACAAAAAUUGAUUUUCUAAGAUUUUCUUUUAUUUUUAUUGACUUAUAAUAGUAAAUUGUAAACUUCAAGAUACAAUGAUUAUAAAUCAUUAACUUUCUUAGACUACUAUUGGUUGAUAAUUAUAAAAAAAUAUUUUAAAUUAAAAAAUAAUGUUAAAAUGAUCAAAGAAUGAUUGAGUUCUUAAUAUGUGAUAACUCCAAAACAUCAAACUACUAGGAACAGAGUAUUAAUUUAUUUAUAACUCAACUCCGGUUUGGGUCCGGUUACAGUAUACAAAACCGAACUAAACCGAACCAUGUGAUGUAAAGUAAGGUUCCGUACUUUUUAUAUAACCCCACAAGCUCCUUCUAAAAUCUAAGAGAGGUUGCAAAAAUAUUAAAUACGAUCUCUGAUUCUGCGACGAACGCGGAAAGCGAAAUUGGAGAAGAAGAAGAAAAGCCCCCCACCACCACCACCACAACAACGUAAAGGAAACCCAAAAAGUCGGAGGCCAAAAUAAAAAUAAACCCUUUAUUUUAAGUCGCUUGCACGAUCUCGGAGAAGGAAGAAAACACCGACCCAGAAGAAAAGGAUUCAGCUUUUCUCUGAAUUCGUCAUUCUCUUUGAAAAAGUAUUUUUCUUUUUUUCUAUUGAAUCAGUUCUCAAAACUUUUUUUUGAUCAGAAUGAUUUUGCCAUUUAUUCGGUAAUGUGAAUAUUUUCUUACAAUUUUCGAGGGUUUUAUUUAGUUUUGGGAUUUAGGAUUUGCUUAAGAAACGUAAAGUAUGGAUCUUUAUGCUUCAAGAUGAAGUUUAGCGUUAUAGUUUUAUUCAUUUUAUUUUAUUUGAUUAAAGAAUCCUUCAAGCUACCUUGCAUUUAUGACAUUUUGUUUGCUUAGUUUUCGAAUAACUUAUUUUCUCUGUUUUUGUUUAUCAGAUUUGUUCUUUUGAGAGCCAAGAGCCAAGCUUGCUUAACUAAAUUUGAAACCUUUUGAUAGGUAAUGAAUGUUCUUUGCUUUGUAGUACAAAAAUGGUCGUUUCAAGUUACAGAAAAAAAAAGGUUUAAGUUUUGGAAUCUUGUGGUGGAUUGGAUAAAUAUUGUUGCUUGAUGGAUUAUUUUAUGACAUUUCCUAUUUUUAGUCGGUUUUUUUACGGCUCAAAGUUUUGGUUUUUAUGUUUUUAAUUAGUUUCUGUUAGGGGUUUUUGUGUUUAAUCUCUUCACUAAUCUGUUUUUGAGUUGUCUACUCUUUAAAAUUCACAAAGCAAUGCAAAAUUAGACGGCUAUAUUGAGCAGUAACUCUUGCAAGAAGUAAUUUGUAUAUAUAUGAUCUCAUAUGUGUUUUCUUGUUUGUAUAUAUAUGAAGUAGUGAUUAUGUUUGAUUUGGUGUUAAUGUCUGAAAUUAUGAACAGAUUGUUGUCUCUUUCUGGUGCUUCUUGAUGGAUGAAGAAGCUGUGAAACCCUUUGGAACGACUGAAAUGAUGAAUAAGGAAGAUGGUUCUAGCCCGGGAGGUGAUUCUACAGGGAAGGCAAUGGCUUCAAAGUCUAAAGAGAAAAAGAUCCCUCAUUACCUCAGAGCAUCCACUGGUUCGUGUCAUGAUCUGUGCAAGUAUGGGAAGAGACAGAUACCUGUGGAGAAACCAUGGCGUUCGACUACUAAAAAGAUCUUCAAGAAAUCUCUUGAUGGGGAGUUGAAUGAAACUUUGAAGCCGGGUUCUUCUAAAGUGAAGAAGGUAAUGGAUGUCAAGAAAAAAAUGGUUAGUGAUGAUUCUUCUGAGGUGAUUAAAAGAGAGGUUGUCAAGCAUCAAGUGAGUGGUGUCUCUAGUGGAGUGAAGAAGCCAGAGGUAUUGAUAAUAUCAUCUGGUGAUGAAACUCCUGUGAAGCAGAUGAAGAAGAAGACAACAUUAAGUUCCAAACUUAAACCUUCACCAGAUUUGGGAUCUCGUUCAUCAGGAAAUGUUGAUGCCCUGAAGCCGAAAGUUUUAACGAAAUCGUAUUCAGCACUAGCAACAUCGAAAUCUAAGGUAAACCAUGAGCAUGUUGCUUCACCAGUUUUGAAACCUAAAAUGGGUAACAGAAGUGAAGGAAAAGACGAAGAUGCAAAGAUAAAGAAGGUUACAGUUUCCUCAAGAGUUGCUUCUAAGAAGGUUCCGGUGACUCCUAGAGCGUCGCUUUCUCCAAGAUUAUCACUAAGAGUAGCUGGAAAUUCAAGUUUGAGAAAGAGUCAGAGCUUAAAGGCCGGCUCUUCCUCUUCUCGGCAAAAUCAGAAACCAAAACGUGUGAAUCACACUGAUGAAUCUAAUAAGCAGUUGGAUGAUUAUCCAGUCGAGGAGAAAACAUUGCACGUUGUUGAAAUGGAAACAACUAACAAUGUCGUCUCUGAAAAUGAUCAGAAUCAGCAAGGUUUUGUUGAACCUUUUCUUCCUCCUCUUCCACCGACCCACUCAAUUCCAAAAGAUGAUGAGUGUACUGUUUCAGAAACAGAGGAGUAUGAGUACACUUCAGGAAGCAACGAAGCUGAGAGCGAAGAAGAAGAGAUUGGAUUGUCCAAUGGAGAGAAAAAAACAAGAGCGGCGAGAAAGGAGGGUGAUUCUGCAGAUGAAACUGCACGGAAGUUACGUUUCAGAAGAGGAAAAAUUAUGGAUCCUGAUACUGUUGGUGAGAGUGCAAGGAAGCUCAAGUUUAGACGAGGAAGGGGUCUAGGGGAAGACAAAGCGCAAGAUGCACAAGUUAGGAGAAGCUUUAAGAAGAGGGAAGAUAUCAGAGAAGAAGAAGUCGAUGAGGAUGGUGAAAAAGUUGUGCUGAGGCAUCAAGAUGUUCAGGAGAAAGAUGCACAGGGACUGUUCAACAAUGUCAUUGAAGAAACAGCGAGUAAACUCGUUGAAGCUCGAAAAAGCAAAGUUAAAGCUUUGGUUGGUGCUUUCGAAACCGUCAUUUCUCUUCAAGAAUCUUAAAACGUCCUGCUAACUCUGGUAUUGGACAUGCAAGAGCAAAAGCUAACAUUGAAUCUUUGAUUUUCUAGUAGUAGUUUAUUUGGUUUUGGUUUGGUCUGCAGAAACUGGUAAUCUAGAUUGAGCCGGUUUGAAUCGUUUCGGUUUGUUGAACCUGAAGAAGAUUUGAUGCUUCAUACAAAGUUAAAGGAUAUGUCUCUGCCAAACAUUAAUAGUGGUGCUUUGUGAAUAAUACUUGAUGGAUUGGGGUUUGUGUUUGGUUUUGGUUCUUCUAGACCGGUUUGUUGGUUUUCAUUGGAUUGUUUGAGUUUAUGGUUCAGUUUGUAUAGAAAAAUUCUGCUCUGUUUUCUUACAUUUGUUGUUGGUUUUUGUCUUGUAAAAAGAAGCACUUUCAAUAGGUUUUCUUUCUGCUUAAACCGGAUCCUAAACCGUAUUUUCUGGUUUUGCAUAACACCGAUCGUUAUUGGUUUAUGAACAAAUGAAUUGAUGGCCAACCUGAAAAUGCCACGUCAUCUAAACCACGCUAGUAAAAGCACAAAAGCAGAGCAUAUUUGGCACAUAAGUGUGAUUGUACAUAGUCAUCAACACGAGACAUAAUCUAGUAAGCCAAAUUCAAAUAUUUGAUUUUGAAAUUUUUCUUGUCCAUACCACAUAUCUCUAUCGGGAGAUCAAUGAAAUCGAUGGAGAUUACGAACCAAAAUCGAAAUAUGAUUAUGGAAAUAUGGUGGAUUUGCAUAUCCGAGUUUAGGCUAUUUAACAUUAUCUCUAAAUAUAUUAUUUAUAUUUAAGUUUAUUUUAAUUUAGAAAACUUAAAUUUAUUCCAAGUCUAUAUAAGUACCUUGUAUCUUUUAUUCUUAUGAGGGUCUACUAUAAUUCUUUGGGAGCUAAAUCACGUGGAACUCGAACGUUCUCCAAAUCCCACCAUCACAACCAUCAAAGUCAAAAUCAAUUAGUCCCACAUUGGCUUUUAAACUUUACUUUGAAUUAAUAUCAAAGACUUUGACCGGGUGGCAAAAAAUUUGGGUAAAAGUUUUGACUUCCAAAAAUAAUUUGUUACAUAAAAUAGUGAACAAUUAUUACAAAAUGUAGUUGUAUCUUUCAAGGUUUUAUCAAUAACAUUCAGAUGACAACAAAAAAUACAGAUAUCUCAUAAUUCCAAAUGUUACGCAUAUAGGUGUUUAUACAUGCACCCAUGGACAUAUAUUUAGACCGGUUCGGUCCUUUUAAGGUCUAGGACGACUGGUCAAAUCCAUCACCACUUUUGUAUAUCUUAAACCAUAUAUAGCUAUAAACAAAAAUCAGCUAAACCCUACCAACAAAAUUCUAUUGUAAAUUGAUUUAUAUAAGACUUGUUUGUAUGUACAAUGUAGUCUUUAAUGAUCUAACAUUGUAACUAUGAGAUAGAAUUUUAUGUUGUGGUCUCCUCUCUUGCAAGUUAAACUACUAAUCAAAAGCACAAUGUAGAUAAAUGUCCACCAUAAAUCGUUAAUUACAUAGAAAAUUGCGCGUUCAAAAAUCGUCUGAAAAACUGGUUUCUUUUCUUGUAACAUAUGGGAUAUAGUAUUUUCAGGUCUUACCGUUUUUAAAUGAUUAAUUCUUUGUAUCUAAAAUUUGAGAAAGAAAUUAAGUCUGCAAAACGUUACGUUUUAGAGUGUCUGAAAAUUGGAGAUUAUGAUUACAACAUGUUGUCGCCUUAUGCACCACAAAAGCAAAGUAUUUGACUCUUACAGAGAGCAUGCAUCAAGGAUGAAAAGAUUGCUAAAAGAAGUGGUUUUGUGCAAUAAAAAUAUGAAGUGAACUGCGGCAGUCUGAGAGCUAUAUACAUUAUUGUCUAAAAAUAUGAAACGAAAUGUGAGUACUUCAUAAUUUGGCAAGUACUACAUUAUAAUUUUACUUUCUGAUCAAAUAACGUGAGAAGGUUUCUGUAUUUUUUGCUAUUGAUUUACAUGCUACUGAUCUUUAUAGUAAAACAGACAAAAACAUUAUAAAAUAUAAAUUUAAGUACUUUGCUAUGUUUUCUUUUUAUCAAGUUCCAAGAUACUUCCCACACCGGCUGGAAAUGAACUUUUAGAAUCCUUCUCCCAUAAAUAAAUUCCUUGCGAAACACGUCGUUUGAUUACCGAGGUUCAAUGGCCGAGUAGGUUGCUUCGGCCACAGUCCAAGAUUCUUCGUUUAGCUCCUUUCGUGACGAGGAACCAGUCUCAAGAUGACUUCUACGGACUAAAUAACCAGGCGGUCCAGGCGGAUCGAUCUCCAUUGUGUCGCUUGCGAACAUGACAGACACUAAUAACAUCGUGGGUCUAUCCUCUGCACGUUCUUGAACACACAAGAGACCAAUCUGUAUGCAUCUUUUAACUUGGUGUGGUUGAAAUGUUGAUGAAUCAAGGAUAACUUGAUCUAUGCUGUCGAGCCCUUUUCCUUCCUUCCAAUUCCUCCAUAUCUGUUCACCAUAAAAAAAGCUUUAAGCGUUUAUCAAUCACAACAAAGAAAAAGAAGACGAAAAUGCUUUGGAUGAUUAUUAAACUUACAUAUGUAAGAAGACUUUCUUCGUUCUCCGAGUAUAUAUAAAAGUCUCUGUUUUUUACUCCAAAUAUAAUCUCAAGAAGCACGACUCCAAAGCUGAAAACAUCUGACUUUGUUGAAUAAGUUCCGUCCUCCGCGUAUUCGGGAGACAUAUAACCGCUUUGUCAAGAAACAAGAAACACAAUUGUGAGUUUUUGUAAAGUGUUUGCUUUAUUUCCAAAUGUAAAGAUGAUGCUGAUAGUUUGUUUGCUUACAAAGUUCCAACGAUCUUUGUUGUGUUAGCUGCUGUCGUACGCUUGUCGAAGAGUUUACUCAUCCCAAAAUCUGAUAUCUUCGGAAUCAUAUCUUGAUCAAGUAAUAUGUUGCUCGGUUUUAGGUCCCUGUGGACCAUCGGACGCCGCGAAUCUUGGUGAAGAUAUAAAAGUCCCCGAGAGAUUCCAUUAAUAAUUUGGACCCUCUUCUCCCAGGUUAGCUUAGAGCUUUGGCUUUUGUCUAAGAAAACCAAACUCACAUUAGUUUCUUUUCAAUAACUUUUAACCUUAAAAAAUACAACUUCUUAAACUGUGAGGCACUAACCGAAUAUAAACUUAUCGAGGCUAGAGUUUUCCAAGUACUCAUAUAUUAAAAUCAUCUCACCACCCUCAAAACAGUAUCCCAGGAGCUGGACGAGGUUGACGUGUUGGACACUGGCGUUCAGACUCAACUCAUUCUUAAAUUCAUCGAUACCUUGAGUUGACAUCUUCAACAAUCUUUUCACAGCGAUUUCUUGUCCGCCAAGUAACCUUCCCUGUUAUAUGUAUAUUAUAUAAAUUACACGGAAUUUACUGAACUAGUAGAUAUCUUAUGUGUAUAUAUAUGUUAAUCUACCUUGUAAACAAUACCAAAACCACCUUGACCGAUUUUAUUUGAAUCCGAAAAACCUUGGGUCGCCACUACAACUGUUUCAAGUGUCAUUUCCUCACAAUGUAAUUCUCCUGAUAUAGUCAUUAGAAGUAAAAAAUUACUUACUCAAGUGAAAAAAAAACAAUUUCCAUUCUGACACAAAUAUGAAGAGAAAAAAAAAAGAUAAUCACAAAUGUACCAAUAGGUGCGGUAAUUGCUUUUGUUGGCGGUCUCUUUUUUCUUUUCCAAACGCAGACCAUUAUAAUAAAACUUAGAAGAAGCAAAAUGACAACUCCGACAAUAAUAAAUAUUAUUUUUGUAUUAUUUUUUUUAUUUUUAUUUUUUCCUUCGUCCCCUGAAAAACAAGUAAAAAUGUCACAAAAUUUAUCACGUUAUUUAUGUUACAUGAUGAAUAUAUAUUUUUUUAUGUCAUCACGUAAUCGUAUAUGAGUGUUUCGGUAUUUUCUAACCACAUCCGGCAUCCCAUGUAUUUUAUUUGCCACAAUAUACUGUUAUGUUACGUAAGUGUAUAUCUAUUUAUUAUUAUUCAUUUUUGAACAAUACAUCAUUUUUUAAUAUUAAAAAAAUCUUUUGUUUUAUGUGCUAAUUUGCUAAUAUAUCCUCACUCAAAAUUAAUUUUAACUCAUGUGCCUAAUAUUUUUUCUAUAUUUCAAUGGAAACAGUUUUUUUUUUUUUUUGUUGUUGUUGUGUGUUUGUGUGGAAUAUAUAACAAUAACUUCCGAUCCCUUAUUAUUAACGUAAAUCUUUUUAAUAUCUAAUAUGAGUUGUUUUAUCAACAUCCCAUAUCCAUUUUUCUUUUUGUUAAAGUAAACCAGCAGAGUUAUUGUAUAUCGUUCAAAAGUCAAAACCAAACUGUUUGGUUUGAUUAAGGAAUCGUGAUAUAUUAUUACUAGAAGCUAUUAUGAUGACAUGUAAGUUUUCUAAUAGAUGUAAAACUAUAGUCACUAAAAAACAUGUGUUAUGCAUCCUCGGUUUAAGGCUUAAUCGAAUAGAUUUAAACAAAAACAGAGCAAUGGCCGAAGUCUUGUCGCAAACCAAAGUAAUAAGUUUUUUUUUAAAAUGAGGUGAUUAAUAUUAACAUUGUAAAAUUCUUUUAAGAAAUCAUUUUGCAAUGAUAAUUUUUCUGAAAAAUAUAUAACCUAUUUUAAUAUUUUUGAUUUUUAUAAAAUUAGUUAGAUUUGUAUGUAGUUUUUGGAGGGAGAAACUAACCGAUAUCAAUGGCUUCCAUCCUAAGUCUAACAUAAAGAUCUUGACCAGCAUUCUUGUAUUUCCGGAGAUCGAGUAGCUCUCCUACCCAAAUAACACAACCUGAUCCACCAUUUUCCAUAUUUGCGUUCGCGUAUGCUGUACAGUUGCAAGUCGCUAAGCACUUCUUCUUGCAUUCCUUCAACCCAAGUUUCAUGUCUACAAUUGACACUACUGUAUCUGGCAGCUUCAUGGUCUGCAACUUCAAGAAUUGAUCACCAUUGCACUUCGACUGUGUCUUCCGCACACACCCUUCUUUUUUAUCUCCUAGCUCCCAUGCUUCUUGAUGUCUCGCCUGAAACCCUUUGAUGCAGUUACAAAUUGGUGAUGUGUUUAUGUCACAGAGACCAUUAGGACCACACAUGUUGUACACAUGGCAUAUAUCAUCUACUUCUGGUAAUAAAUACCCUAUCCUCUUCAAUUCCCCUGAAGUUGGGAUCCAUGUGGACCGGUUCAAUAUUCCGGAAUGGUCCAUCCUCAGUAUUGAGAAAACGUUACCGUUAGUUACGCUAAAUGAAUAGCUGAUUUCCUCACUCUUCAUAGUAAUGUUUUCGGUUCCGUGCGUCAAUUUUCCAAUCACGUUAAUGUCACUUACACUAUUCCACGGACCAAUUCGGAGUGAUGGCUCACCCUUUUCCCGUAUGUAGCUCUCAGGAGGCUCACGGAUUUCUACUUUGUAAGUGUAAUCGCCAGUUGAAGGAUCAUUAAUGCUUUUCCAUGAUUUUAGUAUCCUAUUUAGACCCGACUUCUUAUCCCAACCCAGUUUCAUAUCAGGGAGUAAUGUAUCCGUCGGAAAGUCGAAGCUUUGCCAUAAAAAUCCACUUGUCUCGUUGUUACUGGAGUAUCGCAAUACCAAGUUGCCAUUGUCAAGAAGCUCGGCGGUCAGGUCCGACUUCAGACUUUGGCCAGUCACAUUGGUUGACCAAACAGAGUUACUAGUAUGAUCAAAGAGAUGGAGGUUGUUACUGAAGAUUUUGAGUGUUCCGAUAGGCUUGGAGAGUGGAUUGUCUCUGUUGGCAACCCAAACAACUUCAUUAGGCAGCUUUCGGUACCACAUGCCAAGGUACCAUCGGUCACCAACACUGGAACUUGGGGCCGGUUUGAAAAAACCAAGCUCAAGAAUACUCUUUGGGGACGAGAUCUUGUUUUGGAUAGAUAUAUCGAAGGCAGCUGACGAUGAGAUUCUUGAAUUAUACACGGAGAAACCUUUGUGAAAUAAGACGAAUAAAAAUAAUACGAUCCUCAUCUUUUUCUUUUUUUUCUCUUUGUCUUCUUAAUCAGUUUCGUUCUUUCUUGUUUGAACAACUGGAUUCUUCUUAGAAUUAUAUAUUCUCUGGACAAUAAUUUAUUCUUUUUCAACACUGCUUGACUUUUACUACAAGCAUGCGUCGUUAGGACAAAGUUAAAUUUUCAACGGGACAUAAAUGAAACUAAAAACUACAUACAUGUGAGAUUAAUUUCUCCCACGGCAAACAUUGCAUAUGUGGAACUAGUUGUCAAUUUAAAUCCUAAUAAAGGUCCCCAAAUCUAUAGCACAUCAACUGCUGGAGGAUCGAGACUCGUUGAUGAAGUCCAUAAAACCGUUCAUUUUCCAUCAUUUAAACUAUUGUCGAAUAUGGGAAUUUUUGGUGUUGAAGUUUUAGUUUAAAUUGUCAUGUUUUAUUUGUUCCUAGUUUCUCUAGUGUUUUCAGUGUACCAUAAUUAAGUUUUUUUUUCCUUCCCUAUUAAACAAUUAUUAAAAUGAAAUUUUAUUUAUCUUCUACUUAUCUCUCCUAUUAUUUCUCACCCAUUUUAAGUGUUCCAUAGGCACUAUCUAUGGAUCACCUAGUAUUUUUAUCUUAAAAAAAGAAACCAAAAUUCUUUAUAUAGAACACUGAGGUGAUUUAUACACAUAAACUAUUUCAUCUAAAUAAAAGAAGCAGAAAGAUAAAGAAAAAUGGCCAGGAUUGCAAAUGGUGUUGGAAUCGUUGGUCUUUUAAUAAUUUUCAUGUUGAUUUGGGGAGGUAAUUUACAUUAUAAUAUGAAUCUAACCAAACUCUCUAUUGUUGUGUGUUUGUAUUCAUAACUAGAUCAUCACCCGUACUACAGUACGGGUUAAAUUUUAUUUAUUACAAAAUUUAUAAAUUGUACUCCCCAAAUAAUAGUAUAGGAUUAAGUUGUGUGUUUUUAUAGUGUAUUUGUUUAAAUAAUUUAAGCAUCUUAAACAAUUUUCUAAAUGAUAAACAAACACGGAAGAGUAAUAUAUUCUACAAAAAAAGCAUUCAAAUUUUUCAUAUUCAAAUAUGUAAAACAAAACACUUGUAAAUGAAAGCGUAAAUGCAAAAUUUAACUUUUAAAACAAUCCAAACCCAAAUCAUAACGAUUACUUUUUUAUUUAUUUUGUGAGUCAUUAGGAAUGCCAAAAGGAAAUGCUAAACGCUCUCAUCUUUGUCGGAAGAUACCCAGUGUAUUAGCGGCACCUGGGAACUGCUUUAAAAGUAAUGGUAACGCAUUGUGUAAAGAGUCUUGCGUCAAUGAAAAAUUUCUGCAUGGCGCAUGUCUACAUCUACCGAAGCCACAGUCAAAACUCACAUGCCACUGCUGGAUGAGGGAUGAUAUAUCUUGUUCAUACGGCUAAUCCUUCCAAACCUCGCGUCAAUAUAUUGAUACUAAGGGGAAUCUCAUCAACUUGCAUGCUUAUUAAUAUCGAUAACUGUAUUUUCUGUUUUGUUUUUUUAAUGAAUUGAAUAAUUCACUAUAAUAAAAUGGUGUUUUGCAUCUUAUUAACAUAUUAAUAUAUACUUAGUAUUAAGUCUCCUUUAGCUUAAUACUAUAUACUAGAUUGUUACCCGCGGUACACCGCGGGUUGAGUAUUUUUAUUAUUUGUUAUUUAAUAAUACAAUAAUAAUUGGUUUUAUUUUAUUUUGAUUUUUUUUUGUGGUUAUAUAUAUAUUUAUAUAUUAUAGUUGGGAUUGUGUUAUAAGUUAUCGAUAUUAUUUGUGUAUAACAUGUUUUAAUCGAGUCAUAUGUGUUACAUAAAAAUUAUUUCCUUUUAUAUUAAUCGUCUAAUUGAUACUACAUAAUUAUUUAUUUUUAAAAAGUUUGGUAAUGUGUAAACAUACAGCUUGUUUCUAUGGUAAGAUUAAUUUUCAUAUAUGUGCAUUUGGCUUUUAUAUGUUAAAUGUCAAUCUGUUUGCAUUGGUAAUAUAAUUCUCAGAUUUUAGAUAUCUUGUACGUAUUAUAUGAUUUAUUUAGAUGUGAAGGAUUAAAAUAAUUUUAAUCAAUAUAAAUUGCACGAUAGUUUGAUUUUAUUAAGGAAAAAUUAAUUUUUGAUCAUGUAAAUAUGGCUGUGAAUAGUUUUUUUCAUAUGCAAAAACUUAUUGUUUGAGAUAAUAAUAUGUUUUAAUUAAUUAGUUUGCAUGAUAUAUAUUGAACUUAAUAACAUAAUUAACAUGUUAAUACAAAAUCAGGUAACCUCUCAUACAUGCUGGGCUGUAGACAACAAAGUCCUUUAAUGUUACUGGGAAAAAAAAAAAAAUGCAAAAGAACCGGUCAGAUUAGUUGAUCUGAUCCGGUAACGUACCGACCGGUUAACACAGAUUUGAUCUCGCGAAGACGGGUCAUUUUCAAUUCCGCGAAACACAAUCAACCUAACUUCUUCUUCUCCAUUUUCUUCAUCUUCUUCUCCAUUUUCUUCAUCUUCUUCUUUAAUCUCGUCUUCUUCAGCUCAAAACCUAAACCAAACAAAACCUUAACACCACUUCUUCUCUCGAUCAAUCAAUCAGCGAUUAUUCACCUUUAAUCGACCAUAGAUCUUUCCUUAAUCGUCGAUCCCAAUUAACAUGGCUUCGAACGGCGCUUCUCCGGUAUCUUUCUCACUCGAUAUCUGUCUGCUACAAUUUAGUAUCUUUAUUUUGGCUCCUUUUCUAAUUGACAGUCUUAAACUGACCCAUUUUGUCAAUUUCGGAAAAUGCGUAGAGGAUUGUUGAUGCUACUGAUAACAGCUUGGAUAAGAUCAAGCAGCAAUUGGAAUCGAGGGUUAUCGGAACUUGCUUCUGGGACCUCUUAUUCAAGCGAGCUGAAACUGUAAGUUCAAUUCUUAUUCUGACAAUAGUAUAUUCAAUUGUUUGUAACUCAAAUGAUUUUCACUGUUCUGAGCACAGCUAAACUUUGAAUGACAUAGCAACUGUACUGAUUAGCUAAUCGAUUAAUGUGUGUUUGUCUAGGAAUUAACAUAGAAUCCGACUAAUUGAAAGUUAGAAACUCCUCAACUUAGCAUAAGCAGAUCAAAAAAUGAAGAGAAGGUAAGAGUACAGUUAGUGAUUUUGGGCGGCAUAAAGGACUUUAUGAUGAUUAUUUUGAAGUAUCUAACCCUUGCUGUAUAUUGAAUAGGAAGCUUCUACCAUCAGAAGACAUCAGGACAAAAAUCUGAAACCAAGGAGAAUCAAAUCUACAUCCGCAUCUAUGCAAGGUUAGUUUACACUUUCUUCUCACUGAAAUGUAAUUUAUAAACAUCUACAACAUUUUCAUUAAUGUUAAGCUAAGAUAAAUUGAGUGAAAAUGAGAAAACUAAAUGAUUUUGCAUCUACCUGAUUGAUUGUACUUUAUUCAAUACAUAAAAAGAAUGACAUAACCAAAUAUGACGAAAGUAAGAGUGUUUAAAGAAGUCAAAUAUAGUUAGCACAAUAACUGGAAUUGAAAGUCGAUUGAUUGGUUGUUACUUUCUUUUGAACUAUGAGACAUUGAAUCUGUGAAAAGGUAAGUAGAUUGUUAGUCAAAUAUAUGAUUGAUUGACUGGGGGUUUUGCUUACCAUAAAGCAAUUAUAUUAUAAAAUAAAAUGGUAAACUAAACAUACCUUCUUUGAUAAGAUUGUUUGACAAAUAAUGCAAGAAGCAUUAUGAGUCAAUAUUCUGAAAAACUUCUUUGAAAACAACAUUAGUUGUUUGCUUUUGAAUCUUCCCUUCUUUGUCUAGAAUCAGAAUUUUCAAACCUGUCUUUGAGGUAACCCUAGAUAAAGCAACAUAUAGUUGCCCAUGAGAAAACACUGGCUUAGGCAGCAGAUAGAGUCCAACCCUCUCUAGUGAUUGUCCCUGACUCUUGUUGAUAGUCAUAGCAAAUGCUAGUGAUACUGGGAACUGUCUUCUACGCAUCCGAAAAGGUAGCUUUGUAUUGGAUGGUGUAAUAUUGAUUAAUGAAAUCAAAACAAUAUCACGAAUUCUGUCUCCGGUUAUAACUCUUGCUUGAAGAACACGUGGGGUCAUCUGAGUUACCUGAAGCCGAGUACCGUUGCAUAGACCACCUUUAGGAUCAAUAUUCCUGAGUAACAUUAUUGGAGCACCAAUCUUCAGACGCAAAGCAUGGUGUGGCAAACCUGGUAGCCUGAUACUGUUUAAGAAAUCUGGUGUGAUAACAGGAUUUUUAAGUGAAUCGGAAUCUUCAGGAUCAAUACUAUCAGCACUGUAAAAAACUUGCUCAUCACCUGUUGAAAAAAUAAAAAAAAACCUUUUAGCUGUAAGAAAGACUUGAAGGAAAUAAUUUCACAAAGCUAGUAAGCUAUGACUCACCCUCCAACUUGUCUAACAUAUAUUGGUUGAUUGUGUGUACAUCAUCAUUGGUUGGCGCCAGAAUUGCUCUCUUUUGAAAAAAUACUGGAUCUUCAGUACCUUUUAACAUAGCUGGAUCUCCAUAUAUCUCACGAGUAAUGGAUUCAAUUGGAUCUUUUGCUUCGGUAAUCAGAAGUUCUUCAGGUAUAUCAAUUAGAGCCUCACCAUCAUUAGGUUCCGCAAUUCUACCAUCACCAACAGCUAGAAGCCAAUCACUGAAUUCUUUGAUGUCUUUUGCUUCUUCUACACUCAAAUCCUUCUUAAGUAGCCUCAUGUUCUUAGUAAGCUUUAGAACCUUACAGUGAUCCCAAAGAUAAGACGCAUUAAGAGCUGCCAUCACAAUCUCAGCCCUGCCUGCACCAGCGAUAACAGGUAGAACUUGUCUAAAAUCACCUCCAAAGACAACAACCUUUCCACCAAAUACUUUGCUAUCUUUAUUACCAAUGAUAUCACAAAAACUCUUAUCUAGAGAUUCAAAACACCACUUGCUCAUCAUAGGUGCCUCAUCCCAUAUAAUAAGAGAAGCUUUCUUUAUCAGAUCAGCAAGAUCAGACUUCGGCUUUAUCCUGCACACUGAACUGCUAUCAGGUGUAAGAGGUAUGGCAAACCUUGAAUGAGCAGUCCUUCCACCUUCAAACAACAAAGAAGCGAUACCACUUGAAGCCACGUUUAGAACUAUAUCUCCUUUAGAUCUAAUAGCAGCUGAAAGUGUUUUCCAAAUAAAAGUUUUUCCUGUACCUCCAAAUCCAUACACAAAAAACACUCCAACUAGAUCAUUGAAUACUGCAGUGGUAAUCUCAUCAUAAACACCUCUCUGCUCCGGUGUCAUAAUAUCUAUCCACUCAGCAUGCUUUUCAGCCAAUGAUGUACGGUCAUACCUCAUUUCAUCAACAAUCAAACGGUUAGAAUUAUCUAUACCUUCUCUAGUUGGCUUAGGAAAGUUUUGUAUAUCUUCGAGAGUACCUCCAUUAGACAACAUCAUUUUUUCUAGUUCUUGAAGAGUGUAGUUCCUAAUUUCUGCCUCUGUCAGAUUCAAAUCUGCAUAUAAAAUAAAUGGCAAUGUCAAGAAAAAAAUAGAAUCAUUGCUUAUUUAACUGAGAAAAUGUAUAUGAUAUAACUUAAGCAAUUUCAUUAUUUAUCUCACCUUGAUUGUCAAACUCAUUUCUCUUCUUCUGUUGAAUAUCUUCUGCUAACAAAUGCCACGUCUGUUCCCAAACAUAUUCUGGCCUAGAUAGGGAAUCAGAUAGUAGCAACAUAGCGAAGAAAUUCCUCAAAAAAUCACCAAAACAGAAUUGACUCGCAUCAAACAGACUGUCAAUGAACACCUGGUCAUCAUCUAGAAUUCCUCGUGCAAAACAUGCUUCUUUGUAAGUUGGAUAGACAACACCAUUAUAUGUUUUAAUGUCAUCAAAACAUGUAGGACCUCUGACGAUGUUAAGAAGGACUCGUAGAAAAUAUUCAUCUUCUAGCUUCCUGGGAACAUAAUUAAUCCGACCUAAGGACCAUCCUCUAGACCUCUUAUUCCACAGCUUAUUAGUUCCAUCCCAUGUAAAAUAUGCAGGUAUCUCUGCAUAUAGGAGUUCUCGAGCACGCUUUCCAUUUUUUCCAAUUCCAUCAUUCCUAUUCAAUGUUAGCCAUGCCAUGAAUUGAGAAUCUCGAUUGAGAAUUCUGUCCAAAACAUCUGAUAUCACCUCUUUUCCUUUAAAAUAAGCUUGUUGCUUUCCUUCUACAUGAAAAGAUAGCUUCAGAACAGGUGUUGAUUUAUGCUGUAUCGGAAACUUAAAAAUUCUCCAAAUUGCUUCAGAUGCUGACACAUAUCUACAAUUUUGAAUAAUAAACAAAUCCAUUUCAGGAUCCAGACUGACCAAUCACAGAAAUAAACUGAGAAAGAGCAAAAUUAGGAUACAAUACCUGCAAUCAAAAUAAUCUUUUAUUUCAUUCUUCUUUUUCUCCUCUGGUAAUGGUUCUGAUCCAUUAGCUGUUUGAUCUUCGUGUGAGCCAUUAUCUGUUGGUGGUGGCUUGACAGGCUCCACAACAAAUGCUAACUUAUCUGGGCCUUUAUUUAUAUACUUGAAUAAGUAUUUAAUAGACCCAGUUUGAUUACACCAUUCAACGUUAAUGUGAGCACCAUACCUAACUGAUAGUUUUUUAUUGUAUGGAACGACAUACCUAUUAUCACAUUUAAUUCCACAUUUCUCAACAUAGUGGUCAGAGCGCCUUCUUCUAUAGAUAGGAAAACCAUCAGCGCCUACCCUGGUGAUAUCCUCAAAUUUUUUAGGAUACGAUUUAGAACACUGGCCAUCCACCAUACAUGGAGAACUCAUAUUUGCUGCACCACAUGGGCCAUGAAUCAUUGAAUUACUAACAACUUCAUAAAGCUCUGGUUCUGUUUCUUUAUCUGGAAUCUCAGCAGAUAUCAUCCUGUCAAUAUCGCUUGCUGUUGGAAGUUUGCUUUUAGCAUCCAUGAAUAAAAGAAUGUGAGCAUGUGGAAGGCCUUUUUUCUGGAAUUCUACAGUAUACAUAGCUGCAUAACAUAGAAUAUAGUGUGAAAAUAUUGAAAUAGUCUCAGUUUAUUGUCACAGAAUUGGAAGUAGUCAGACAACUUACAUGCGACAGUCUUUCCAAGCAUCUUCUUUUCUGUUAGAUCGUUCAUCAGAGAAUCCAACUUGAUUUUGAAUAUCCUAGCAACAAUGUCUGGCCUAUCCUCAGCAGUUAACCCUCUUGCUGUGACAUAUCUUGUUAUCUCAGGCCACUUAGGGUUACAUGUAAACGUGAUGAAUAAAUCCGGGAAACCAUAAUGUUUACAUAUGGCCAUAGCAUCAUAAUAACUCUGAACCAUAUACCUUGGACCACCAGUAAAAGAUGCUGGAAUCAAAAUCUGAUUUCCUUCUUCUUCCAUAUUUGUUACACCAGAGUCAGCAGCUUCUUUUAGUGAGUUUGCAUUCUCACAUCUAAGCUUAGACUGAUUGAACCUUAUGUAGGAUAGACGAUUUGAUUCAAUAGUGGUGUAAGCGUCACAAAGAAACUGCUGAAACAACCUCUUCGACAGUAGAAGAGUAUGGCACUCACCUGGCCUCUCCUGAAUACGGAAUGCAAACCACUGACGCAUACUAAUACACUUUUUCUUCUUCUGGUUAUUACCCUUAUAACAUUUCUCUAUACCUGGGGUGUAACCAUCUUCACCAUAGCAGAAAAUCAGAGGAUACUGAAGAGCCAGAUAAGAAAUAUGAAUCUGGCUAAUCCUGGUUAGGUGGCCUGUAGUCCUUUCUUGAAGAACUAUAUCACGGUUUGGCAUACCUUCUGUAAAGUCUCCUGGGAUUAACGCUGCAACCUCCGAAGUCGUAGGCAUGCUGUAAGUCCUUCCAUCAGCACCUUUACGACCAGAGCAUAUCCUCAUAUGAAAUGGUUGGGGAUUAACUACCCCAAAUCUUUCCUUGGCAAUUCUAAAAUUCUUGACAUAAGGAUUAACUUCAUUGAGCAUUUUCAUAAUGGCUUCAAUUGUCUCUUUGUUCAGUAUAUCCUUGCUUCCUCUUCUAGAUGAUUCUUUCCCCUUGCUACAUUAAAAAAAAAAAAGAUGCCCAUGAUUGAGUAUACCACAACAUAGAAAUACAUAAGAAUUGAAUAAGCCUGUUAAGUAGAAAUAAUACUAACCCAAUAACAGUUGCUUUGUUAUCUACUUCAUUCUCAGUAUCUACGAUAUAGAGUUGUGAAUACUUCGCAUAAUCACCUUCUGCAGGUUUCAAACUGCCUAUCAAAUGAUAGUUACCUCCUUGUAAACGAAACAUGCUUGGACCUUUACCCUUAGGUAUAGACUUAUCUACUUUCCCACCUAGUGAGGUCAUUGCGAAAACCAUAUUCCAUAUUCUCAAGUGCUUUCUAUAAUUCCUACUUUGAGGAUCUUUCCCAGUCAGAAGUUUCUUGAUCAAUUCUGGUGACUCUUUAAGAAAAGGCAGCUUAACAGAACCUUGACCACAACAUAGUGUAAAUGUAGGCUCUGUCGUUUUAACUUUUUUGUUUAUUCUUUCAGCAUGCCACAUCAAUGCACCACAAUACUUACACGAGUAAGUAGGGUCACCAUGAUCAAGAUAAGCUGAAAAACAUAAAUAUGUUUCUCAUAAGUUUCACAUUCAGAAUUACCAAAAAUAAAAAAAAGUACUGGGAAGGGCAAGAAAAUUUACUUAUUGGUUUGUUUUUCUUUUUUGAUUUUCUUUUCUUUUUUCUUUUUGGAGGCACAUUUCCUUCAUGUGUUUCUAGCUGAACAGACUCAAUAGAUGAUCUUGCCAAAUCAUUGGUAUGAGAUGAGACUUCAGUGAUGUGUGACAUCAUUUCAAUCUGUUCCUCGUCAGAAACUGACAUUUCAUUGUUAUCUACUACUUCAUCUUCACCUUCACUGCAACUAAGAUCAUAGCUUUGAGCUAGUAUCUCAUCUUCACUGACAUUACCAAACUCAGGAUCAUCAUACAUUUCAUCAUCUUGGCUAUAAUCACUAUCUUCAUUAUCUAUUACUUGAGUUGUAUUCUGACCUUGAGAAUACAAAACAGGAAAAUAGGUUAAGACAUGCCUCUUAAUUACAUUUUGUUUCCAAGCGAAAAACAAUACAGUAAAGACUGUUACCUUUAGAUGAAGAAGAGGUUUCUGCAUUUGUAAAAUCAAUAUCUAAGUUUUUCCUUGGCAAAUUUAUUGUAUGAGAAACAAAGCUUGAUGUCUGGAGGUUGGUUAUACAUGAUGGAUUUCCAGUGUAUUGAACACCUACAACAGAUAUUAAACUUAUUACUUAUACAAUAUACUUCUCUAUUUAAAACAUUAUCAUACCAUAAUUGUUGCAAAAAUUAUUCAUAUGUGGAACUUAAUUAAUCUAACCACCUAUUCUCUUUGGUGUUACAGAAGGUGGAGGCAUUAUUGGAGUUGUAGGUGUUCUGCUAAAAAGACUCUGGCUUGUAUUAGUCAUGGCGCUUAAUCCAGAUGGAGUUAACAAUGGGUUAGGUCUGGUGUAAGGAGAGCAAGGUACCAGAAUUUUUCCACGAAGUGAACCUGUUUUAAAACUCAUCAAGAUUUAGAGAUAAAGGUAUUUUCUAUUUAUCUUUGAUGAGAAUGAAAACAAAAUAAUUGUAAAUGAAAACUUGUCUAUAGAAACUAACCUUGAUUCUUACUGUUCUGUUUUGCAGAUGAAGAUGUAUUAGCAUCAACAGAGUUCUCAAUGGGGCUAACUUGUGGGUCUGGAAGGUUAGUAAUAUCUCUAAAAGCACUACCAAACGCUGUACUAAGAGGGACAGAACCAUUCCUGAGUAUAGGUAGAUUAAACUGAGAAAUGUUCCUUAGUCUAGUGUAAGGCUCAUUUCCUCGAUUACGUUUUGGUGGAUUAGACUCAGGAACAUCAUUUUCUGUUGGAGAUAGAGGUUUUUUUUUCAUAUUUUAGUCUAAGAAUGUCUAUAGAUGAUUAGACUACUUGGUAACUAUAUAAAGGAGAUUAAGGUCUAAAUAGAAAGCAUUUUGAUAUCUGUAGAUUGACUAUUAUUGUUUAAUGAUUGUCUGUUGCCAAAGAUAUAGGAACUAAGAUAUGUUAUUUUCUAUAAGUAAUGAAUGAGAACCUUUAGAUAAUAUGCGGAAUAUACCAAACUAUAAGAUUGAUUCCGUGAUUAUAGUGAUUAUUGUUUUAAUUAUAAGAUUACUAACUAUAUUUUUUGUAUCAGGAAAGAGAGCAAUGAAAUAUUCUUGCUAUUCACAAUCAAUAGCACAUAAGGAAGAUGGACUAUUCAAAUAAGGUAAACUGAACAAAACUGAUAGUUUAGCAAAUAUCUCAAAACUUGUUAAUUUAUCUAAUGAAAUUAUAACUUUGAUACAAUAAUUAUAUAUUUUAUUGAUCAUAAACUAAAACUUACUAUAAAACAAAUAACCAUUAGAGUAGAUUAAUUAGAUAAACAUUAAAUUCAAAUAAAGGAUAAAGCAGUUGAUAGUCAAAAGAAACUUAAAACAAACUUGUCUUCAGAAACAUAAAACAAUAGAGAACCGAGAAAGUAUUUUUAUAAUAAUAAAACAACUGCAGCCACUGGUAGAACCAAAUCAUCACACUUCCAACUUCAUUCUAACAUCCUGAACAUCAUCUUGUUGUUCUGCAAAGCCACGUCUGUUUCAAAAAAGAGAAACAUUACUUAAUCCAAUCAGUAAUCAUAGCAUUUGAUUACUUAUUUAACUUCUGAUAGGUAACUACUUACAUGUAUCUCGGAAUGUCCAAAUCAGGAAAGGUUGGAUCAAGGAAAAGCCUUGAACAACCAUACUCACUCAUCAAACAGUUUUGACCUAUUAAAACAUGUUGAUAGUUACCAGUUAGAGUUAUUGUCUAAUGUAUUUGACAGUUAUAUAUAGUUUAGAGGAAAAUAACUAACCUUCAAACUCAGCAACCCUCCAAAAACGCAGGACAAUGACAACUGGGUCAUAAUUGUAUGUCACAGAAGUUAUUUUCCUAAACCAUUUAGUCACAAAAGCCUGACAGGACCUACCCUUUGCAACACAGAUUGUUUUCCUACCCCUACAUGAUCACAGAUUCAAUGCAUUCAAUACCACAUCGCCAAUACAGAUACUAAUUUGAGAUAUCUAUUAAAAUAAAACUUACAUGUCAUCCUUGAUUUCGACAACAACAAAUCUGGCUUCAUAGUCUGUCUCUCCUUGACGACAAACAAAUGGAAAUCUUUGAAUAGCAGAGACACUCGAGACCACACCAAUAGCAUCUGAGAAUAAAUUACAAAUAUACUUAAUUAAAGUCAGAAUAAAGCAAAGUUUUACUAAUUUUCAAUCAAGAAAUAAAUAUACUUGAACCUGACACAUGUUGCUUAUCCUCUCAUCCAGCAUACUCAACUUCAUCAGAAUGAAUGAAGUUGAAGAAAUUUCCAUUACAUCUAGGAGACACAGGCCACAUAGUGGUAGGCCAUAUACACUCUAGUGCAAAACGAUUCCAGGAGUACUUAACAGGUUGAGUAGAUGGUACCACAUGGAAGUCAGCCAUGUAGUACCAGUGACCCUCCUUGAGACCUGGCCGGAAAUUGUAUAAGUAGUUUCCAGGAGGGAUAAAUGCAUCAAUCUGAUUGGCCUAGGCAUAUAAGAAGAACUAAAUAGUAAGUUUUCUCUGUGAAGAUUCAAACAAAUUAGUAAAUCUGUGACUUAAGAAACAGAGGUUCAAUAGAAGAAAUUUUCUAACCUUUUCAUCAGUCAGAAUCAUAAUCGUAGGUUCAUCAAUAGCGUCUAUACCUUGAUUCCAGAUAGAUAAAAUCUUCACGUACAAAGUCCAUCUAGGUCUUUGCAGGUUGAGAUCGGAAAUGUAGUCAAUAGUACCCAUUAGAAUCACAGAAAGUGUAAGUUUUUCUCAGUUUUUUUUUAUAGAGAAGGUUAGGUUUCUGAAUAAAUCUAAAGGUUAAGUCUGAGUAUUUAUAGAAUCGUGUAGAGAUGUGAAUGAAUAGAUUUAAUUUCCUAUAUAAAAUAGAUAUUAUAUAUUGUAAAUCAUUGAAACCGUUUGAGAUAAGUAAAGUUAGAUAUAAUAUAUCAAGGAAACUGAAUCGUUAGCCUGUAAAAGAUCUUUAUUCAUAAUUAUAGUAAUGAUUAUAUAAAACUGUGCUUUCCAUAUUACGAUUUCCAAGAUUUUCCAUCAUUGUUUAUAAUAGAGAUUUCGUGUAGCAAACAUAAGGAUGUUAUAGCGGUUCUACUUUAGGUUUUGAGGUCUAAUGAUUAGAUUAAACUUUUUAAAUUUGCUAUUUCAAUAACUGAGUAAGACAACGGUACAGUAGACAGAAAUUGAAACAGGUUUAUUAGAGGAGAUUAACCAAAAAAUCAAAAUGAAACAUCAAUUAAAAACCAAAGUAAAAAACCAACAAAUGUCUAACAAUGAAAUUUUAAAAAACUUGGAAUUAUGAUAACUCCUUAUUGCUUAGCAAACAGGUGCUAGAUCACUAUUUCUCUUUUUUGAUCUUCAUUCCAACUGCUUUAGCCACAUGCCUAGUCUCCUUCUUCUCAGUCACAGGAAGAUCACCACUGUCUUGAACACCCUUUCCUUUGUUGCUUUCAAUCUUGACAUUCUCUACCUUCACAACUUCAGAGAUCUUGUCAGGAACUCCAUUUUGAGACAGACCAUUCUCCUCAAAUUCUAGUUCUGACUUCUGUAAGUCUUUAGGCUCGAUGCACACCUUCUUAGAACUGGAGGAUUGCUCUGACUCAGACAGAUUAGGAGCAUAAACACGCUUGGAAGAUGGAGUGGAUGAGUCAGACGUGUCUUGACUCAUUGUUAACAUGAGACACUGAAUAUAGAGAUUAUCCGUAGGAGUGAUUGUUAAUAUAAUUUUAAGGAGAUUAGAUAGUUAAAAAAUGUUACCUGAUCUCCAGAAACAAUUGAGGCAGGAUUAACCAAUUGUUCAGAUUCCUCAAGGACAUCUUCUUGCAAAAGUCCAUCUUUGUUUAGGAUUCUUGAAACCUUGAAAGAAUCCUUACCAUCCCAAAUGUUUUCUUUCUCAACACAUAGCAGAAAGAGAAAGGUCUUCCCAACCAAAUUCCUUAUUACGUCAGGCAAAUCAUUAGGGUCCUCAAUCUACAUAAGGAAUUUAGUACUUAUCAAUUGAAUGUUUCAUGUAUGUCAAUUACAUAUAUGGUUUAGCAUAAUAGAAUGUUACCUCAUUGAAUGAUCCACCUAGCAAUGAUGCAGCAGUUUCACCAACAAUUUCUGAGCAUAUACUGUCAAACAAAAGACAUUUUGUUUCACCAGUGUUAUCCAUCACCUUAACAUAUAGCAUGUACCUUCAAUAAGAGAAGUCAUAUUAGUAAUUAUUUCAAAGGGAAAAACACAAACUUAUAAAUAUGCAUUAUUAUCAGAUUAAGAAAAGAAGACUCACUUUGCUACAACAUUAGUGACAGCAUUCCUGCAGACGUCACACCAAAACUUUGGCUUUUGUUUCUUCAUGGAAGCAGUAUUCACUCCAGAAUGAAUAUGAGUGACCUUUUUGUUACAGUUACGGCAACUAAAGUAAUACCAAGCCCAAUCUGUAUCAAUUCCAUAGAUUGUGCAGAUAACUCUAGCCUUUCCAAUCUACAGGGUAUAGGUAAUUAAUGAGAUUUCACACACUAAAGUAGAUAAGAAUGGUAUAUGAAUAACUCAGACAAAUACAAACCUCUGUUGAGUUAAAAAGAUCUGAUAUUGUCUUCCUUUCAAACUGAAGACAAUCAUCAUCCUUAUUCACUGUAACCAUCUGGAACUUAGGAACACUUUCACGGAAAGUUAAGGCUAGACCAUCAGAGGGGAGACUGUUAAUAGAAAAAACAAAGAAUGUAAUUUUCAGUCAGUUAUAAGAAAAUUAUAAGUUUAGAGUAGUUUGAAAAAUAAACUUAUACGCUCUGGUGAAAGCUUCAAUCUCAGGGAAAGGUGGAUUGAUGUGAACUUGUGAGGCAUCAAAGGAAUUAGAGAGACUCCUAACACCUAGAAAGAAAACAGGAACAAUUGUCAAAUAAAAUUUAUUCAUUACAAAACCUUAGGUUGAAAUAGUAAUAUACCUUUGUAUGCCUUAAUCUUUGCAAAUCUGAUAACACAGAUCACCAUGAUUCCAUCAGCUGCUUGGCAUGCUUGAAACAUUUUUUCAGCAAAAGCCCCCCAGAGUGUGCAUGACAUCCUAUCAUCACUACAGUAGAAAACAUGUAAUCAAAUAUUAGAUCAUAUCAAAUCUCAUUCUAUAAAUUCUCAGGUUACUUAAUAAUAAAACAACCAUAUCAGAUCACUCACUGUUCAUCACGCAACUCAAAGUCAAGCUUAGUGGUUGGCUUGUUAUUAGCUUCAAGGACCUCUAGCUCACCAAUAUUCACCACUUGACCCAUGACAUCNNNNNNNNNNNNNNNNNNNNNNNNNNNNNNNNNNNNNNNNNNNNNNNNNNNNNNNNNNNNNNNNNNNNNNNNNNNNNNNNNNNNNNNNNNNNNNNNNNNNAGAAACUUUUGCAGUUAAUGCGACGGUUGCUCUUCCCUUCUUAAGAAAACGGCUCGUCUUUAAUGCACUAAUUGCCUUUCUCGAUUUCCAAAGAUGGUUUAACCCACUCGGAAACGCUACCAUUAAUGGAUUUAUGGUUCCAAGACAAACCCUAAAUCAUUAUAAAUAAAGGCUUACCUACCUCUAGGCUUUAUUAAACAUGACUCUAGAAUCUUACUUGAGAAAUAUUUUAAGAAUGGAAAACGAAACAGUAGCCCCCGUUGAUCCCGGCAGUCCACUCUUCUUAUCCGGCGACGGCUUUGAACCGGCCGGCGUUCUCUUCCCUCACGCCGUCUUUCACUUUCCUCCGAAGGAGAAGAAAGAGGCUUGCGAUUUUAUUGACAAGGUAAAUAUUAAAGUUUUUGAUUUAAAACUUCUUGUUUUGUCUUAUUCACUCAUUUUUAUGCUAGGUCGCCGACAAGCACCGUCGCUUGUGUGAAGAGAGGCAGCGGCUGGGACUCAAAAGGCAGACGCUCGAGGCUCGCAUCGCUCGGGUGGAAAGGAAGAUACGGGCUUUGGAGAGUGAUCCCUUUCAAUGGGAGUGGCGGAACUUCGAUUCCGUUGCUGAGAUCCCGAAGAUGCUUCGGAUGUAUCUCCGUGCUAGAGGAGUCCCGGGUCCCGUGAACGCCCCUGUCUUCGCCGUUCCAUCCGACAGUGAAGAGGAAGAGGACUUGGAGGAGGAGGCCAGCAACUGCCGGAAACGCGUUCGGGAUCGUUCCGAAGUGGAUGCCAAAAACAAGGCGUCCACUUCGAAGACUAAACCGGCGAUGAAGGAGCCUGUUCCUGAGCCUCUCCCAUAAAUGUUCUUUAAUUUCUUCACUUCUUCUUUUUUUUUUUUUUAAAACUCGUAAUGGGCUUCGGCUCCUUUUUAUUUAUGGAAAUAUUUGCUACUUUCCUUUCUUUCCAAAUAUUCUUGGAGAUGCGUCUUUUAAUGCAGGAUCCGUUCGAGGGCAUAAAUCUCUCCGCGAAUCAUUCCAUUCCUUGGAUAGAAUCCGCAGCUUGCUAGGGAUAUGGGGUUCCUAUAAAUUAUAGGUUCAAUUCCCCUUUACUCCUCACCACUCUCUUUUUUUUAUUUUAGCAGGUAUGGAGUUCAAUCUACGCUGUUCAGAAUCUAUGCCCGACUUCUCCAGAAUCGGAAUGAUGAAUGAAGAUGUUCCAAAUGAGCCCAACAGGCAGCCUCCUCCACUUCGCGGCUUCUUGAGAUCUCAAAUCCGAGCCCCAUGUGCUUUGAUCAGGGAUCUCCCAAUCAGAGACCAAGGAACGGCGACGGCGUUCAUAGAGGCGCUCGAGCUUCAACACCGGAAGCUUACGUCGGAAAAGAGGAGACUUCGGAAGAGGAUUAACCGGAUGCAACGCAGGCUUACUACAGUGUCAAGAAGUCUUCACAUCCUUGAAUCUCACCCCGGAGAGUGGAUUGAGCUUGGAAUUUCUGACUUUGCUCGAAUUCCGGACUGCAUGAUGCCGAUCCUCGAUCUUGCUGGUCAAGGAGUUGAAGUGUUCUGCUCAUCAACAAGAUUUCCAUAAUCCGAAGUGUACGAUGAAGGACAUUCCGUUUUUUUUUUUAAAUAACGCUCUAUUUCCAAUCUUUUGUAUGUUCGCUUUAGCCGAACCUUCUAUUUGCUUCACUUGUUCGCACAGUCGAAACUUUUUCCUUUAAUAAAGAAAUAAAACAAAUUUUAUUAAUAGCUGAACUCGUUUUCGAGCUGCCUACGUACCCAUCUCGGGAUCAAGCCACACCGUAGUUCAUGAACAAUGCGUGUAGCUUUAAACAUAAAAUUUCUUUAGGUUGAUCACAUUCCAAGGUCGCUUGACUGGAUUGUCUUCUAAAUCUUUCAACCUAUAAACACCGUUUCGAUCCACCUCGGUAAUAAUGUAAGGUCCUUCCCAAUUAAUUCCGAGUUUACCGGCACCUUCUUCUUUUCUGUUGUCAAAGACGCGCCUUAAUACAUAAUCUCCCACGAAGAACGGCCUACUUUUAACCUUAGAAUUGUAAUACCGGGCUGCUGCCUGUUGGUAAUUCUGGAUCCGAAUUAGAGCUUGAUCACGCCUUUCAUUUAUGGUAUCUAGUGAAUCAUUAAGCAUUGCUGAAUUUUCUUCCUCAUUUAAUGGUGCUUCUGUUCGGCGAAGUCCGGGCACAUUGAGUUCAGCUGGUACUACCGCCUCCAUGCCGUAAACCAAAGAGAAUGGAGUUUCUCCUGUAGGUCGCCUAGGGGUUGUACGGUAAGCCCAUAGGACGGGCUGGAGUUCUUCAUACCAUCCUCCCUUCAGAUGACUUAAGCGUUUCUUGAGGUUGCUUAAUAUUGUCUUGUUCGCGGCUUCAGCUUGACCGUUUCCUUGCGGAUAUCGUGGAGUAGAAUAACUAACUUUGAUUCCCCAGUCUGCACAAAAGGCAUCAAACUCGUGUGAAAUGAAUUGUGGUCCAUUAUCGGUGACUAUUUCGUAUGGAACUCCAUGUCGACAUAUAAUGUUUUUCCAAAUAAAGGUCUUCACCGCCGAAUCCUUGAUACCAACAUACGCCUCAGCUUCAAUCCAUUUUGAAAAGUAGUCCGUAAGGACUAAAAGGUACUGUACACCUCGAGUUGAUUUGUGUAAUGGUCCAAUGAUGUCCAUUGACCACCUCAUGAAUGGGUAUGGGGCGGAAAUGGAGGAGAAUAACUCCGACGGUUGAUGGAUUAAUGGCGCAUGGAGUUGGCAACGCUUGCAUCUUUGGGCGAACUUAACACAAUCUGUGAUCAUAGUGGGCCAAAAAUACCCCAUUCUUUUAACUUUAAAAGCCAUAGCUCUUCCUGAUGAAUGACUCCCACAUAAUCCUUCAUGCACUUCGCUCAUGACGAUUUCGACUUCGGGCCCAAAAAUGCAUAAUAGGUAAGGGUCACUGACACCUCGUCUGUAUAACGCAUCCUUUGAUAGACAAAAUUUCGCGCUAACGACUUUCAUUUUCCUGGCCUGCCAUUUAUUCUUUGGGAGCUCGCCUGUCGUGAUGUAGUGCUUUAUUGGCUCCCUCCAGUCAGCCCCCCAAUCUUUAGCCGGAAUUUGGUCAACUUUGUGAAAUAUUCGUGGCUCUGGUUCGGGAUGCUCGUUUGGUUCAAGAAUAUCCUCCUGGAUUAAUGGCUCGGUUUCUAACGUCGUUUCUGGAACCACUUCUUCAGCUAAGACAACGGGUUCCUUGUUAGAUGUAUUUGAUCCCUUUGAUUUCCUGCGUUUGUUGGGUGGCGGUUCGACCUCUGGUUCGCCACGGUCGCGUGCCGCUGCUCGAGACCUUGUAACGACGAGGGGUUCCUUGCUGUCUUGAAUGCUUCGCUCCGAGAUGCAUUCUACUGGAAUAACUCUCUUUAACUCAGGAUCUGAUGUUGACGCCAAUGCGGCAAGUGCAUCCGCAGUUGUAUUCUCUCCCCGAGGUAUGCGGAUUAAUUCGAAUUUCGAGAAAUUUUUAGAUAAAUCCUUCACCACUUCAAGGUACGCUUCCAUUCUUGAAUCUUUGGCUUUAUAGUCUCCAUUAAAUUGGUUAACUACUAAUUGCGAAUCGCAAUAAGCCAAUAUUUCCUUAGCCCCAACUCCUUGUGCUAGUCGAAGUCCGGCAAUAAGGGCUUCGUAUUCUGCCUCGUUGUUGGAGGCAUUGAAUAACAAUCGGAAUGAUUGUUCUAGAAUUUCUGAUGUUGGAGAUUCCAACUUGAUUCCCACCCCGGAUCCUUGUUUUGUUGAAGACCCGUCUACGUGUAAUUUCCAUGUUUGGUUCUCCGGUUGCUCUAUCGUUCCAAGUAUUGGUAGUUCGGUCAGGAAGUCCGCUAAGACCUGAGCCUUCAUACUGAUCCGGCUUUUGAAUUCUAUGUCGUACUCACUUAAUUCCACUGCCCAUUUUGCCAAACGUCCGGACUGACUUGGACUAUGAAGUAUUGUUCGGAGUGGUUGGUUAGUUAAUACUUCAAGCGGAUGGGAUUGAAAAUAUGGACGCAGCUUUCGAGCCGAAGUUACCACCGCGAGUGCAAGUUUUUCCAUCAUUGUGUAUCUGGUUUCCGGAUCCGUCAUUGACUUGCUCACGUAGUAAAUUGGUUUCUGCUCCCCACGGUCUUCCCGAACCAAGACUCCACUAACCGCGUGGUUUGAAACUGAUACGUACAAGUAAAGUUUUUCCUCCGCUUCUGGUUUGGACAGUACAGGUGGAGUGGUUAAGUAUGCCUUAAGCUGCCCAAAAGCUUCUUCACACUUCUCAUCCCAAAGGAAUCCUUUGUUCCCUUUUAGAAUUUGGUAGAAAGGCAACGACUUAUCUGUUGAUCUCGAGAUAAAACGAUUCAAAGCCGCAAUCCGCCCAGUCAACCGUUGUACUUCUUUGAAGUUUCUCGGAGAUGGCAUGUUUAGAAAGGCGUUAAUUUGAUUUGGAUUGGCUUCAAUCCCUCUUUCUGUCACGAUAUAGCCAAGAAAUUCUCCGGAUGGGACUCCAAAUGUGCACUUCGCCUGGUUCAGCUUCAUUUGAUAUUUAUUGAGAAUAUCAAAACAUUCCUCCAAAUGUUUAACAUGAUCUUCUUUCCUCAACGAUUUAACCAACAUAUCAUCUAUGUAGACUUCCAUAGUCUUCCCGAGGUGAUUGUGAAACAUUUUGUUCACCAACCGUUGGUAAGUUGCUCCUGCAUUUUUCAAACCAAAAGGCAUUAUCUUGUAACAGUAGAUACCUCUGUCUGUGAUAAAUGACGUCUUUUCUUGAUCUUCGGGGUUCAUCAUUAUCUGAUUAUAACCCGAGAAGGCGUCCAUGAAUGUUAAUAGCUCAUUUCCAGCGGUGGACUCUACGAGUCGAUCUAUAUGCGGGAGCGGGAAACUAUCUUUGGGACAUGCUUUAUUCAGGUCUGUAAAAUCGAUGCAAACUCUAUCUUUCCCAUUCUUUUUCUUGACAACGACAGUGUUUGCUACCCAUUCCGGAUAUUGCACUUCUCUUAUAGAUCCUAUCUUCAAAAGUUUAUCUACUUCGUCAUUUACUAUUUUGGCUCGCUCCACUCCGAGCUUUCUUCUUUUUUGUUUCACCGGUUUGAAGCUUGGAUCCACGUUUAGUUCAUGACAAAUUACACUCGGAUUUAUGCCAGGCAUGUCUGCUGCUGACCAUGCAAAUGAUGCUUUGUUUUUCCUUAAGAGUUCGAUCAAAGCUUCUUUUAUUUGGCCAGUCAAAGUUGCUCCAAUUCGAAUUUUCCGAUCUGGUUUGUCUUCUUCCAAUACCACUUCGACUACCACAUCCUCUUUUUCCUGCCCACUAGGAAAUUUCUGCCUUAGUCCUUCUUUUGCGGGCUUUGUUAAUUGCUAUUGGAUCUUCAAACGGUGGCUAGCUAAGUAACAUGUCCGUGAAGCUUCUUGAUCUCCCCGAAUUGUUUCCACCCCAUUUGAUGUUGGAAAUUUGAUACAUUGAUGAUAUGUAGAGGGGACUGCUUUCAUUCGAUAAAUCCAGGGAGUCCCGAGGAUAAUAUUGUAAGCUGCGGGCUUAUCGAAGACAACAAAGUCCACGAUCUUCGAUACCUUCUUGGCAAGGACCGGUAGCUUGAUUGUUCCGAGAGACAUGGCUGACUCGCUUGUGAACGCAACUAACGGAGAUGGGGGUCCUACUAUGUCUCCUCGGCUGAUUCCCAUUUUUUCUAGAGUACUUAAAAAGAUCAAGUUGACCGAACUGCCUGUAUCUAUAAGGAUCCUUGAUACUUCGAAGUUAGCGACAUCAAGAGUAAUGACUAGAGCAUCAUCGUGCGGUCUUUCGAGAUGCCGUGUUUCUUCUUCGUUAAAUGAUAUUGAGGCACCUUGAAAAUCAAUUUCUUCGCUCAAGCUUGCUUUGAGUAAGACAUUUCGUCUAUGCUUUUUGAUGGAACUUAUUGAAUCUCUGCAAAAUCUGGAACCUCCUAGAAUCACAUUGAUCUUACCCUUCGAUCUUCUUGGUUCUUCCUCGUUGGAUAACCUUGGUCUUUUGGAAUCUUGAUCUUUGGAGUUUUCCUUUGCUUCGUGGUAUUCCUUCACAAAAUCUUUUAUAUCGAAUUUAGAAAGAUCGCCGCUAGCCCAAAGCUCUGCGAGGUGCUUUUUAAGAACGCUGCAAUCCUUGGUUAAAUGUCCGGUUACUUUAUGAAUGUCGCAAUAUAGACUUUCAUCACGGACCCAAGUGUUUGAUCUUCCUUUCCCUUGGAAUUGCUUCCCGACGGUAUUGUUGAAGGGUUGUGACCCAAACUUCUUUGGUCCCUUGCUCUCCCUAGGCUCGAACUUCCUGGUAGGGACGGUGAUUGCCGACUUUUCUUGUUUAUUCCUUUUGGCAAAACUUUCUUUUUCGUCCUCUACCUCCAUCCAGUUGUUCGCGCGGAAGAGUGCAUCCUGAAUUGUGUCUGGUUUAUGAAGUAUUAAGUCUUCUUUAAACCUUGAAUCAUGUCGCAAUUCUUUUUGUAAGGCAGAUAAAGCUGAUUGCUGUGAGAUUCUUGGGAGUUUUGACAGCACUCCUUUGAAUUUGGUGAUGAAAACUCGAAGUGACAAGAAAAGUCGAUAGUUCGUCGAAAUUGCUGAUCGAACCCGGCUCUAAUUGGGUGAACCACAUUAGAGCUUGGCCACAUAGAUUCUCCGAAAACAGCUUGCAAUAGCCUGCGUCCUCAUCAGCUUCAUCCAAUUCGACUCUUCCUGCAGCGAUCAGAAAAGCUGCGAGAUAGCUUUUUGGAUCCUCCAAUCCGCUGUAAGGGUCCAAUUUGAGUUUCCGGGAAUCUUUGAUCCUCAAACUCGCAAUUCGCGAGAUGAAAGGUGUUCGCCUAGCUUCUUCAAUGACUCGAUUGAUGUCUGGCUCUGAAAUUGUAGCUUGAUGAAAUUUUGAUUUCAUUUCUUUUAAUUCCUGGCUAACCUUCUUCAUGGUCUCGAACUGGUCGAGGUUCUCCUGCUCAUACUGAGCUGCAAGUUGUUCUUCAUCCCCGAGCUGCGUUUCUUCCUCCAACGUCUGAGCUACAUUAUUAGUAGCACCGGGGGUUGUUUGUCCGUUGGUUUCAUUUUGUGCAGCGGAACUUGGCGAGUUGAAUAUCCCUCUUCGGAUUCCCACCGGGUUUCCUGCACUUAAAGAGCGAACACGAGUUUAUAUAGUAUUGACGUUUUGACUAAGAGAUACCUGGGAUGUUUGCAACGUAUCGACGGCCUUUUCCACAUCCGAGAACUUUUGUUAUAUGUCCGACAUGGUUUGCUGCAUAGCUUUGAGGGUUUCGGCCAAUGAUGUCUCAGCGGCGUCUCCUCCGGACAUUGUUGCUUAUCUCGGAAGUGUGAUAAAGAAAAAAUCUGACCACUCAAGAACCUAAUAUCCCCACAGACGGCGCCAAAAUGUGGAUGUCGGAUUCACACACUCAAGUAUUUUAUUAAGUAGGAAAGAUUAUUCUUGAGGGACAAAAAUGAAUAUGUAAAAACUUGUAGAUUGAUACGAAAAUUGCUAUAUUAUUUCUUUCUUGAGAGGAAGAUCCCCUUUACAUGGCCAUUGGCCUCUAUAUUUAUACCUAGGUAAACGUCAUUAAAAUGAGUAAUUAAGUACAAUUAUUCCUUCUUAAAUGUGUCCGUUUUGAUUCUUCGACUUUAAUGCUCAACGUUUGAAUUUGAGUUGACUCUGAUCUUCAUGGGCCUCGCCUCUUUUGGCCCAAGCGUCCUUGAACCGACUUUCCCGUGUCUUCUACACCGAACUCGUGUCACAGUGCAGUCACUUCGGAUUCUCGAAAUGGUGACAACCACUUCGACCGUCCCUUCGGCUCACGGGUCCAUUGGGCUCCUUUAUGGGCCAUUAUCUUGAUUACGUGGCAAUCUUUGGUUGGUCUCGUACUUCCGGUGCGGGAUCCGACACCAACAAGCGGGUCUCCUUGUCGUAAACCCCUCUCUGGUAUUAUUAGUCCUCUAGGUUGUCCAUUAAGGAGAACUCUAUAUUGGACUGUUGUAAUACACCACAUUAUCCAUUUAAUCCAUUUUUCACAGAAACCCAAUUUUCUUAAGACCUUCUCUAUGAAAGUCCAUUCCACCCUAUCAUAAGCCUUGCUCAUAUCCGUUUUAAUGGCCAUGAAUUUGCCUUUACAGGACGGGUUAGUUCUCAACCCAUGGAACAUCUCUUGUGCAAUGAGAAUAUUAUCUGAAAUCAAUCGUCCUUCUACAAAAGCUGAUUGUGUUUCCGAAAUCAGUUUUGGUAGCACCGUCUUUAGUCUUUGGCAAAGGAUCUUCGAUAUAAUUUUAUACCCAACAUUGCAAAGACUGAUAGGCCGUAAUUCCAUCAUCCGUGUCGGUCUUUCCGUUUUUGGAAUAAGGCAAAUAUUAGUCGUAUUUAACAGUUUAUCAAAAAUUUCAUCCUCUAAAAAGGAAUUGACCAAAGAAAGAAGGUCUGUUUUAAUAGUAACCCAAGCCUUUUGGAAAAAUAAGGCUGUCAUACCAUCAGGUCCUGGUGCCUUUUCCGGAUGCAUCAUAAACAGAGCCGUUCUCACCUCACACUCCAUUGCGGGUGCUGUUAGAAAAUUAUUAAUCUGAUCCGUAAUCAGAGUUUGAACUUCUGCCAAGGAUUCCUCAAAAGCCUCAGGCUUAGUUGUAGUAAACAGUUCUUUAAAAUAAGACACCGCUAUAUUAUGAAUAUCUUUAUCCUCUGCAGAUCAAAUUCCGUUUUCAUCAUGUAACCCUGUUAUUCGAUUUCUAGCCCGUCUUUGUUUUGUUAGUGCAUGAAAUACUUUGAAUUAUUAUCCCCUAACUGCAUCCGAAAGCUCCUACUUUUCUGAUGCCAAUACAAUUCCUCAUCUCGAUAAGCCUCUUUCAACCGCAAUGUUAAUUCGGUAAUCUCCUCCCGUGGUCUUCUAUCAUCUCUCUGAGCCACAAGUAAUUCCGAUUUUAGUUCCUCAAUUGUUUGCCGCCCAUAGGGAGUUAAAUCUUUCCUCCACUGCGAAAUAGCCCGCCUACAAUUAGUCAAUUUUUCUACAAAUUUUCCCUCUCCUAACUCAGGGUCAGAAUUCCAACCAUUUGAAAUUGCCUCGAAUAAUCCUUCCUUCCCAAUCCAUCUUUUAUCAAACCGAAAAUUUCUUUUCCCACAUGGGAUCUUAUCCAUGAGUGUAGCUACCACCGGUGAAUGGUCGAAAGCUACCAUUGGUAAAUAUUCAACGAAAGAAUUGCAGAAUAAUUCAUGCCAAUCUUCGUUCGCUAAAGCUCUAUCCAAACGACACCGUAUUGGUUUCUUAUCCCGCCAACCCCGCCAUGAUAACCAGUCUCCGAUAUAUGGGAAUUCCAAAAGACCGCAAUUUUGAAUCAUUAAAUUAAAAGGUAUAAAAGAAGAUGCAUGUCUUAAGUUACCACCUCUUUUCUCGUGAUUUCCGGUUAACUCAUUAAAAUCGCCUAUUAAGAACCAGGGUGUGUCUCUAAUCAAACCGAUCCGUGUUAACCGUUCCCAAACUUGAUCUCUAUUUUUCGGAACCGGAUCACCAUAAACAAAAGUAAGAUGUAUUGUUUUUCCUUUUACCACUGCCUCAACAUCAAUUAAACGAUUACUUUCAUAAAUAAUUGAAACAUUAAAAUCAUUAUUAUAAUAAAGAGGUAAACCGCCACUACAACCGAUAGGAUCGACCGUUUUUAAAUUUUUGUAACCAAAAUGACCGAUAAACUCGUUAACUCAGAUAUAAUUUUCUUAAAAUCUUAAUCAAUUAAAAGUUCAUUUUACCUAAAUUUAGUUAUUUGAAAAAAAAAUUUAGUUCUUUUUGGUUCACCGAAAUACUAAGUCAGUCUAACAUGGUUCAUAUGUACAACUGAUUUCUCUAUGUUAGGGAAGAGAUAUGGGGUAAUUGGUAGUGUGGUUUUUAGAGCAAUAAACAUUGGUCUUCCUCACGAUCUAUUACAUGUAAUUCGAUGAACUCUCCGACAAGUCUCCGAUAAAUUAUUCUAGCAUAGUACUAUUUUGUUAAUUAUCCACAAAAAUUUGGCUAUUUUGUACAUAUUCUCUAUUUUAUAAUUGAUUUAAAAUAUUUUGUUGGCAUUUUUUAUAGCACUUGACUCUUCUAUAAAAUUGCUACACUUUCACCAUUUUUUUUUCGCCCGUCUGCUACACUCUCUCUCUAAAUCUCAUUAAUUGUAAACAUUUUUUAAAAUCUUUGAUGUAAAAAAAAUCAUUUUUUAAAUUCUUACAAAUAUUUUUUUUGUAUAAUUUUUUAAAAUAAUUUACAAGUUGUAGCAGACAAAAUAAGUUACUUUAAAUUUUAAUUACUUACAGAUUACAAGUUACAACUAGGUUAGAGCCCGCGGUGCCACCGCGGGGAAGAUAUUUCUUUACGUUUGUUUGUGAUUUGAUUUUUAAUAUUGUUCGUGUUUUAUUGUUUUUAUUAAAAUGUGUCUGUAAAGUGUAGAAUAAUAAAAAUCACAUAAUAAGAAGACAUGGACAUUUGGAUUCAAUAUUGGUAAGAAUAAGGCCCAAUCUGAAGCCCAACUUUUGACAUAAUAUUUAUGAAAUUGGGCUUAGAUAUGGAAAAUGAUUAGGACUGCAAUAUGAAAUGUGUCUGUUCAAAGAGUCUAAUACGUGUAACGUGUACAAACAACAGAAAACAAAACAAAGGGUAAACGAAGAAGACGAAAUCUCCAUUCUUCUUCUGCAAUGAAAUCAAAAUAUCCCAGAGACCCAUCAAUUGAUAGAGUGCAUCUCCGAAUUCUAUCGUUGUUAGCAAAUUUAAUGGAAUUAAAAUCGAAGAGGUAAGAAAAAUUCAUGUUUUACAUCUAUAAGAUCCAUGAAAUUUGCAAUCGAUUCAUAAUCAGAACUUACAAUUCAAUAAUACAUUGUCGAGAUUAAGUAGUUAUAAUAGAUGAAAAUGAUUUAUUAUACAGGUAGCUUGGGUUGUAGUUUGUGAAGAUUGAUGUACAGUGAAAUAGUGACCUUAAAAAUGGCGAUAAGGUAAAUCGAAAAUCGUAUAUAAUUCCUAUAUCUAUCGAUUUAGUAAGUUUCAACAAAAGAACUUAUAUUUUAAUGUAUUCUAUUGAUAAGAAAUGAAAAACUGUAAUUAAGUUAAAUAGGUGAUGUAUCAUAAUAUAAGAUAGACUUAUUGUAUGCAUUUUAUUUGAAUCUCUGUUUUUAAAGUAGUGUUAGCAAAUCUGGGGCAUAUUUUCUUUUUAUAUAAGAUAGACUUAUUGUAUGCAUUAUAUGAUAUAUCAUAAAAUGAUAAGUUUGUUAUGGGGCACAUUUUAUUUUUCUAUAUUAUAGGGAAUAAUAUAACAAUCUAUAUAUACAUUUUUGAAUGACUUUUAGCAAAUAAAUCUUGGAGUUGGACCUUAUUUACGGAUGAAUGUCAUUGGCAUUAAUUAUUUAAAUUUGAAAAAUAUUAAUUAAAGAUAUUACCAAUACGAUUUCGAGAAUCAUAAAUUCAUAUCUUCCUUAAUUUUCUGAGUCAUUAAUGUGAUAAUCUUUAGGAAAUAUUUCUCUGUAAAAAAAAAAAAAUCCACAUUAAUGAAGGCAUUAAAAUCGACACUAACAAUUAAAUUAUUUAGAUGUUCAAUUAUUUUAAGAUUCUUAUAUCUUAUUUGAUAUUUUUUUUUUUAAUAUCUCAUUCUUUAAUUACUGCGUUUAGAAUUUAUUGGCUGUUACCUAUUUUUUGGUGAAAUUUAUUGGUUGUUACUUAAUAAGUAAUUAUGGUGCGUUUAUUUUAGUUAAUAUCUAAUUUAAAGGAUUUGUAUAUAUAUCUUAUGGGAACCAUUUAAAAGAAAUUUUUAAAUUAACUUGAAUUAUAUAGCUUUUAAAUAAAAGUAUUAUUAAAAAGAAAAAUAACUAAAUAAUGUUUAAUUUCACGGGACGGGUAAUAUGAUGGGACGGGUUUGGGUUGAUAUUUAUAAAAGAUCGUAUACCACGGGUGAAAUCCUAAAAUUAACAAUCAAAAUAAUCUAUCAAACAAAUUACAUUUUGAUUUUUUUAAGAAAAUAUAGCCCCGCGGUGUACCGCGGGUUAAAAUCUAGUUCAUUAUAUUUCUCAAUUAGAUUUCCUAAAUUAUGGUUGAUUUAAUUACUUUAAAAUGAUAAAUCGAUUGAGAAAAUGAUCAAGUUGCCAUAUUAGUCGGAUUUGUUUUGCAAGGUAUAUAUUGUAGAUCCAUUUUUAUGCUUACGGGUCAUUAUUGUGUGGAUAAUUCCUUUUGAAAUCGAAUGAUCAAAUUACCAUAAUUACGGGUCAAUUCUCCUCAAUUUUUUAAUUUAACCCGAUCCGAAUUGAAUUUGUACUUCUCUUUUAAUAGUAUUGAGAAGAGAUUCUGAGCAACCAGAAAAAGAAAAAACAAAAAAAAAAAUUAUACUAGUUUUUUUUUGUCAAUUCUAUAGAAAGGUCAUACAGAAGAAUUCACCGACUUGUUGGAAAGUGGCGGAAAAAAAAAAAAAAAGACCCGCGAGAACUUUAGCAAUGGUGCCACGCUGGCAAUCCGCGUGAUUCAUGAUUAACCAAUCAAAAUCCAUUAUCAUAAUACUAUAUAUACCAGAAAUCACCACCAAAACCCUAAAUCACUCCAGUCACAAAACUCAGUCUUCUCUACUCAUUUUUCAAUCGCCUCUUCAAAUUUUCCGAUAAAUAAAAGAUGAGUUCCGGCGCCGGCAGUGGAACAACCAAAGGAGGCAGAGGAAAGCCGAAAGCUACAAAGUCCGUUUCUCGAUCGUCUAAAGCUGGUCUUCAGUUUCCCGUUGGAAGAAUCGCUAGAUUCCUUAAAGCCGGAAAAUACGCUGAACGUGUUGGUGCCGGUGCUCCGGUUUAUCUCUCCGCCGUUCUUGAGUACCUCGCCGCUGAGGUAACGAACAAUCUUCUGAUUUCUCGAUUCCGAUUUUUCAGUUCCUGGAUUUUGAUUUCGAUUGCAAAAUUGUGUUUAGUCUUUAGUCUAUGAUGAGAAUCAUGUGAUUCAUUGCGAGGCACGAUAAGUUCCCGAUUACUCGAUCUCUGUUCCGUUAAUUUUGAUUUGAAUUGUGUAAUCGGUUUUGUUGUUCGUCAAUUGCUUGCUCUAUAUGAGAAUUGAGAAUCACUCGGUUGAUAUAUCACUAGAAGUUUGAUAAUCUUCGGAUUUCUCGAUUUUUGCGGAAUGAUUAUGAUCUACUUGAUAUGUAUUAUCGGCUGAUUUUUCGAUCUCUGCUUAACUGGUUCGAUGUUAAGGUGUCUGCUAGAGUCUGAUGUUGAUAUGAUCGUAGCUAUUGGAGCUUGCUGGAAAUGCGGCAAGAGAUAACAAGAAGACACGUAUCGUACCACGACACAUUCAGCUUGCAGUGAGAAACGAUGAAGAGCUUAGUAAACUUCUUGGAAGUGUAACAAUCGCUAAUGGAGGAGUUUUGCCUAAUAUUCAUCAGACACUUCUCCCAUCAAAGGUUGGGAAGAACAAAGGCGAUAUCGGAUCCGCUUCUCAAGAAUUUUGAUUCUUAUUUCUUGGUUGAAUUUUUAGCUUGUAACAUAGACAUGGCUCUCUAUUCCACAAUAGUUUUGGGAUUUUCAUAUGGUUUAAAAUCUGUGUUUGCAAAUGAAGUUAUGAAUUUGGUUUGAAGAUCAGAAAUAGUUAAAUUUGAUGUCUAGAAAUUGCAGAUUCAAUUGCUUCAAUACAAGCACCAAUAGGUUUGGCUUUAGCAAUUGCUUCUGCAAGUGAAACUCUUGCUUCGCUGUGAGAAUGUAAUAAGGAGACAGUGUUGGAAACAGCCCAUCUUAUAUGAGCCUCUUUCUCUGUUUCUGUGAACCCGAGCCAACGCAGAACAUCGAUUAACUGUAGCAACAUAAAAUUUCAAAAACCGUUAGAGAUUAUAGUUUCACACUGCAUUUCGAACUAGAAAAAGAUUGAGAUUGCAUAAACCUUGACAACAUCUNNNNNNNNNNNNNNNNNNNNNNNNNNNNNNNNNNNNNNNNNNNNNNNNNNNNNNNNNNNNNNNNNNNNNNNNNNNNNNNNNNNNNNNNNNNNNNNNNNNNNNNNNNNNNNNNNNNNNNNNNNNNNNNNNNNNNNNNNNNNNNNNNNNNNNNNNNNNNNNNNNNNNNNNNNNNNNNNNNNNNNNNNNNNNNNNNNNNNNNNNNNNNNNNNNNNNNNNNNNNNNNNNNNNNNNNNNNNNNNNNNNNNNNNNNNNNNNNNNNNNNNNNNNNNNNNNNNNNNNNNNNNNNNNNNNNNNNNNNNNNNNNNNNNNNNNNNNNNNNNNNNNNNNNNNNNNNNNNNNNNNNNNNNNNNNNNNNNNNNNNNNNNNNNNNNNNNNNNNNNNNNNNNNNNNNNNNNNNNNNNNNNNNNNNNNNNNNNNNNNNNNNNNNNNNNNNNNNNNNNNNNNNNNNNNNNNNNNNNNNNNNNNNNNNNNNNNNNNNNNNNNNNNNNNNNNNNNNNNNNNNNNNNNNNNNNNNNNNNNNNNNNNNNNNNNNNNNNNNNNNNNNNNNNNNNNNNNNNNNNNNNNNNNNNNNNNNNNNNNNNNNNNNNNNNNNNNNNNNNNNNNNNNNNNNNNNNNNNNNNNNNNNNNNNNNNNNNNNNNNNNNNNNNNNNNNNNNNNNNNNNNNNNNNNNNNNNNNNNNNNNNNNNNNNNNNNNNNNNNNNNNNNNNNNNNNNNNNNNNNNNNNNNNNNNNNNNNNNNNNNNNNNNNNNNNNNNNNNNNNNNNNNNNNNNNNNNNNNNNNNNNNNNNNNNNNNNNNNNNNNNNNNNNNNNNNNNNNNNNNNNNNNNNNNNNNNNNNNNNNNNNNNNNNNNNNNNNNNNNNNNNNNNNNNNNNNNNNNNNNNNNNNNNNNNNNNNNNNNNNNNNNNNNNNNNNNNNNNNNNNNNNNNNNNNNNNNNNNNNNNNNNNNNNNNNNNNNNNNNNNNNNNNNNNNNNNNNNNNNNNNNNNNNNNNNNNNNNNNNNNNNNNNNNNNNNNNNNNNNNNNNNNNNNNNNNNNNNNNNNNNNNNNNNNNNNNNNNNNNNNNNNNNNNNNNNNNNNNNNNNNNNNNNNNNNNNNNNNNNNNNNNNNNNNNNNNNNNNNNNNNNNNNNNNNNNNNNNNNNNNNNNNNNNNNNNNNNNNNNNNNNNNNNNNNNNNNNNNNNNNNNNNNNNNNNNNNNNNNNNNNNNNNNNNNNNNNNNNNNNNNNNNNNNNNNNNNNNNNNNNNNNNNNNNNNNNNNNNNNNNNNNNNNNNNNNNNNNNNNNNNNNNNNNNNNNNNNNNNNNNNNNNNNNNNNNNNNNNNNNNNNNNNNNNNNNNNNNNNNNNNNNNNNNNNNNNNNNNNNNNNNNNNNNNNNNNNNNNNNNNNNNNNNNNNNNNNNNNNNNNNNNNNNNNNNNNNNNNNNNNNNNNNNNNNNNNNNNNNNNNNNNNNNNNNNNNNNNNNNNNNNNNNNNNNNNNNNNNNNNNNNNNNNNNNNNNNNNNNNNNNNNNNNNNNNNNNNNNNNNNNNNNNNNNNNNNNNNNNNNNNNNNNNNNNNNNNNNNNNNNNNNNNNNNNNNNNNNNNNNNNNNNNNNNNNNNNNNNNNNNNNNNNNNNNNNNNNNNNNNNNNNNNNNNNNNNNNNNNNNNNNNNNNNNNNNNNNNNNNNNNNNNNNNNNNNNNNNNNNNNNNNNNNNNNNNNNNNNNNNNNNNNNNNNNNNNNNNNNNNNNNNNNNNNNNNNNNNNNNNNNNNNNNNNNNNNNNNNNNNNNNNNNNNNNNNNNNNNNNNNNNNNNNNNNNNNNNNNNNNNNNNNNNNNNNNNNNNNNNNNNNNNNNNNNNNNNNNNNNNNNNNNNNNNNNNNNNNNNNNNNNNNNNNNNNNNNNNNNNNNNNNNNNNNNNNNNNNNNNNNNNNNNNNNNNNNNNNNNNNNNNNNNNNNNNNNNNNNNNNNNNNNNNNNNNNNNNNNNNNNNNNNNNNNNNNNNNNNNNNNNNNNNNNNNNNNNNNNNNNNNNNNNNNNNNNNNNNNNNNNNNNNNNNNNNNNNNNNNNNNNNNNNNNNNNNNNNNNNNNNNNNNNNNNNNNNNNNNNNNNNNNNNNNNNNNNNNNNNNNNNNNNNNNNNNNNNNNNNNNNNNNNNNNNNNNNNNNNNNNNNNNNNNNNNNNNNNNNNNNNNNNNNNNNNNNNNNNNNNNNNNNNNNNNNNNNNNNNNNNNNNNNNNNNNNNNNNNNNNNNNNNNNNNNNNNNNNNNNNNNNNNNNNNNNNNNNNNNNNNNNNNNNNNNNNNNNNNNNNNNNNNNNNNNNNNNNNNNNNNNNNNNNNNNNNNNNNNNNNNNNNNNNNNNNNNNNNNNNNNNNNNNNNNNNNNNNNNNNNNNNNNNNNNNNNNNNNNNNNNNNNNNNNNNNNNNNNNNNNNNNNNNNNNNNNNNNNNNNNNNNNNNNNNNNNNNNNNNNNNNNNNNNNNNNNNNNNNNNNNNNNNNNNNNNNNNNNNNNNNNNNNNNNNNNNNNNNNNNNNNNNNNNNNNNNNNNNNNNNNNNNNNNNNNNNNNNNNNNNNNNNNNNNNNNNNNNNNNNNNNNNNNNNNNNNNNNNNNNNNNNNNNNNNNNNNNNNNNNNNNNNNNNNNNNNNNNNNNNNNNNNNNNNNNNNNNNNNNNNNNNNNNNNNNNNNNNNNNNNNNNNNNNNNNNNNNNNNNNNNNNNNNNNNNNNNNNNNNNNNNNNNNNNNNNNNNNNNNNNNNNNNNNNNNNNNNNNNNNNNNNNNNNNNNNNNNNNNNNNNNNNNNNNNNNNNNNNNNNNNNNNNNNNNNNNNNNNNNNNNNNNNNNNNNNNNNNNNNNNNNNNNNNNNNNNNNNNNNNNNNNNNNNNNNNNNNNNNNNNNNNNNNNNNNNNNNNNNNNNNNNNNNNNNNNNNNNNNNNNNNNNNNNNNNNNNNNNNNNNNNNNNNNNNNNNNNNNNNNNNNNNNNNNNNNNNNNNNNNNNNNNNNNNNNNNNNNNNNNNNNNNNNNNNNNNNNNNNNNNNNNNNNNNNNNNNNNNNNNNNNNNNNNNNNNNNNNNNNNNNNNNNNNNNNNNNNNNNNNNNNNNNNNNNNNNNNNNNNNNNNNNNNNNNNNNNNNNNNNNNNNNNNNNNNNNNNNNNNNNNNNNNNNNNNNNNNNNNNNNNNNNNNNNNNNNNNNNNNNNNNNNNNNNNNNNNNNNNNNNNNNNNNNNNNNNNNNNNNNNNNNNNNNNNNNNNNNNNNNNNNNNNNNNNNNNNNNNNNNNNNNNNNNNNNNNNNNNNNNNNNNNNNNNNNNNNNNNNNNNNNNNNNNNNNNNNNNNNNNNNNNNNNNNNNNNNNNNNNNNNNNNNNNNNNNNNNNNNNNNNNNNNNNNNNNNNNNNNNNNNNNNNNNNNNNNNNNNNNNNNNNNNNNNNNNNNNNNNNNNNNNNNNNNNNNNNNNNNNNNNNNNNNNNNNNNNNNNNNNNNNNNNNNNNNNNNNNNNNNNNNNNNNNNNNNNNNNNNNNNNNNNNNNNNNNNNNNNNNNNNNNNNNNNNNNNNNNNNNNNNNNNNNNNNNNNNNNNNNNNNNNNNNNNNNNNNNNNNNNNNNNNNNNNNNNNNNNNNNNNNNNNNNNNNNNNNNNNNNNNNNNNNNNNNNNNNNNNNNNNNNNNNNNNNNNNNNNNNNNNNNNNNNNNNNNNNNNNNNNNNNNNNNNNNNNNNNNNNNNNNNNNNNNNNNNNNNNNNNNNNNNNNNNNNNNNNNNNNNNNNNNNNNNNNNNNNNNNNNNNNNNNNNNNNNNNNNNNNNNNNNNNNNNNNNNNNNNNNNNNNNNNNNNNNNNNNNNNNNNNNNNNNNNNNNNNNNNNNNNNNNNNNNNNNNNNNNNNNNNNNNNNNNNNNNNNNNNNNNNNNNNNNNNNNNNNNNNNNNNNNNNNNNNNNNNNNNNNNNNNNNNNNNNNNNNNNNNNNNNNNNNNNNNNNNNNNNNNNNNNNNNNNNNNNNNNNNNNNNNNNNNNNNNNNNNNNNNNNNNNNNNNNNNNNNNNNNNNNNNNNNNNNNNNNNNNNNNNNNNNNNNNNNNNNNNNNNNNNCGGUUGGUCUGAACUGCCCAGACGGCAGGCAGCUGCUGCGCCGGUGACACCAGCAUGAGGGGGUCGGUUGUAGGCUGUUAACAUAUUUAGCAACCAAAUCCUUCUUCACAGAAGCAUGAAUCUUGACACCCUGUUUUAAUAAUGAAGUAGAAUUAGAGUUAGGUUUUUAGAUGUUGCUCAUGUAUAGAAAUAUAAAAUGCUACUCUCUGAUAUAUUGUUGUUUUACCUGUGAAUCAGCGAGGACCAACUCAAGGGUUUCACCUGUGUUGUUGGUAUACUGGCGCCAAGAAUGGAGCACCUUAACCUGGACACGCCAAGAUGUCUUGUAUGGUCUGACAUCUCUUAACAUUGCAAAUUGGGAAGCCAUUGGUGAAGGUAAAUAAAGAAAAUUUUAUUAUCUGAUAUAUUGCUAUUGGGAAAUGAGAGAUUGUGUGAAUAGAGACGAUGGGAAUGAGCGGCUAUUUAUAUAGUUUGAAUUAGUAGGUUCCAUUAGGUUUAGGCGAAUAUUAUAAAAUCCUUGAUGAUCAAGGAUUAAAUAUAUUGCGUGAUCUUAAUUAUUGGAAUAAAAGAGAAUAUGCUAGGUUAAUUUCUGCGAGAAUAUAGAUGAAAUCUCUUCUAUAUUAACUAUUUUCCAACUCAAUAAGAUCACUCCGAGAUACAUGCUUCAGUUGAUAGAAAGAAAUGAUAAAUGGAGUAGUUACUAUUGCGUUAUAAUAGGGAAGAUUAGAUAUGCUAUGAAUGUUUGCUUCUUGAUUGGUGUAACUGGAAAUAUUUUGUGUAUCUUUAACUGAGAUUGAAUUGAGAAACUUAAUCAUUUCUGCCAUGAAUGUAGGUCGCCGCAACUAAGGAAAGAUUUGGUGAAAAAAAUCGGAGCAAACUAUCAAAUUUGGUAAGAUCCGAAUGUCUAGUAAGCGGGUCAAAAUUAAAGAUUUCCGGGUCAUAUUUUGACCCGAUUUGGGGACCCCAAAAACUGCUGCAAAAAUGUAUAGUAGAUAAACUGCUAAACCAAACCAUUUCGAAACAACCGAAAACAGAUUGAAAUUCUUCUAUAAACCGACUGGUUUUGAUAAGAUGAAUCCAAAAACCAAAAUCGAUUUUUAGUGUAUCCAAAUAAAACUUUUUUAUUAAUUAAAAUCAAAACAAAUCUAGACUUAAGAUAAAACCAUAGUUUCAUCAAAUAAAAAUAAAAUGAUAAACAGUUUUUAUUUGGUUUCAUUCUGUAAAACCGAAAAAUAAAAUAACACGAAGAAUCUCAAACCGAAAUCAAAACGAAUUUGUAACUGCAGAUUUUAUCCAAAGAAAAUGGUAAAAAAAAAAAUAAAUAGUAGUCAACGCAAGUCAGCAGAUCGAAGAAUAAUAUGAUUGGGUAGUCUAGUUUAGUUUCGUGGUCGCGAGGCAGUAGAUUAUUUGCUGAUCUUCCCUAUAGACUGAAACCACCGGAAGACGACGGUACCAACCGUUAAUUAACAGCCGUCAAAAGACGUGACGAAACAUUCCUCAGCGUUUCCUUUCAGUUUCCUUUAAGCUCUCGAUUGUGUUUGUUUAGGCAACGAGAAAAAAGCGAGAGAAAGAUAAAGGUUUUCACUUUUUUCUUCAUCUGUCUGUAUUUUCAUUUUCUGGGUUUUAAGGGUUUCGCUUGCAAAGUCGAGAGCUUUUUCUUUUUGGGUGGGUUACAAUGGCGGGUGAUUGUGCAAUUGACACCGAGAAAUACUCUCUGUUGGAGGAUUUUAAUGUCGAUGUUGAAGUCGAAAACAAAGCUUUUGAGACUUUCUCACUUUGUUUUUGGGUUUAUCUCUUAGAUUCCACCACAUACCCUUCUACAAUUAUCAGACAGGUGAGUUCUCGAAAUCUUUUGUUAUUGAAAUGUUCAUCUCUUGAGUUCUGUUAUAUAAUCGAUCUUGCAUAUUCAUCUCUUCUUGCUUGUUGGAAUUGGGGGAAAAAGUUGGAACUUUGAGUUGCUUCUUUGAAAUUUCGAGUUCAGUUUUGUCUUCCCAUUUUUUGUUAUUCUUGUUUAUUUACCGAUUUUGAGGUUGAUCGCUGUGAUUUCAUUAUAGGAGUGUCUGAUUGAAACAACAGCUUCUGAUUAAAAAUAGUGGCUUUCUUCUCAGGUUCACUCUGACAUGAGCGUUAGUGCACCUUUCCUUGUUCUAGAUGAAAACAAGAAGAUGAUGCUUUUGCCAUUGACUCUCCUUCACAAUGAAGCUCCUGAUCCUGUUAACAUUUCUUCUUGGACUGAAGUUCCUAAUGUUUCUACAACUGCUGAGUUUCCUCUUCAAAAAUGGGUUCAUGUGGGUUGCGAGGUAAUAAUAAUUAUAAGAUCUCUGAGGACUCUUAUUAUUUUAUUCAAUAUCUAUCUUCUGGGCAUUUACUGAUCUCUGGUGUCACUUAGGUUUCUAGAAACUACAUGCGCCUUUAUAUUUGUGGAGAGAUUGUAGGAGAGCAAGUCUUAACUUCCUUGAUGACCAAUAGUACAAAUUCAGAUUGCGCACGAAAGAUAUCGUUAUUCAGUGUUGGUGGAGAUGGUUAUAGUGUUCAGGGUUUCAUCCACUGUGCUGAAGUUUUGCCUUCUAAUGUCCCGGCAAAUUAUCACUACACAAAGGUAGUCUCUUGUCUUUGCCCUCUCCUCCUUUUCAACAAAAGACUCUUGUCCUGUGUUUCUUUAUUUCGCUUCAUUUCUUCGCCAGGACCCACCUUUAUGGUUAUCUGUUGAUAAGCCAUCUACAUCUGGAAUUGGAUUAGAUAAAGAUGGUGUUUGGAUUAUCGUUAGCGGAACAUUUUGUUCCUUGGAUGUUGUUUUAACCAAUGCUAUUGGACAGCCUGUGCACAAGGAUGUGAAGGUUCAUUCUCUUAUGCUUUCUCUAAACUUUUGUGUUUGUUUAGCUCUGGAAGUAUUUCUGGUAGCGCAUUAUUGGUUUGAUGUUGCAGGUUGUGGCUUCUCUACUGUAUGCUGAUAGUGGGAUGCCAGUUGAGAAGAUGAGUGACUCGGAGGCUCCCCUUUUGGUAAGCUAUGAAGGAGUUGAAUUCUCUGCUGAAGAUAAGCCAUGCAACUUAUUGAACGGAUGUGCUUCUUUCAAGCUCAAAUUAUCUCAGGUGGUGAUUAUAAUAAAUUCUAAGCCUUUGGAACGGGAUAUCACAUUCUCGUUAGAAUUCUUGUCUCUUCUUAGAGGCAUUGAAGGAUUCUUGUUUUGAUUUGUCUUGUAGCUUUCUUCCAAGAGUGAUAAGAGAUUGUUCUGUGUCAAAUUCGAAAUACCAGAAGUGAAGGCCUAUUAUCCUUUCCUUGAAACUGUUACCAACCAAAUCCGUUGCAUUUCGAGGAACCAUGAUUCUCUUACCCCUAAAAGGUCGAAUCGCAUAGAUUAUCCAUUAGAUGGAGGAGAACCAGAACUUGCUUCAAGAAGUAAUGGAACAUCCGACAUUCUACAUAGCUCUUCCUCUAUGAAACGGAUCAGAUUAGGGGAAGAAAAGGUUUCUGAGAGUGAGGUACAUAAUCAAUUUCUCUGAGUUACGUUUGUUUUGCUUUGUAUCCAUAUCCCACGUACUGUUAUUCUGCAUUGUUGUUUCUUUCGAGUUAGACUGAGAAUGGAAAUGGUACGAGUAUGGAAUGGAGACCUCAGAACCAUGAAGAAGAAGACGAAGAAGAUAACUCUUCAACUGAUUCCGAAAACACUGAAAUUAGAGACUCGACUGCUUUCAGGAGAUAUACAAUCUCAGACUCGAUUAUUUUCAAAUACUGCCUUGGAAACUUAACAGAGAGAGCUCUUCUUCUGAAGGAAAUCACAAAUAAUUCAUCAGAUGAAGAAGUCUCGGAAUUUGUAGAUCAAGUUUCUCUCUAUUCCGGAUGCUUCCACCACAGGUAAAGAAAUGAAAUUAAACUCACACCUGCCUCAAAUAUGUAUAUUACGAAAAUAAAAUAGAUCACUAAUCUUUCAAAUUUUCCAGCUAUCAAAUCAAAAUGGCAAGACAAUUGAUAGCAGAAGGAACAAAUGCGUGGAAUCUGAUAUCUCGGAACUAUCAACAUGUUCAUUGGGACAAUGUGGUAAUUGAGAUUGAAGAACAUUUCAUGAGAAUAGCUAAAUGCAGCAGUAGAUCUCUCACUCACCAGGUCAUAUUUCUUUCACCAAGAUCAAAGUUUUGCUCUUGUCGCCGUGAUUCUGACAUUAAAUUGUAAUCAGGAUUUUGACCUUCUAAGAAGAAUAUGUGGAUGCUAUGAAUACAUAACUCAAGAGAAUUUUGAGAAAAUGUGGUGUUGGUUGUUCCCUGUUGCUUCGGCUAUAUCCAGGGGAUUGAUUAACGGAAUGUGGCGCUCAGCUUCGCCUAAAUGGAUAGAAGGGUUUGUGACUAAAGAAGAGGCAGAACGUUCGCUUCAGAAUCAAGUAGCGGGAACUUUCAUUCUCAGGUUCCCUACUUCAAGAAGCUGGCCACAUCCUGAUGCUGGUUCCUUGGUUGUGACUUAUGUCGGUCAUGAUUUAGUUAUUCAUCAUAGAUUACUCACAAUCGAUCACAUCUGCGAGUAAGUAAAUCUCUACAUCUCCUCUCUCCCUCUCUCAGUGUCUGUCUUGUGACAAUUGUUUUUGUUUUUAGUUCUAGUGAAAGGUAUACAGAUGCAAAACCGUUGCAAGAUAUGCUUUUGGCGGAACCUGAGCUAUCCCGGCUUGGAAGGUGAGAGAGAGAGAGAAGAGAAAGGUUUUUGUUAUUGUUGAUGCAAAGAGAGAUCGAAUUCAUGAUCUGAAAUUGGUGUUUUUUGGUUUGUUGCAUUUUUCAGGAUCAUAAGAGGCAUUUGAAUAUCAAGACACUCAACAAGAUAGACAAGCAUCGACUAUUAUUGAGGUUUAUUAUACUUUGGCUAGUAUAUAUGUACACAUAUAGAUUUGCUAAGUCUCUCUAUUUACUGAUGAUACUAACUUGUGUAAAGGAAGCUCAGUGAUUUAAAUUAGGUGGAAAGGGUUUUUAUUUUAAAAGCUGUACUUAUUUGUUUAAUCUAAAAUCAAUUAAAUUCAGUUACCGACAGAAAAGAAAGAAAGGAGUUACGAUUUUUGCUUCUUUAGCUUAAUUUUUUUUAAUAUAUUUGUGUGGCCCAUUUAUGCCCUAAUAUAUUGCUUGGUCCCCCUAAUCCCUUGAAUUGAUUUUUGAUUAUUUAUUUUUUAGUUUGUAUUUAAAUUUUAAAGCUUUUAAGAAAAUUUAACCAUUGUUUUUAAUCUUCUCAUAUAUGUAAACGGACUAUGGAAUGAGAAAAAUCUAUUAAAAAUUAACUGAAUGGAAUUGUAAACUACCAAGUCAUAACAGUAAUUACUUUGAUUUACAAAAAAAAAAAAGAGACAGAAUUCAUUUUAUCAAUGAAGUUGGAAACUUAUGUCAACAUUUAAAAAUCAUGGUUUCACGUAAUUUGAUGAUUUGUUAUAAACAAAAAAAAAAAAAAAAAAAACCCUAGAACCGAAAGUAUUGUACGGUAAAAACUUAUAAAAAUAGUGAGAUCUAGAAUAAUGAUAUUAUAAUUCUCUUAAAAUAAGAAAAAUGGAUAUUCUCUAAUCUCGAAAUAUUUGAUACGAGUUAGAUGACAGACCAAUAGAUAGAACACACGUGGUGACAUUUCAGCUUCUGAUUAGAACGAUGGACUCUCUUUUUUUUUUCCCUCUCUCUAAGUAAUUUGUAUAUUGAAUUAAAGAAAAAACGGACACACACAAAUCUGAAAAUCUCUCUCGUCCUCCGAAGGUCGAGUUUUGAGAGCGAGUGAGAGUUCUUCUUAUGUGGUUUUGUCUCGUCCACCCAAAGAAAAUCAUCAAAAAAUAAAUAAAAGGGAUCGAUUCACAAACUUAUAAAUUUCUCUGUCUUUUUUAUUUUUUAUAUUUCCGAAAAUUUUCCAUACACACAUCCAAUCUCGCUCGUCAGCACAAAUUAACAUUGGACUCUCAGUUCCCGAAGAUUCUUCUCUUUGGACUCUUAGUUUCCGAAACUUAUUAACCGUCUUUUCUUUGGUUUUUGGGUUUGCAUAAAAGUUGUCGUCACUUGUGGAUUUUGUCUGAGAAAUGAUGAUGUCAUGUCGGAAUAUAGACUUGGGUACGAGUGUUCUUGAUCAUUCUUGUAGCUCUUCUUCAACAAGUCGUCGAUUCUUGUUUGGGAAUUGUUCCAAGAAUGUUUGUAUGAUUGGUGGCAGAAGCUAUGCUGGAAAUUUGGUCUUUCUCCGGCGAGAUUUCGGUACUUGCAGAGCGGUUCCGGCUAAAUCCAAGGAGAAUUCUCUGGUCAAUGGUAAACGAUUUUUCUGAUUUUGGUUGAUUGAGAUUCUUUGAUUUUUGAGGUUUGGUUGGUUAAGUAAUUGAAUGAUUGGUCUUCACCUUUAUGGUACAUAGGAACUCAAUCAUUACACAUUAACAACAGUAAAGUUCUGAGCUUGAGUUAUGUUUGCUAUGCAGAACAUCUCUCAUGAGACAGAGUCUCUGACUCUUCCAAAAAAUAAAGUUUUGAGCCUUUUAGCUUUGGCUGAGAGGCAAAGAGUGUUGUUAUAAGCUGAGAUACUCAAAACUAGAUAAUUCAUAGAGAAGUCAAAAGCUUACAUAUUUAAGAGUUUUCUUCAGUUUUUAAGGCUAAUUUGAGGCCUCAUGAGAAUAUUGAUGGAUGUGUAGGUAUUGGUCAAGAUAAAACAGUGAUGCUCAAUCUGAGGCAAGAGUCACGAAAGCCGAUAUCUUUGGAAAAUCUGUUUGAGGUAGUAGCUGAUGAUUUGCAGAGGUUGAACGACAAUCUUUUAUCGGUUAGUACCUCAGGCAACAUUUCUUUCUGGUCUCUUAAUAGAGGGUCAUGCUUCUAAUGUAAAUGCUCUUCUUUUAUAGAUUGUUGGUGCAGAAAAUCCGGUUUUGAUAUCUGCGGCUGAGCAAAUCUUCAGUGCUGGUGGCAAGAGGAUGAGACCGGGUUUGGUAUUCCUUGUAUCACGAGCCACUGCGGAAUUAGCUGGCUUAAAGUAAUCUAUAUAACUGUCAUUACUAUUACAUCUUUGACCUCGAAACUGCGCAUAAUCUUUAGCAAUAAAAAUGAUGGUUUCUAGCUGAUCUUGGUGCAGGGAACUUACAGUAGAACAUCGGCGUUUAGGUGAGAUCAUUGAGAUGAUUCACACCGCAAGUUUGAUACACGAUGAUGUGUUAGACGAAAGUGAUAUGCGAAGAGGUAAGACAAAAGUUUCAUUCUUUUGAUCGGAAUAUGCAUUUUCUCUGCAAAGGUUUAAGCUUUCUGUGUGUGUUUGUUAGGAAAAGAAACGGUUCACGAGCUUUUCGGAACAAGAGUAGCUGUAUUAGCUGGAGAUUUCAUGUUUGCUCAAGCAUCAUGGUACUUAGCAAAUCUCGAAAACCUCCAAGUCAUUAAGCUCAUAAGUCAGGUAAAAUUCUUUUCUGAGAUUAGAAGAAACUACAUAAUACAAAGAAAAUUUGGUCUGAAUCUUGAUUUAUCAUUUUCAGGUAAUCAAAGAUUUUGCAAGCGGUGAGAUAAAGCAAGCAUCAAGUUUAUUCGAUUGUGAUGUCGAGCUUGAUGACUACUUGCUAAAGAGUUACUACAAGACAGCUUCAUUAGUAGCUGCAAGCACCAAAGGAGCUGCAAUUUUCAGUAAAGUCGAAAGCGAGGUCGCAGAGCAAAUGUAUCAGUUCGGAAAGAAUCUCGGUUUAUCUUUUCAAGUAGUUGAUGACAUUCUGGACUUCACUCAAUCCACAGAGCAGUUAGGGAAACCUGCAGCUAAUGACUUAGCCAAAGGUAACAUAACAGCGCCAGUGAUCUUCGCACUAGAGAAUGAGCCGAGGCUAAGAGAGAUCAUUGAGUCUGAGUUUUGUGAGCCUGGAUCGCUUGAAGAAGCGAUUGAAAUAGUUAGAAAUCGCGGUGGGAUCAAGAAAGCUCAAGAAUUGGCUAAGGAGAAAGGUGAGCUUGCGUUAAAGAAUCUGAAUUGUCUUCCGAGAAGUGGUUUCAGAUCGGCUCUUGAGGAUAUGGUGAUGUUUAAUCUUGAAAGGAUUGAUUAGCUUCAAAGGGUAUUUGGCAGAGGAAACUGUAACACUCUUUACUUGUUUCAAACUUCAAACACAGAUUUUUUUUUACUGUAUGUCACAAAGGAAAAUCAUGCUUAUUAUUGCAAAAUAAAAGUAACUCAUAUAUUUAGAUACAUGUGAAUGGAGCUAAUUGUUUAUAGAAAUCGAUCUGUGAUAACAUUCUAUACAUCUUUGUACUGAAUAGUGAAAACUAAUUAACAGUAUUUUUUAAAAAGUUUUUCGUUAAAAUUUUAGAAAUGAAGUUUGGUAAUAUUGAUAAGUUUGCUAAUAAUUAUUUGGAAUUUUUUAUAAUUAUUUAGUUAGUUAGAUUUAAGUUUGGUUUUGAUUGAAUUUCUUUAGCUAACUAAAAAUGAAACAUAAAUUUUCUGAAACGAAUAAAUUAAUAAAUUGUGGUUUCAAUUCUAGAAUGUUUGUCUGGACCGAAUUACCUAAACAAAUCAAACAAAUAAGAAAUAUAAAUGCAAAAACAUCUGAUCUUGAUGUGUCUCGCCAACCAUUUCUAUUAUGUUUUAUCUUCAUUGAUUCUUUUUCAAAAAAACAUUAGAUUAGGUUUUUUUUUUUUUUUUUUGGACAAACUAUUAGAUUAGAUUAGCUAAAGCAUGUUUUGCUAAUUAUUUUGUCGAGAUUCAACAUAAAUAUGGUCAUUAUUUCACGUGGCAUUUUCUUUUGCACAAGAUUUUUUUUGUAGUAAAGUUGAAAUUUGACAGAAAAAACCAAAAUCCUCUCUUAUGUGUGUGAGGACUAAAGGGGAAUUAAAAGAUACAAAUGAAAUUAAUUAUGUUAAAAGUAUAAACUAAAUCAGGUGGUGGUGAACAAUCGCAAAGAGCAAUAUCAUGACAAUCAAGAAAUCUUAUGAAAUUUAUAGAUUUGAAUCUGUUUCUUAUAUACAAAAACACCCAAAUAAGAUUUCUUGACAGGAUUCAAACUGCAUUUACCACUAGACACCUUCAAGGUUCUGUUUUGUUGAUGAACAAAAAAGAAAGGAAGCACCUUUACAUUUUUUCUUCUUCUUCUACCUCCUAAACUUUUCGGAUGAUCAAAUGAGCUCCAUGUUGUGGAAAUGUAGUUGCAGCUGGGAAAGGAGCAUGAGUAUACGAUGGAGAGAGCUCUACACUGAACCUUUGAAGUACCAUUGCCAAGAAGAGUUUAGCUUGCAACAUGGAAAAGUUUUGACCGAUACAAGUCCGAGGGCCCGAGCUAAAUGGCAAGAAGGAGAGUCUUCCUUUGGUUGCACCCGCCACGCCAUUAACGAAUCUCUCGGGCUUAAACUGUUUCACAUCGUCUCCCCAAAGGUCAGGAUCAUGGUGCACCAAGAGCAUUGGUAUUGUGACCACAACUCCUUCGGGUAAAGAGAAUCUCUCUAACUUCACUUCUUGUUUAGUUAUCCGACAUGUGAAGUAAGCUGGUGAAUAGAGCCUUAGAACUUCAUGGAGGAUCAUUGUUACCUAAUGAUGAUGGCCCAAAUUCAAAAGAAAAGAAUAAGCUAUAAAGACUUUUAUAAUGUGUUUUUUUUUAGUAGGUUUUGAAAAUGUCUACUUACAACUUUCAGGUGGCUUAACCCUUCGAAAUCUGGCUCGUUGUUACCGAAGGCCUGAGAAACCUCGUCUCUUGCUUUGUUUUGCCAAUCUUGAUGUUGGCUUAGAGCAACAAGUGUCCAAACAAACAAUGAAGAAGUGACAUUUUGACCAGCUAGAUAGAAAGCCUUACAGUCAUCUAUCAGGUCAUCAAGACUCAGCCCUGAAUCUGGUCCUUGUUCUUUGAUGGUUUUUGUAUUCGAAGCCAACAUGGAGAACAACAAGUCGCUGUUUUUGUCGGUACCUCUUCCUCUUUUUAUCUCCUCCUCUUUAGUCUCAAUCAUAGCUUUAAACAUAGCCCUCAUGUCCCUUUCGGUUUCUCUCAACCUCCUGUUGAACUUUGUUGGCAAAAAUCUGCAAAUGACAAAUCCAAAAAGACAUGAAAAAUAGAAUCAGCAAAAUUAGCUUUCCACUUAUAUUAAACUCAGUUGAUUUUAGACAAUUUAUUUACUUUGAUCCAGGAAUGUAGACGGCACGAAUAGCGAGGAGACCAAGAUCGAUCUGCUCUUGUUGGAUUUCGAAGAUCUUGAUACCAUCUUUGUAGGAAUCACCAAAAGAAGCACGAGCAAGCAUGUUUCUGGUUAAGUCAUGACAGUGAGUCCAUGAAUCAAGUUCCACUGUUCCUUUUGCUGAAGCUAAUUUCUCCCAUUCUUCUAACAUCUCUUUGCAACUCGAGUUGAAUGCUGGUAGUAUGCUCUGUUCAUUUUUUGGUAAAUAUUAUUAUACCAUUUCAAAAGUAAAUAAAUGAUUUAUUGCUAAUUAUUUGCUCAUAAUGUUUUUGUUAAUGAUAAUGAGUGCACUGCAAAUGUGAGGUUUCUAGUACACUGAUAAUGAAAUGAUAAAUUCUUUUUGUCGAAAUAAAGUAGUAGUAUUAUAAAUUCUUGAUUUGAAAAAUUCGAUUUCACCUUUUUGUAAUGUGUCUUUUUGGCCUUUUCUGUUUUUUCGCUUUUAGACUUUUAUAGUUGGUGACUUGGUGGCGUGGCGUGGAUUCUUUAGUUCUUUGGGGACUUUUUUUUUUUUUUUUUUCUCUGUUUGUCUUUUUUCUUUAAAUACCUUAUUUAUUUUUAUUUUUCUUCCUUUCGGGUAGAGUAAUAUAUUUUUUGUCUAAGAGACUUCAUUUAAUUUUUUUCUGUUUAUCUUGAAAAGAAAUUAAUUUUUUAAAAAAUCGUUAAUAUGUGAUUUUUUUAUAUAUAAUUAUUGUUUAAAUCUCUCAGCUACGAAACAAGUGAAAAGACGUUACUUAUCUGACUUUCUUUUCGAAAAAAAAGUAGUAGAAGAGAAAAUGAAACUGACCAAAAUCUAAAGAAUGAGACGAAAAUGACGUCCACAAAGUUCAAAUUAUGUCAGAGUUAAAAAAUCAAUUAUAAGAACACAAAAUAUAAUUAUUAGAGUCAAAAUGAGCAUGCCAUAUUCAUUACCUUUUUUUUUGGUAAAAGAAAAACAUACCUUCAAAUUAUCGAUACGAAAAGCAGGAUUAAGAAUGCUUCGAUGCUUGGACCAUUUAGGACCUUCGUGAUUGAGAAGACCACUGAGAAAAACAUGAUUAUGUGACCCAAUCUUUGGUUUCGGAAAGAGUUCGUGUUUUGACAUAAUCUCUCGUAGUGUCUCUGGAUCCAUUACUAUCACGUUCGGGUACGGUCCGUACCAUGUGAAACACUUCUUCCCUGUUUAAACAUAUACUAAUUAAUUAUUACCAUUUGUUACUUUAAAUAACCAAAUGAAACAAAACAAAGCACAUACAGUACAACAAUAAUCUAUAUAUAUAUAUAUAUAUAUCAGACAAAGUUGUUUUGUUAUGAUCCGCUAAGAGUGUUUUCAUUUUAUUUUUAUGCAUGUGAACUAGAUUUAGACGAAACCAGGAAAGCAAAGGAUAUCAGAUUUAGAUCUUAAUUAUGAAAAUGUGUAUCAUUCUAAUCUGUAUACACAAUUAACUCUUUUUUUUCUUCAUAUAAAUACUUUGAAAAUGAUUAAAAAGUCAUGAUGAAGAAGAUGACCUACUCCUAGUCAAAAUUAGAAAUAAUCGUUAUGAAUCUAACCCAAGAUUUAUCAAAUAUAUAACUGGCCGGUUCUUGUUAGAUUCACAUUUCUUUCAAGUAAUAACAUAAACCGCUAAUUAAAACAAUUGAUAAUUAAGUUUAGGUUGCUGGAAUCAUACCAUGUUUUAGAACAGUGUGGUGGAGAAAAGGCAUCAUGCGAGGGAGAAAAUCGGCGUCGAGAGGAAGAGGAAGAGAGUGAGCAACUUGAUCCAUCUGAUUACUCUCUCUCAUAUCUCCCAUCAAAAUCCUAUAAGAAUUCCCAGAAAAUCCUUGUUUCUUCAGAUAUUUCUCUAGUCUCUUUGGCCUUAACCAAACCCAAUUCACAGCUCUCCAUACCCAAUUCAGAAUCAAGAUCAAGAAUCCGAUCAAGAACACUUUUCUUACUAUAUUAAUCUCCAUCAUCUUGAUCUAUCUAUGAAGAAGGGAGGAGCUAGAAAGUAAAGGAAAAGAAAAAAAGGAGACAAAACUAUAAUGAUGAUGCUUAUAAUUUCAUCAGUUGACUAUAUAUGUUGGAGGCAGCUGUAUAUCUAUAUAUAUAUAUAUAUAUGCGUGAAUAGAAAAAAAAAAAAAAAUACUGUAGAAAAGAAAUGUGAUAAAACUAGUUUAUAGAGGGACUAUAGAGAGAGAGGAUAUAUAUGUAAUAAAUCGCUGUAUGUGCAACUGGCAAUGAAUUUAUAACAACAAGUUCUUAAUUUGGUGUAUAUUUCCAAAAAUUUAAUUUUGUCUUCCUUCCCUUACGCUACAUGCAUGUGGCUUUAUUGCAUGAGAGUAUUUAGAAGUAUAUAUCAUUUUUUAUAUACAUACAUAUAUCUACUAGUAUAUGAUGAUGAUUGAUGAUGCUUCCAUAAUUAAUUACUUUCUUACGCAUUUUUUGUUUGCGUCUUCGUAUCGUAGUUAUCUAUAAAAAGGUAGAGAAAGGGGAGUUCGUCGUCUCACCUUAAUUUAAAAAAAUUCAAUAAAUGUGUUUCUAUUUAAUAAUUGACAUAUAACUCUCGAAAUCAACCUUAACAUUUACGUAACUAAGACAAUAAUCACACGAUUAAAUUAAGUUUAAAUUGGAGACAAUAAAUAUGGAACCAGGUGGCGUUGUUCUUUGGAGACGAUGAAUAGCAAUGUCAACUCUCUUACAAAACGCAUGUGAUAUAUAAUAUAAUAAUAAUGCGAAAGAUAAUGUUCGUCCAACCAUAUCAAUUAAUUUUAAGUUUAAUAAAUAUAUAAAUGCAAUUACGCGUAGAGACUAGGGUCAUUAGGCAUUUACUAAAGUUUCCACCUAGGACAAAAUAGACCUAACGGCUACGGGCGUUGUUGGUUAAUUAUUAUAAUUGGUAUAACGUAAGCUUAUUUGAUUAGCUAGUAAUUAAAUUCUUNNNNNNNNNNNNNNNNNNNNNNNNNNNNNNNNNNNNNNNNNNNNNNNNNNNNNNNNNNNNNNNNNNNNNNNNNNNNNNNNNNNNNNNNNNNNNNNNNNNNUACCAUUCCUCCAAGUAUCACACAUGAGAAGUUGUUCAGUGUCUGCAAUACACAGAUCCAACCACUCAAACUACAGAAACAGCUUGAAAAUCAUUCAUUGAAUGUAAGUUUGAGAAAAUCGUACCUUGGAAGAGAUAUUGCCUUGAGUAUCCUACAUUGUACACAAAAAAAAGUAUUGAGUAAAGAAGAUAGACAAUAGAGAUGCUAAUAUACAAGUAUAUAACAUACCGAUAGAUUCAUCCGGCUAUCCCUAUCAUCUUUCAUUAGCUGGUUUGCAGCACCAACCUGCGGUGAUAACACAAAGUCUAGUGGUUGGAAAACAUAUGACAAAGCUGACCAUUUGCUGAGCAAACUACUUACUUGUUUGAGGAACUCAAAACCCACAAAUUCUACUCUCCCUGUCACACUCGACACAUUCUGCCUUACAGCUUCCAAGGUUGGUAUUUCAUAGUAUCUUGGAAGAACACCAAGCAAGUAACCAACAAGAAAAUGCCCAGAUUCAUGCUGCAUACGUUGCAAACAAGUUACGUUUGCCACAAAAAGUCCUAUUUGAUUGAUAUGUUCUUAUUACCAGACAACAUUUAUGAUUAAUUUCUUCAAUCAUCACUUUGCAACAAUGUUAAGUUUAAGUUAACAAGUACAAGAAUUCUCACCUGAACAACAGCGAACCAAUCUUCUUCAGGUGAAGUUUUAGUUUCCUCCUCUUUGGAAAUUCUCACUGAAUCCUACAAAUUAGUAAAAAAAAUCACAGUUUUUGCUUUGAAGGUAUAUGAAACUACAUGAGUCCAAAAUUGAAAGUACCUCUUCGACAUAAACAGAUUCAAUGCUUCUAGAGACCGAAUCAAUCAAUGACCAAAGAUCACUUUUGCUACUCAUGUCUAAUUUCUUCGGAAGCUAAUCACAGAAAGAAAAUAAGGAAAAAGACAUGAAUUAAAGAAAAUAAGCAUGAGAAAGAGAUAAGAGAGACCGACCAAUUUAGCAGAGCCAAAAGCAGAUAAGCAGCCAUGUUUGCUCUUGAGUUGCUUGACGAGAGAGAGAGCAGUUUCGUAAUUGCCUCUUGAGAGUUCUUUACUCACUCUCUCGAGUGAUCUCCGGCGGCGGUCCACCGGAGAUUUCGCUCCGAGUACCAUCACGCGGCUCGCUUGGAGAUAAGAAGAAGAGUUCAUAUUGGUUUGGUUUUUUGAAUUUAGGAAGAAUGAAACAUUGUGAUUCAACAAUUGGGGAUGUAGCUCAAAUGGUAGAGCGCUCGCUUUGCAUGCGAGAGGCACGGGGUUCGAUCCCCCGCAUCUCCAUAUAUAUUUUUUUUUAAACUCAAAAACAUACUUUAUUUCUUGCGAAUACUAAAAACCAUACAAAGGUUUCUCUCUUUCCAACAGUGACAUAAGCCAUGAUGGGGUACUACAAUCUAAAGAAGCAAAGUAAAGAGGGAAAGAACUUGUAGUCUUGGCAAUGAGGUCUGCACAUUCAUUUCCUCGCCUACCAAUAAACCGAAAAGAUGGUGUAAGUUGUCCUCUCCGCGGGCCUAAGAUCUCACUAGUGUAAGUCUUCAUUCUUAGCCAGGCAGAAGGCUGUUUUAUCGCUUGGAUGAGGGUUUGCGAAUCACUCUCAAAGAGAACUUCCACAAAGCCUAAGUUGUCUAGGCAUGACAUAGCCCAUAAAAGGGCAGCAGCCUCUGCGUCUAGGGGUGAGCAUAAUCUGGGACAAGAUUUAGCACCAUACCAUCUUAAAUUACCGUGACUAUCACGCAGAAUCCAGCCAACUCCACAUGUCUCUGAGUCCUUAGACCAAGCUGCAUCAAUGUUACAUUUAAGAGUACCUGGAGGAGGGGGUAUCCAAUGUGUAUAGACUGGAUCAGUGACCAACGCUCUUCGGGUAGGAUUAACAGGCUGAGUUGAUUCUUCAAUAGUAGCCCCAAACCAUUCUAUUGCUUCUUCAGCUGCUUUUUCAACCAUAUACCGAAUAUCCAGCAUAGAAUCUGAGAAGCAGAGGUCAUUUCGUGCCUUCCAAAUCCUCCAUAAAAGCCAUGGCCACAUACUGGUUUGUUCAUGCUCGGAAGUGGCAUGCUUUCCAGAAGUUAAUAAGCAAGAUGCCAUAUUGGCAUAAACAGAUUCGGAUGGCUCCGGUCUGAGUAAGCUUGCAGCAGGAGAGAUUUCCCAAGCUAGCCUAGCAAAAGGGCAUUGAAACAGAACAUGGUUAACUGUUUCUCUCUUUUCUCCGCAUCUUGGGCAAUCUGGAAAUUUGGUGAGUCUUUUAUUUGCCAUGUUUGCUGCUACAGCUAGACUGUUGGAUAUGGAUCUCCACAGGAAAUUCUGAAUCUUUGGCGAGGUUUGGACCUGCCAUAUGGCUUUAAAUAAAGGGUUUAAAUUAGGAUUCUCCACCUCCCUUGCUUUCCCGAUUGUCUUGAUCUUGUUCAGCCAUACCCAAUAGCCUGAUUUUACCGUGUACAUGCCAUCUUUAGUAUAAAUCCAAGAGAAAGUGUCUUCAGCCGUUGACUUCCCUGGUCGUAAUUGAGUGAUUAAGUGCACAUCUUCCACCAAAAAAUAGUCGCGAAGGACUAAGACUCUCCAUUCAUCUGAUCCAUCCUCUUUUAGAAGAGAGAAUGAGAUGUUUUGAGGGUCCAUACCGUCUUUAAGUCGUGGUGGUCUCGGGACGAUGUCUGGAAGCCAAGGAUCUCUGAAGAUGUUAAUAUUCUCUCCAUUACCCAAUUCUAGUCUCAGCCCUUCCUUCAUUAGAGCUUGAGCUUCAUGGAUACUUCUCCAAGCAAAGGAUGGGCGGGUUCCUAGUUUGGCUUCUAAUGGGGUUGACUUGGGGAAAUAUCUUCCUUUAAAUACUCUUGCCAUCAGAGAUUGUGGAAAGACUGACAUUCUCCAUAAUUGCUUUCCUAAAAGGGCUAGGUUAAAACCUUCCAAGUCUCUAAAACCUCUGCUCCCCCCUGAUUUAGGUACACUCAAUUUUUCCCAAGAUUUCCAGUGAAUUCCUCUGCCAGUUCCCUGAUUCUUCCACCAGCACUUUGCUAGAAGGGAAGUAAUUUUCUCACAAAGAGUUUUUGGAAGCAAGAAGCAAGACAUUGAGUAAGUAGGCAGAGCCAUAGCUACUGCUUUAAUCAUUACCUCUUUACCUCCUUGUGAAAGAAAUUUAGCACUCCAUGAGUUGAUCUUUUUGGCCACUCUCUCUUCCAGAAAGCGAAGUGUGGAUACUUUUGAUCCUAUGAACGUCUCUGGUAAACCCAAGUAUAUCCCUUCACCUCCUUCAUUGCUUAUACCAGUGACUAAUCUGAUCAGUUCUCUUCUAUCUUGGUCCACUUUCUUUCCGAAAGUAAUACUUGAUUUAUCCAACUUCACUUUUUGACCAGAUGCCAAAUGAUAAUCCUCAAGAAUCUGUUUAACCUUUUCCACCUCUUCCUUAGUUGCUUGGUAGAAAAAGAGACUGUCGUCCGCAAAUAGAAGAUGAGAUAUGGCUGGGGAAGCUUCUGCCACCUUUACUCCUGUAAUCUGUUGUUCAGUUUUAGCUCGCCUAAAACAAUUAGCCAAGACCUCAGCACAUAGGAUAAAGAUGAAAGGUGAAAGAGGGUCUCCCUGCCUCAGUCCUCUUGAUGGGGUGAUCUUACCAAAAGGCUUUCCAUUUACUAGGAUUCCAUAAGAAGCCGAGGUAAUGCAGGUCAUAACUCUUGAAAUCCAAGCCUCAUCAAAACCAAGAUGCCUUAGCGUAGCUUCCACGAAAGGCCAUUCAAGUCGAUCAAAAGCUUUCAUCAUAUCAGUCUUCAUGGCUAAAAAAUUCGAGGAGACAGAAUCCUUUACUCUUAAGGAAUGAAGAAUUUCAUGAGCUACAAGAAUGUUGUCUGAGAUAAGUCGUCCUUUGAUGAAAGCUGCUUGGUUCUCGGAGAUGAUAUCAGGUACAAUCUUCUUCAAACGUUCUGUCAAGAGCUUGGAAAUAAUAUUGUAAGCAAAAUUGCAUAGACUGAUAGGCCUGAAUUCACUUAAUUUAGUAGGAUGAUGACUUUUAGGUAUCAAACAGACGUUGGUCUCGGUUAAUCUACUAUCAAAGACACCCUCAGCCAUAAACUUUUUAACUAAGCAAAUCACCUCUGUCUUCACCGUUGUCCAGAAGUCUUGGUAGAAAGCAUCCGAGAGGCCAUCCGGGCCUUGACAUUUGUCUGGUCCCAAACUGAAGACUAUCCUUCUGAUUUCUUCAUCAUCCACAGGUCUCAUUAAAGCAGCGUUCUGAGCAUCACUCACUUUCCUGGUAAAAUUCCUGAAUAUAGAGGAUUCUCUGCUGCUGGCUGAGUCCCUGAGCUCUGAUGUAAAAAGCUUGGUGAAAUGUCUGACCGCCAUAUCACCCAUUUGCUCCUCGUCAUAUGUCUCUUUUCCUGUUUCUUCGUCCGUGAGAAAGUGGAUAUGGUUAUUAGCUCUUCUUUGCUUCACACAAGCAUGAAAAUACUUUGAGUUUUUUUCUCUUUUUUGCAUCCAGGUAAUUCUGCUUUUUUGUCCCGCAUCUCCAUAUUUUGGGAAUUUUUUUUUUUUUUUGUCAUCUGGUAGAAAUUAUUAACGAUCCGAAAAACCAAAAUACAAAGUUGGCGACUAACAACAUAAUCCCGUAAACUAAGCCGACGGAAAACAAACAUAUUCUCGAAAACUAAGCCGGCGGUUAACAACACAACCCCGAAAACUAUGUCCAAAGACAUGAAAAACUUUUUAACUAACACGAAAAUGCAAAGCAAACCAAAACAAACAAAGGCAACAAAGACAAAAAAAAACUGAAACACGGGACAUCAAACAAAGAAAAAUCGGAAUCUAACCACACCACAACUUCAACCGCAAAGCCUAAAGAGAGGAGAGCCUUCCACUAAUGUCACCAGACCGGCCCGCCACACGUAUCCAAGACACUUGGGUAUUGGGCCUCCAAAAUUUUUAAGAUUUUUAGUAACAAUACUAGAUUGUUACCCGUGGUACACCGCGGGUUGAAUAUUUUUAUUAUUUGUUAUUUAAUAAUACAAUAAUAAUUGGUUUUAUUUUAUUUUGAUUUUUUUUUUGUGGUUAUAUAUAUAUUUAUAUAUUAUAGUUGGGAUUGUGUUAUAAGUUAUCGAUAUUAUUUGUGUAUAACAUGUUUUAAUCGAGUCAUAUGUGUUACAUAAAAAUUAUUUCCUUUUAUAUUAAUCGUCUAAUUGAUACUACAUAAUUAGUUAUUUUUUAAAAGUUUGGUAAUGUGUAAACAUACAGCUUGUUUCUAUGGUAAGAUUAAUUUUCAUAUAUGUGCAUUUGGCUUUUAUAUGUUAAAUGUCAAUCUGUUUGCAUUGGUAAUAUAAUUCUCAGAUUUUAGAUAUCUUGUAUUAUAUGAUUUAUUUAGAUGUGAAGGAUUAAAAUAAUUUUAAUCAAUAUAAAUUGCACGAUAGUUUGAUUUUAUUAAGGAAAAAUUAAUUUUUGAUCAUGUAAAUAUGGCUGUGAAUAGUUUUUUUCAUAUGCAAAAACUUAUUGUUUGAGAUAAUAAUAUGUUUUAAUUAAUUAGUUUGCAUGAUAUAUAUUGAACUUAAUAACAUAAUUAACAUGUUAAUACAAAAUCAGGUAACCUCUCAUACAUGUUGGGCUGUAGACAACAAAGUCCUUUAAUGUUACUGGGCAAAAAAAAAAAAAAUGCAAAAGAACCGGUCAGAUUAGUUGAUCUGAUCCGGUAACGUACCGACCGGUUAACACAAAGCUCGCGAAGACGGGUCAUUUUCAAUUCCGCGAAACACAAUCAACCUAACUUCUUCUUCUCCAUUUUCUUCAUCUUCUUCACCAUUUUCUUCAUCUUCUUCUUUAAUCUCGUCUUCUUCGGCUCAAAACCUAAACCAAACAAAACCUUAACACCACUUCUUCUCUCGAUCAAUCAAUCAGCGAUUAUUCACCUUUAAUCGACCAUGGAUCUUUCCUUAAUCGUCGAUCCCAAUUAACAUGGCUUCGAACGGCGCUUCUCCGGUAUCUUUCUCCCUCGAUAUCUUUCUGCAACAAUUUAGUGUCUUUAUUUUGGCUCCUUUUCUAAUUGACAGUCUUAAACUGACCCAUUUUGUCAAUUUCGGAAAAUUCGUAGAGGAUUGUUGAUGCUACUGAUAACAGCUUGGAUAAGAUCAAGCAGCAAUUGGAAUCGAGGGUUAUCGGAACUUGCUUCUGGGACCUCUUAUUCAAGCGAGCUGAAACUGUAAGUUCAAUUCUUAUUCUGACAAUAGUAUAUUCAAUUGUUUGUAACUCAAAUGAUUUUCACUGUUCUGAGCACAGCUAAACUUUGAAUGACAUAGCAACUGUACUGAUUAGCUAAUCGAUUAAUGUGUGUUUGUCUAGGAAUUAACAUAGAAUCCGACUAAUUGAAAGUUAGAAACUCCUCAACUUAGCAUAAGCAGAUCAAAAAAUGAAGAGAAGGUAAGAGUACAGUUAGUGAUUUUGGGCGGCAUAAAGGACUUUAUGAUGAUUAUUUUGAAGUAUCUAACCCUUGCUGUAUAUUGAAUAGGAAGCUUCUACCAUCAGAAGACAUCAGGACAAAAAUCUGAAACCAAGGAGAAUCAAAUCUACAUCCGCAUCUAUGCAAGGUUAGUUUACACUUUCUUCUCACUGAAAUGUAAUUUAUAAACAUCUACAACAUUUUCAUUAAUGUUAAGCUAAGAUAAAUUGAGUGAAAAUGAGAAAACUAAAUGAUUGUGCAUCUGCUUGAUUGAUUGUACUUUAUUCAAUACAUAAAAAGAAAGACAUAACCAAAUAUGACGAAAGUAAGAGUGUUUAAAGAAGUCAAAUAUAGUUAGCACAAUAACUGGAAUUGAAAGGCGAUUGAUUGGUUGUUACUUUCUUUUGAACCAUGAGACAUUGAAUCUGUGAAAAGGUAAGUAGAUUGUUAGUCAAAUAUAUGAUUGAUUGACUGGGGGUUUUGCUUACCAUAAAGCAAUUAUAUUAUAAAAUAAAAUGGUAAACUAAACAUACCUUCUUUGAUAAGAUUGUUUGACAAAUAAUGCAAGAAGCAUUAUGAGUCAAUAUUCUGAAAAACUUCUUUGAAAACAACAUUAGUUGUUUGCUUUUGAAUCUUCCCUUCUUUGUCUAGAAUCAGAAUUUUCAAACCUGUCUUUGAGGUAACCCUAGAUAAAGCAACAUAUAGUUGCCCAUGAGAAAACACUGGCUUAGGCAGAUAGAGUCCAACCCUCUCUAGUGAUUGUCGCUGACUCUUGUUGAUAGUCAUAGCAAAUGCUAGUGAUACUGGGAACUGUCUUCUACGCAUCCGAAAAGGUAGCUUUGUAUCGGAUGGUGUAAUAUUGAUUAAUGAAAUCAAAACAAUAUCACGAAUUCUGUCUCCGGUUAUAACUCUUGCUUGAAGAACACGUGGGGUCAUCUGAGUUACCUGAAGCCGAGUACCGUUGCAUAGACCACCUUUAGGAUCAAUAUUCCUGAGUAACAUUAUUGGAGCACCAAUCUUCAGACGCAAAGCAUGGUGUGGCAAACCUGGUAGCCUGAUACUGUUUAAGAAAUCUGGUGUGAUAACAGGAUUUUUAAGUGAAUCGGAAUCUUCAGGAUCAAUACUAUCAGCACUGUAAAAAACUUGCUCAUCACCUGUUGAAAAAAUAAAAAAAAAACCUUUUAGCUGUAAGAAAGACUUGAAGGAAAUAAUUUCACAAAGCUAGUAAGCUAUGACUCACCCUCCAACUUGUCUAACAUAUAUUGGUUGAUUGUGUGUACAUCAUCAUUGGUUGGCGCCAGAAUUGCUCUCUUUUGAAAAAAUACUGGAUCUUCAGUACCUUUUAACAUAGCUGGAUCUCCAUAUAUCUCACGAGUAAUGGAUUCAAUUGGAUCUUUUGCUUCGGUAAUCAGAAGUUCUUCAGGUAUAUCAAUUAGAGCCUCACCAUCAUUAGGUUCCGCAAUUCUACCAUCACCAACAGCUAGAAGCCAAUCACUGAAUUCUUUGAUGUCUUUUGCUUCUUCUACACUCAAAUCCUUCUUAAGUAGCCUCAUGUUCUUAGUAAGCUUUAGAACCUUACAGUGAUCCCAAAGAUAAGACGCAUUAAGAGCUGCCAUCACAAUCUCAGCCCUGCCUGCACCAGCGAUAACAGGUAGAACUUGUCUAAAAUCACCUCCAAAGACAACAACCUUUCCACCAAAUACUUUGCUAUUUUUAUUACCAAUGAUAUCACAAAAACUCUUAUCUAGAGAUUCAAAACACCACUUGCUCAUCAUAGGUGCCUCAUCCCAUAUAAUAAGAGAAGCUUUCUUUAUCAGAUCAGCAAGAUCAGACUUUGGCUUUAUCCUGCACACUGAACUGCUAUCAGGUGUAAGAGGUAUGGCAAACCUUGAAUGAGCAGUCCUUCCACCUUCCAACAACAAAGAAGCGAUACCACUUGAAGCCACGUUUAGAACUAUAUCUCCUUUAGAUCUAAUAGCAGCUGAAAGUGUUUUCCAAAUAAAAGUUUUUCCUGUACCUCCAAAUCCAUACACAAAAAACACUCCACCUAGAUCAUUGAAUACUGCAGUGGUAAUCUCAUCAUAAACACCUCUCUGCUCCGGUGUCAUAAUAUCUAUCCACUCAGCAUGCUUUUCAGCCAAUGAUGUACGGUCAUACCUCAUUUCAUCAACAAUCAAACGGUUAGAAUUAUCUAUACCUUCUCUAGUUGGCUUAGGAAAGUUUUGUAUAUCUUCAAGAGUACCUCCAUUAGACAACAUCAUUUUUUCUAGUUCUUGAAGAGUGUAGUUCCUAAUUUCUGCCUCUGUCAGAUUCAAAUCUGCAUAUAAAAUAAAUGGCAAUGUCAAGAAAAAAAUAGAAUCAUUGCUUAUUUAACUGAGAAAAUGUAUAUGAUAUAACUUAAGCAAUUUCAUUAUUUAUCUCACCUUGAUUGUCAAACUCAUUUCUCUUCUUCUGUUGAAUAUCUUCUGCUAACAAAUGCCACGUCUGUUCCCAAACAUAUUCUGGCCUAGAUAGGGAAUCAGAUAGUAGCAACAUAGCGAAGAAAUUCCUCAAAAAAUCACCAAAACAGAAUUGACUCGCAUCAAACAGACUGUCAAUGAACACCUGGUCAUCAUCUAGAAUUCCUCGUGCAAAACAUGCUUCUUUGUAAGUUGGAUAGACAACACCAUUAUAUGUUUUAAUGUCAUCAAAACAUGUAGGACCUCUGACGAUGUUAAGAAGGACUCGUAGAAAAUAUUCAUCUUCUAGCUUCCUGGGAACAUAAUUAAUCCGACCUAAGGACCAUCCUCUAGACCUCUUAUUCCACAGCUUAUUAGUUCCAUCCCAUGUAAAAUAUGCAGGUAUCUCUGCAUAUAGGAGUUCUCGAGCACGCUUUCCAUUUUUUCCAAUUCCAUCAUUCCUAUUCAAUGUUAGCCAUGCCAUGAAUUGAGAAUCUCGAUUGAGAAUUCUGUCCAAAACAUCUGAUAUCACCUCUUUUCCUUUAAAAUAAGCUGGUUGCUUUCCUUCUACAUGAAAAGAUAGCUUCAGAACAGGUGUUGAUUUAUGCUGUAUCGGAAACUUAAAAAUUCUCCAAAUUGCUUCAGAUGCUGACACAUAUCUACAAUUUUGAAUAAUAAACAAAUCCAUUUCAGGAUCCAGACUGACCAAUCACAGAAAUAAACUGAGAAAGAGCAAAAUUAGGAUACAAUACCUGCAAUCAAAAUAAUCUUUUAUUUCAUUCUUCUUUUUCUCCUCUGGUAAUGGUUCUGAUCCAUUAGCUGUUUGAUCUACGUGUGAGCCAUUAUCUGUUGGUGGUGGCUUGACAGGCUCCACAACAAAUGCUAACUUAUCUGGGCCUUUAUUUAUAUACUUGAAUAAGUAUUUAAUAGACCCAGUUUGAUUACACCAUUCAACGUUAAUGUGAGCACCAUACCUAACUGAUAGUUUUUUAUUGUAUGGAACGACAUACCUAUUAUCACAUUUAAUUCCACAUUUCUCAACAUAGUGGUCAGAGCGCCUUCUUCUAUAGAUAGGAAAACCAUCAGCGCCUACCCUGGUGAUAUCCUCAAAUUUUUUAGGAUACGAUUUAGAACACUGGCCAUCCACCAUACAUGGAGAACUCAUAUUUGCUGCACCACAUGGGCCAUGAAUCAUUGAAUUACUAACAACUUCAUAAAGCUCUGGUUCUGUUUCUUUAUCUGGAAUCUCAGCAGAUAUCAUCCUGUCAAUAUCGCUUGCUGUUGGAAGUUUGCUUUUAGCAUCCAUGAAUAAAAGAAUGUGAGCAUGUGGAAGGCCUUUUUUCUGGAAUUCUACAGUAUACAUAGCUGCAUAACAUAGAAUAUAGUGUGAAAAUAUUGAAAUAGUCUCAGUUUAUUGUCACAGAAUUGGAAGUAGUCAGACAACUUACAUGCGACAGUCUUUCCAAGCAUCUUCUUUUCUGUUAGAUCGUUCAUCAGAGAAUCCAACUUGAUUUUGAAUAUCCUAGCAACAAUGUCUGGCCUAUCCUCAGCAGUUAACCCUCUUGCUGUGACAUAUCUUGUUAUCUCAGGCCACUUAGGGUUACAUGUAAACGUGAUGAAUAAAUCCGGGAAACCAUAAUGUUUACAUAUGGCCAUAGCAUCAUAAUAACUCUGAACCAUAUACCUUGGACCACCAGUAAAAGAUGCUGGAAUCAAAAUCUGAUUUCCUUCUUCUUCCAUAUUUGUUACACCAGAGUCAGCAGCUUCUUUUAGUGAGUUUGCAUUCUCACAUCUAAGCUUAGACUGAUUGAACCUUAUGUAGGAUAGACGAUUUGAUUCAAUAGUGGUGUAAGCGUCACAAAGAAACUGCUGAAACAACCUCUUCGACAGUAGAAGAGUAUGGCACUCACCUGGCCUCUCCUGAAUACGGAAUGCAAACCACUGACGCAUACUAAUACACUUUUUCUUCUUCUGGUUAUUACCCUUAUAACAUUUCUCUAUACCUGGGGUGUAACCAUCUUCACCAUAGCAGAAAAUCAGAGGAUACUGAAGAGCCAGAUAAGAAAUAUGAAUCUGGCUAAUCCUGGUUAGGUGGCCUGUAGUCCUUUCUUGAAGAACUAUAUCACGGUUUGGCAUACCUUCUGUAAAGUCUCCUGGGAUUAACGCUGCAACCUCCGAAGUCGUAGGCAUGCUGUAAGUCCUUCCAUCAGCACCUUUACGACCAGAGCAUAUCCUCAUAUGAAAUGGUUGGGGAUUAACUACCCCAAAUCUUUCCUUGGCAAUUCUAAAAUUCUUGACAUAAGGAUUAACUUCAUUGAGCAUUUUCAUAAUGGCUUCAAUUGUCUCUUUGUUCAGUAUAUCCUUGCUUCCUCUUCUAGAUGAUUCUUUCCCCUUGCUACAUUAAAAAAAAAAAAGAUGCCCAUGAUUGAGUAUACCACAACAUAGAAAUACAUAAGAAUUGAAUAAGCCUGUUAAGUAGAAAUAAUACUAACCCAAUAACAGUUGCUUUGUUAUCUACUUCAUUCUCAGUAUCUACGAUAUAGAGUUGUGAAUACUUCGCAUAAUCACCUUCUGCAGGUUUCAAACUGCCUAUCAAAUGAUAGUUACCUCCUUGUAAACGAAACAUGCUUGGACCUUUACCCUUAGGUAUAGACUUAUCUACUUUCCCACCUAGUGAGGUCAUUGCGAAAACCAUAUUCCAUAUUCUCAAGUGCUUUCUGUAAUUCCUACUUUGAGGAUCUUUCCCAGUCAGAAGUUUCUUGAUCAAUUCUGGUGACUCUUUAAGAAAAGGCAGCUUAACAGAACCUUGACCACAACAUAGUGUAAAUGUAGGAUCUGUCGUUUAACUUUUUUGUUUAUUCUUUCAGCAUGCCACAUCAAUGCACCACAAUACUUACACGAGUAAGUAGAGUCACCAUGAUCAAGAUAAGCUGAAAAACAUAAAUAUGUUUCUCAUAAGUUUCAUAUUCAGAAUUACCAAAAAUAAAAAAAAAGUACUGGGAAGGGCAAGAAAAUUACUUAUUGGUGUGUUUUUCUUUUUUGAUUUUCUUUUCUUUUUUCUUUUCGGAGGCACAUUUCCUUCAUGUGUUUCUUGCUGAACAGACUCAAUAGAUGAUCUUGCCAAAUCAUUGAUAUGAGAUGAGACUUCAGUUAUGUGUGACAUCAUUUCAAUCUGUUCCUCGUCAGAAACUGACAUUUCAUUGUUAUCUACUACUUCAUCUUCACCUUCACUGCAACUAAGAUCAUAGCUUUGAGCUAGUGUCUCAUCUUCACUGACAUUACCAAACUCAGGAUCAUCAUACAUUUCAUCAUCUUGGCUAUAAUCACUAUCUUCAAUAUCUAUUACUUGAGUUGUAUUCUGACCUUGAGAAUACAAAACAGGAAAAUAGGUUAAGACAUGCCUCUUAAUUACAUUUUGUUUCCAAGCGAAAAACAAUACAGUAAAGACUGUUACCUUUAGAUGAAGAAGAGGUUUCUGCAUUUGUAAAAUCAAUAUCUAAGUUUUUCCUUGGCAAAUUUAUUGUAUGAGAAACAAAGCUUGAUGUCUGGAGGUUGGUUAUACAUGAUGGAUUUCCAGUGUAUUGAACACCUACAACAGAUAUUAAACUUAUUACUUAUACAAUAUACUUCUCUAUUUAAAACAUUAUCAUACCAUAAUUGUUGCAAAAAUUAUUCAUAUGUGGAACUUAAUUAAUCUAACCACCUAUUCUCUUUGGUGUUACAGAAGGUGGAGGCAUUAUUGGAGUUGUAGGUGUUCUGCUAAAAAGACUCUGGCUUGUAUUAGUCAUGGCGCUUAAUCCAUAUGGAGUUAACAAUGGGUUAGGUCUGGUGUAAGGAGAGCAAGGUACCAGAAUUUUUCCACGAAGUGAACCUGUUUUAAAACUCAUCAAGAUUUAGAGAUAAAGGUAUUUUCUAUUUAUCUUUGAUGAGAAUGAAAACAAAAUAAUUGUAAAUGAAAACUUGUCUAUAGAAACUAACCUUGAUUCUUACUGUUCUGUUUUGCAGAUGAAGAUGUAUUAGCAUCUGCAGAGUUCUCAAUGGGGCUAACUUGUGGGUCUGGAAGGUUAGUAAUAUCUCCAAAAGCACUACCAAACGCUGUACUAAGAGGGACAGAACCAUUCCUGAUUAUAGGUAGAUUAAACUGAGAAAUGUUCCUUAGUCUAGUGUAAGGCUCAUUUCCUCGAUUACGUUUUGGUGGAUUAGACUCAGGAACAUUAUUUUCUGUUGGAGAUAGAGGUUUUUUUUUCAUAUUUUAGUCUAAGAAUGUCUAUAGAUGAUUAGACUACUUGGUAACUAUAUAAAGGAGAUUAAGGUCUAAAUAGAAAGCAUUUUGAUAUCUGUAGAUUGACUAUUAUUGUUAAAUGAUUGUCUGUUGCCAAAGAUAUAGGAACUAAGAUAUGUUAUUUUCUAUAAGUAAUGAAUGAGAACCUUUAGAUAAUAUGCGGAAUAUACCAAACUAUAAGAUUGAUUCCGUGAUUGUAGUGAUUAUUGUUGUAAUUAUAAGAUUACUAACUAUAUUUUUUGUUUCAGGAAAGAGAGCAAUGAAAUAUUCUUGCUAUUCACAAUCAAUAGCACAUAAGGAAGAUGGACUAUUUAAAUAAGGUAAACUGAACAAAACUGAUAGUUUAGCAAAUAUCUCAAAACUUGUUAAUUUAUCUAAUGAAAUUAUUACUUUGAUACAGUAAUUAUAUAUUUUAUUGAUCAUAUACUAAAACUUACUAUAAAACAAAUAACCAUUAGAGUAGAUUAAUUAGAUAAACAUUAAAUUCAAAUAAAGGAUAAAGCAGUUGAUAGUCAAAAGAAACUUAAAACAAACUUGUCUUCAGAAACAUAAAACAAUAGAGAACCGAGAAAGUAUUUUUGUAAUAAUAAAACAACUGCAGCCACUGGUAGAACCAAACUUAGCUUCCCAUCAUCACGCUUCCAACUUCAUUCCAACAUCCUGAACAUCAUCUUGUUGUUCUGCAAAGCCACGACUGUUUCAAAAAAGAGAAACAUUACUUAAUCCAAUCAGUAAUCAUAGCAUUUGAUUACUUAUUUAACUUCUGAUAGGUAACUACUUACAUGUAUCUCGGAAUGUCCAAAUCAGGAAAGGUUGGAUCAAGGAAAAGCCUUGAACAACCAUACUCACUCAUCAAACAGUUUUGACCUAUUAAAACAUGUUGAUAGUUACCAGUUAGAGUUAUUGUCUAAUGUAUUUGACAGUUAUAUAUAGUUUAGAGGAAAAUAACUAACCUUCAAACUCAGCAACCCUCCAAAAACGCAGGACAAUGACAACUGGGUCAUAAUUGUAUGUCACAGAAGUUAUUUUCCUAAACCAUUUAGUCACAAACGCCUGACAGGACCUACCCUUUGCAACACAGAUUGUUUUCCUACCCCUACAUGAUCACAGAUUCAAUGCAUUAAAUACCACAUUGCCAAUACAGAUACUAAUUUGAGAUAUCUAUUAAAAUAAAACUUACAUGUCAUCCUUGAUUUCGACAACAACAAAUCUGGCUUCAUAGUCUGUCUCUCCUUGACGACAAACAAAUGGAAAUCUUUGAAUAGCAGAGACACUCGAGACCACACCAAUAGCAUCUGAAAACAAAUUACAAAUAUACUUAAUUAAAGUCAGAAUAAAGCAAAGUUUUACUAAUUUUCAAUCAAGAAAUAAAUAUACUUGAACCUGACACAUGUUGCUUAUCCUCUCAUCCAGCAUACUCAACUUCAUCAGAAUGAAUGAAGUUGAAGAAAUUUCCAUUACAUCUAGGAGACACAGGCCACAUAGUGGUAGGCCAUAUACACUCUAGUGCAAAACGAUUCCAGGAGUACUUAACAGGUUGAGUAGAUGGUACCACAUGGAAGUCAGCCAUGUAGUACCAGUGACCCUCCUUGAGACCUGGCCGGAAAUUGUAUAAGUAGUUUCCAGGAGGGAUAAAUGCAUCAAUCUGAUUGGCCUAGGCAUAUAAGAAGAACUAAAUAGUAAGUUUUCUCUGUGAAGAUUCAAACAAAUUAGUAAAUCUGUGACUUAAGAAACAGAGGUUCAAUAGAAGAAAUUUUCUAACCUUUUCAUCAGUCAGAAUCAUAAUCGUAGGUUCAUCAAUAGCGUCUAUACCUUGAUUCCAGAUAGAUAAAAUCUUCACGUACAAAGUCCAUCUAGGUCUUUGCAGGUUGAGAUCGGAAAUGUAGUCAAUAGUACCCAUUAGAAUCACAUAAAGUGUAAGUUUUUCUCAGUUUUUUUUUAUAGAGAAGGUUAGGUUUCUGAAUAAAUCUAAAGGUUAAGUCUGAGUAUUUAUAGAAUCGUGUAGAGAUGUGAAUGAAUAGAUUUAAUUUCCUAUAUAAAAUAGAUAUUAUAUAUUGUAAAUCAUUGAAACCGUUUGAGAUAAGUAAAGUUAGAUAUAAUAUAUCAAGGAAACUGAAUCGUUAGCCUGUAAAAGAUCUUUAUUCAUAAUUAUAGUAAUGAUUAUAUAAAACUGUGCUUUCCAUAUUACGAUUUCCAAGAUUUUCCAUCAUUGUUUAUAAUAGAGAUUUCGUGUAGCAAACAUAAGGAUGUUAUAGCGGUUCUACUUUAGGUUUUGAGGUCUAAUGAUUAGAUUAAACUUUUUAAAUUUGCUAUUUCAAUAACUGAGUAAGACAACGGUACAGUAGACAGAAAUUGAAACAGGUUUAUUAGAGGAGAUUAACCAAAAAAUCAAAAUGAAACAUCAAUUAAAAACCAAAGUAAAAAACCAACAAAUGUCUAACAAUGAAAUUUUAAAAAACUUGGAAUUAUGAUAACUCCUUAUUGCUUAGCAAACAGGUGCUAGAUCACUAUUUCUCUUUUUUGAUCUUCAUUCCAACUGCUUUAGCCACAUGCCUAGUCUCCUUCUUCUCAGUCACAGGAAGAUCACCACUGUCUUGAACACCCUUUCCUUUGUUGCUUUCAAUCUUGACAUUCUCUACCUUCACAAAUUCAGAGGUCUUGUCAGGAACUCCAUUUUGAGACAGACCAUUCUCCUCAAAUUCUAGCUCUGACUUCUGUAAGUCUUUAGGCUCGAUGCACACCUUCUUAGAACUGGAGGAUUGCUCUGACUCAGACAGAUUAGGAGCAUAAACACGCUUGGAAGAUGGAGUGGAUGAGUCAAACGUGUCUUGACUCAUUGUUAACAUGAGACACUGAAUAUAGAGAUUAUCAGUAGGAGAGAUAGUUGAUAUAAUUUUAAAGAGAUUAGAUAGUUAAAAAAUGUUACCUGAUCUCCAGAAACAAUUGAGGCAGGAUUAACCAAUUGUUCAGAUUCCUCAAGGACAUCUUCUUGCAAAAGUCCAUCUUUGUUUAGGAUUCUUGAAACCUUGAAAGAAUCCUUACCAUCCCAAAUGUUUUCUUUCUCAACACAUAGCAGAAAGAGAAAGGUCUUCCCAACCAAAUUCCUUAUUACGUCAGGCAAAUCAUUAGGGUCCUCAAUCUACAUAAGGAAUUUAGUACUUAUCAAUUGAAUGUUUCAUAUAUAUCAAUUACAUAUAUGGUUUAGCAUAAUAGAAUGUUACCUCAUUGAAUGAUCCACCUAGCAAUGAUGCAGCAGUUUCACCAACAAUUUCUGAGCAUAUACUGUCAAACAAAAGACAUUUUGUUUCACCAGUGUUAUCCAUCACCUUAACAUAUAGCAUGUACCUUCAAUAAGAGAAGUCAUAUUAGUAAUUAUUUCAAAGGAAAAACACAAACUUAUAAAUAUGCAUUAUUAUCAGAUUAAGAAAAGAAGACUCACUUUGCUACAACAUUAGUGACAGCAUUCCUGCAGACAUCACACCAAAACUUUGGCUUUUGUUUCUUCAUGGAAGCAGUAUUCACUCCAGAAUGAAUGUGAGUGACCUUUUUAUUACAGUUACGGCAACUAAAGUAAUACCAAGCACUUUCAAUAGGUUUUCUUUCUGCUUAAACCGGAUCCUAAACCGUAUUUUCUGGUUUUGCAUAACACCGAUCGUUAUUGGUUUAUGAACAAAUGAAAUGAUGGCCAACCUGAAAAUGCCACGUCAUCUAAACCACGCUAGUAAAAGCACAAAAGCAGAGCAUAUUCGGCACAUAAGUGUGAUUGUAAAUAGUCAUCAACACGAGACAUAAUCUAGUAAGCCAAAUUCAAAUAUUUGAUUUUGAAAUUUUUCUUGUCCAUACCGUUGUACAUAUCUCUAUCGGGAGAUCAAUGAAAUCGAUCCAAACAGAAUCGAGAUCGAUAGAGAUUACGAACCAAAAUCGAAAUAUGAUUAUGGAAAUAUGGUGGAUUUGCAUAUCCGAGUUUAGGCUAUUUAACAUUAUCUCUAAAUAUAUUAUUUAUAUUUAAGUUUAUUUUAAUUUAAAAAACUUAAAUUUAUUUCAAGUCUAUAUAAGUACCUUGUAUAUUUUAUUCUUGUGAGGGUCUACUAUGAUUCUUUGGGAGCUAAAUCACGUGGAACUCGAACGUUCUCCAAAUCCCACCAUCACAACCAUCAAAGUCAAAAUCAAUUAGUCCCACAUUGGCUUUUAAACUUUACUUUGAAUUAAUAUCAAAGACUUUGCCCGGGUGGCAAAAAAUUUGGGUAAAAGUUUUGACUUCCAAAAAUAAUUUGUUACAUAAAAUAGUGAACAAUUAUUACAAAAUGUAGUUGUAUCUUUCAAGGUUUUAUCAAUAACAUUCAGAUGACAACAAAAAAUACAGAUAUCUCAUAAUUCCAAAUGUUACGCAUAUAGGUGUUUAUACAUGCACCCAUGGACAUAUAUUUAGACCGGUUCGGUCCUUUUAAGGUCUAGGACGACUGGUCAAAUCCAUCACCACUUUUGUAUAUCUUAAACCAUAUAUAGCUAUAAACAAAAAUCAGCUAAACCCUACCAACAAAAUUCUAUUGUAAAUUGAUUUAUAUAAGACUUGUUUGUAUGUACAAUGUAGUCUUUAAUGAUCUAACAUUGUAACUAUGAGAUAGAGUUUUAUGUUGUGGUCUCCUCUCUUGCAAGUUAAACUACUAAUCAAAAGCACAAUGUAGAUAAAUGUCCACCAUAAAUCGUUAAUUACAUAGAAAAUUGCGCGUUCAAAAAUCGUCUGAAAAACUGGUUUCUUUUCUUGUAACAUAUGGGAUAUAGUAUUUUCAGGUCUUACCGUUUUUAAAUGAUUAAUUCUUUGUAUCUAAAAUUUGAGAAAGAAAUUAAGUCUGCAAAACGUUACGUUUUAGAGUGUCUGAAAAUUGGAGAUUAUGAUUACAACAUGUUGUCGCCUUAUGCACAACAAAAGCAAAGUAUUUGACUCUUACAGAGAGCAUGCAUCAAGGAUGAAAAGAUUGCUAAAAGAAGUGGUUUUGUGCAAUAAAAAUAUGAAGUGAACUGCGACAGUCUGAGAGCUAUAUACAUUAUUGUCUAAAAAUAUGAAACGAAAUGUGAGGCACUAACUAUUCAAUUACUAUUGACAUUAAUUCCUAUAAAUAAAAACUUGUAAAUUAGAGAUCAAGAUAAUUCGGCAAGUACUUCAUAAUUUUACUUUGUAGUUUGUAACGUGAGAAGGUUUCUGUAUUUUCUGCUAUUGAUUUACAUGCUAUUGAUCUUUAUAGUAAAACAGACUAAAACAUUAGAAAACAUUAUAAAUUUAAGUACUUUGCUAUGUUUUCUUUUUAUCAAGUUCCAAGAUACUUCCCACACCGGCUGGAAAUGAACUUUUAGAAUCCUUCUCCCAUAAAUAAAUUCCUUGCGAAACACGUCGUUUGAUUACCGAGGUUCAAUGGCCGAGUAGGUUACUUCGGCCACAGUCCAAGAUUCUUCGUUUAGCUUCUUUCGUGACGAGGAACCAGUCUCAAGAUGACUUCUACGGACUAAAUAACCAGGCGGUCCAGGCGGAUCGAUCUCCAUUGUGUCGCUUGCGAACAUGACAGACACUAAUAACAUCGUGGGUCUAUCCUCUGCACGUUCUUGAACACACAAGAGACCAAUCUGUAUGCAUCUUUUAACUUGGUGUGGUUGAAAUGUUGAUGAAUCAAGGAUAACUUGAUCUAUGCUGUCGAGCCCUUUUCCUUCCUUCCAAUUCCUCCAUAUCUGUUCACCAUAAAAAAAGCUUUAAGCGUUUAUCAAUCACAACAAAGAAAAAGAAGACGAAAAUGCUUUGGAUGAUUAUUAAACUUACAUAUGUAAGAAGACUUUCUUCGUUCUCCGAGUAUAUAUAAAAGUCUCUGUUUUUUACUCCAAAUAUAAUCUCAAGAAGCACGACUCCAAAGCUGAAAACAUCUGACUUUGUUGAAUAAGUUCCGUCCUCCGCGUAUUCGGGAGACAUAUAACCGCUUUGUCAAGAAACAAGAAACACAAUUGUGAGUUUUUGUAAAGUGUUUGCUUUAUUUCCAAAUGUAAAGAUGAUGCUGAUAAUUUGUUUGCUUACAAAGUUCCAACGAUCUUUGUUGUGUUAGCUGCUGUCGUACGCUUGUCGAAGAGUUUACUCAUCCCAAAAUCUGAUAUCUUCGGAAUCAUAUCUUGAUCAAGUAAUAUGUUGCUCGGUUUUAGGUCCCUGUGGACCAUCGGACGCCGCGAAUCUUGGUGAAGAUAUAAAAGUCCCCGAGAGAUUCCAUUAAUAAUUUGGACCCUCUUCUCCCAGGUUAGCUUAGAGCUUUGGCUUUUGUCUAAGAAAACCAAACUCACAUUAGUUUCUUUUCAAUAACUUUUAACCUUAAAAAAUACAACUUCUUAAACUGUGAGGCACUAACCGAAUAUAAACUUAUCGAGGCUAGAGUUUUCCAAGUACUCAUAUAUUAAAAUCAUCUCACCACCCUCAAAACAGUAUCCCAGGAGCUGGACGAGGUUGACGUGUUGGACACUGGCGUUCAGACUCAACUCAUUCUUAAAUUCAUCGAUACCUUGAGUUGACAUCUUCAACAAUCUUUUCACAGCGAUUUCUUGUCCGCCAAGUAACCUUCCCUGUUAUAUGUAUAUUAUAUAAAUUACACGGAAUUUACUGAACUAGUAGAUAUCUUAUGUGUAUAUAUAUGUUAAUCUACCUUGUAAACAAUACCAAAACCACCUUGACCGAUUUUAUUUGAAUCCGAAAAACCUUGGGUCGCCACUACAACUGUUUCAAGUGUCAUUUCCUCACAAUGUAAUUCUCCUGAUAUAGUCAUUAGAAGUAAAAAAUUACUUACUCAAGUGAAAAAAAAACAAUUUCCAUUCUGACACAAAUAUGAAGAGAAAAAAAAAAGAUAAUCACAAAUGUACCAAUAGGUGCGGUAAUUGCUUUUGUUGGCGGUCUCUUUUUUCUUUUCCAAACGCAGACCAUUAUAAUAAAACUUAGAAGAAGCAAAAUGACAACUCCGACAAUAAUAAAUAUUAUUUUUGUAUUAUUUUUUUUAUUUUUAUUUUUUCCUUCGUCCCCUGAAAAACAAGUAAAAAUGUCACAAAAUUUAUCACGUUAUUUAUGUUACAUGAUGAAUAUAUAUAUUUUUUAUGUCAUCACGUAAUCGUAUAUGAGUGUUUCGGUAUUUUCUAACCACAUCCGGCAUCCCAUGUAUUUUAUUUGCCACAAUAUACUGUUAUGUUACGUAAGUGUAUAUCUAUUUAUUAUUAUUCAUUUUUGAACAAUACAUCAUUUUUUAAUAUUAAAAAAAUCUUUUGUUUUAUGUGCUAAUUUGUUAAUAUAUCCUCACUCAAAAUUAAUUAUAACUCAUGCAUGUGCCUAAUAUUUUUUCUAUAUUUCAAUGGAAACAGUUUUUUUUUUUUUUUGUUGUUGUUGUGUGUUUGUGUGGAAUAUAUAACAAUAACUUCCGAUCCCUUAUUAUUAACGUAAAUCUUUUUAAUAUCUAAUAUGAGUUGUUUUAUCAACAUCCCAUAUCCAUUUUUCUUUUUGUUAAAGUAAACCAGCAGAGUUAUUGUAUAUCGUUCAAAAGUCAAAACCAAACUGUUUGGUUUGAUUAAGGAAUCGUGAUAUAUUAUUACUAGAAGCUAUUAUGAUGACAUGUAAGUUUUCUAAUAGAUGUAAAACUAUAGUCACUAAAAAACAUGUGUUAUGCAUCCUCGGUUUAAGGCUUAAUCGAAUAGAUUUAAACAAAAACAGAGCAAUGGCCGAAGUCUUGUCGCAAACCAAAGUAAUAAGUUUUUUUUUUAAAAUGAGGUGAUUAAUAUUAACAUUGUAAAAUUCUUUUAAGAAAUCAUUUUGCAAUGAUAAUUUUUCUGAAAAAUAUAUAACCUAUUUUAAUAUUUUUGAUUUUUAUAAAAUUAGUUAGAUUUGUAUGUAGUUUUUGGAGGGAGAAACUAACCGAUAUCAAUGGCUUCCAUCCUAAGUCUAACAUAAAGAUCUUGACCAGCAUUCUUGUAUUUCCGGAGAUCGAGUAGCUCUCCUACCCAAAUAACACAACCUGAUCCACCAUUUUCCAUAUUUGCGUUCGCGUAUGCUGUACAGUUGCAAGUCGCUAAGCACUUCUUCUUGCAUUCCUUCAACCCAAGUUUCAUGUCUACAAUUGACACUACUGUAUCUGGCAGCUUCAUGGUCUGCAACUUCAAGAAUUGAUCACCAUUGCACUUCGACUGUGUCUUCCGCACACACCCUUCUUUUUUAUCUCCUAGCUCCCAUGCUUCUUGAUGUCUCCCCUGAAACCCUUUGAUGCAGUUACAAAUUGGUGAUGUGUUUAUGUCACAGAGACCAUUAGGACCACACAUGUUGUACACAUGGCACAUAUCAUAUUUUUCUGGUAAUAAAUACCCUAUCCACUUCAAUUCCCCUGAAGUUGGGAUCCAUGUGGACCGGUUCAAUAUUCCGGAAUGGUCCAUCCUCAGUAUUGAGAAAACGUUACCGUUAGUUACGCUAAAUGAAUAGCUGAUUUCCUCACUCUUCAUAGUAAUGUUUUCGGUUCCGUGCGUCAAUUUUCCAAUCACGUUAAUGUCACUUACACUAUUCCACGGACCAAUUCGGAGUGAUGGCUCACCCUUUUCCCGUAUGUAGCUCUCAGGAGGCUCACGGAUUUCUACUUUGUAAGUGUAAUCGCCAGUUGAAGGAUCAUUAAUGCUUUUCCAUGAUUUUAGUAUCCUAUUUAGACCCGACUUCUUAUCCCAACCCAGUUUCAUAUCAGGGAGUAAUGUAUCCGUCGGAAAGUCGAAGCUUUGCCAUAAAAAUCCACUUGUCUCGUUGUUACUGGAGUAUCGCAAUACCAAGUUGCCAUUGUCAAGAAGCUCGGCGGUCAGGUCCGACUUCAGACUUUGGCCAGUCACAUUGGUUGACCAAACAGAGUUACUAGUAUGAUCAAAGAGAUGGAGGUUGUUACUGAAGAUUUUGAGUGUUCCGAUAGGCUUGGAGAGUGGAUUGUCUCUGUUGGCAACCCAAACAACUUCAUUAGGCAGCUUUCGGUACCACAUGCCAAGGUACCAUCGGUCACCAACACUGGAACUUGGGGCCGGUUUGAAAAAACCAAGCUCAAGAAUACUCUUUGGGGACGAGAUCUUGUUUUGGAUAGAUAUAUCGAAGGCAGCUGACGAUGAGAUUCUUGAAUUAUACACGGAGAAACCUUUGUGAAAUAAGACGAAUAAAAAUAAUACGAUCCUCAUCUUUUUCUUUUUUUUCUCUUUGUCUUCUUAAUCAGUUUCGUUCUUUCUUGUUUGAACAACUGGAUUCUUCUUAGAAUUAUAUAUUCUCUGGACAAUAAUUUAUUCUUUUUCAACACUGCUUGACUUUUACUACAAGCAUGCGUCGUUAGGACAAAGUUAAAUUUUCAACGGGACAUAAAUGAAACUAAAAACUACAUACAUGUGAGAUUAAUUUCUCCCACGGCAAACAUUGCAUAUGUGGAACUAGUUGUCAAUUUAAAUCCUAAUAAAGGUCCCCAAAUCUAUAGCACAUCAACUGCUGGAGGAUCGAGACUCGUUGAUGAAGUCCAUAAAACCGUUCAUUUUCCAUCAUUUAAACUAUUGUCGAAUAUGGGAAUUUUUGGUGUUGAAGUUUUAGUUUAAAUUGUCAUGUUUUAUUUGUUCCUAGUUUCUCUAGUGUUUUCAGUGUACCAUAAUUAAGUUUUUUUUUCCUUCCCUAUUAAACAAUUAUUAAAAUGAAAUUUUAUUUAUCUUCUACUUAUCUCUCCUAUUAUUUCUCACCCAUUUUAAGUGUUCCAUAGGCACUAUCUAUGGAUCACCUAGUAUUUUUAUCUUAAAAAAAGAAACCAAAAUUCUUUAUAUAGAACACUGAGGUGAUUUAUACACAUAAACUAUUUCAUCUAAAUAAAAGAAGCAGAAAGAUAAAGAAAAAUGGCCAGGAUUGCAAAUGGUGUUGGAAUCGUUGGUCUUUUAAUAAUUUUCAUGUUGAUUUGGGGAGGUAAUUUACAUUAUAAUAUGAAUCUAACCAAACUCUCUAUUGUUGUGUGUUUGUAUUCAUAACUAGAUCAUCACCCGUACUACAGUACGGGUUAAAUUUUAUUUAUUACAAAAUUUAUAAAUUGUACUCCCCACGGAAGAGUAAUAUAUUCUACAAAAAAAGCAUUCAAAUUUUUCAUAUUCAAAUAUGUAAAACAAAACACUUGUAAAUGAAAGCGUAAAUGCAAAAUUUAACUUUUAAAACAAUCCAAACCCAAAUCAUAACGAUUACUUUUUUAUUUAUUUUGUGAGUCAUUAGGAAUGCCAAAAGGAAAUGCUAAACAUUAUGAUCCUUAUUGUCGGAAGAUACCCAGCGUAUUAGCGGCACCUGGGAACUGCUUUAAAAAAAAUGGUAACGCAUUAUGUAAAGAGUCUUGCGUCAAUGAAAAAUUUCUGCAUGGCGCAUGUCUACAUCUACCGAAGCCACAGUCAAAACUCACAUGCCACUGCUGGCUUAAGGAUGCUAAAUUUUGUCCUUAAGCCUAAUCCUUCCAAACCUCGCGUCAAUAUAUUGAUACUAAGGGGAAUCUCAUCAACUUGCAUGCUUCUUAAUAUCGAUAACUGUAUUUUCUGUUUUGUUUUUUUAAUGAAUUGAAUAAUUCACUAUAAUAAAAAGGUGUUUUGCAUCUUAUUAACAUAUUAAUAUAUACUUAGUAUUAAGUCUCCUUUAGCUUAAUACUAUAUAUACUCUGUUGUAUGAUCACUUUAUGUUUAAUGAGAAAUUUCACACUUAAUUCUAAGUGUUAACAUGGUAUCAGAGCAAAAGCAUUUUCUCAUUCCUAUUUUUCCGGAAAGGUGAUUAACGGAAAACAGAAAUCUCCAUCUUCUUCUCACUACAGGAAAUGUGGGUAUUAAUAGCGGCCGAAAAACGCAAUUAUUCAUCUACCAUAGCGUUUCCUUAAGCGCUCUGACAUCGCCCGUUAUAGAAACUCGGACACUUUUGAUAGCGGUUUUGCGUUGUGCAAUAGUUAAGUAUACAACGAUAGCGUUUAUGACGCUGCUAUUAUUAAUAUUUAUAAUAACGUAUAAUAAUCGUUAUGAUUGGAUUGUAUCUAUUUUUAUAAUUUGUUUUUUCUGCAAUAUUUAUAUUUGAUUAAUUAUUUCAGUAAUUUUUAUUUUUUAUAAUAUUUGUAUUUUUGUUAAUUAUUUUAAUUAUAUUUAAAUCACAUUUACUGGAAUUUUUGGAUUAAAAUAACAUAUCAAAAAUAAAAUACAAUAUUUAUUAUCAUUAUUACAUAAAAUAAUAUACAAAAACUCUUAUAUAAAAAAAGUUUACACACUAAUUUGGCGUAAAACAAAAACAAAAAUUAAAAACUACAAUUUCUUCUGAAUAUUGCUUCGUCGACCUUUAACCAUCUCAAUUGCAGCUUGGUCAUUAACAUGAAACUGUAAAGACAAAACCAAUUAAAUCAUAAACAAAUAAGUCAAAUUAAAAAAAGAGACUGAAGGAAAUGAUAUAUAUAUACACUGUGAAGCGACACUAGCAAUAACCAAUAAUAAAGUGGAGACUGAUAAUGCUGAACAAUCACAGUUUAAUUAAGACUUGGAGAACCAGAGAUGUUAUCAGGUUUUUCGAUUUAAUGAAAACAAAGUAAGAAGAUUACCGGAGGCAAGUCCUGGUAGCUUCUUAGAGUAUCAAGAACGGGUUUUGCCAUCUUCUCCAAUUCCUUCCGGUGCUCUGCCAUUUCUACCAGCUCUCUGUGGCUGAUCUUAGGAGAGUAGCCAACACAAUUGAGUAACAUCUGCUAUCAGCAACCAUUCAUUUUGACUCUGUCAGGUUGUUUAAAGGAACCAAAUUCAGUCUUAGAGUCAAUAAAAGAAACCAAAACGAAAACUAACUAUAAACCAAACAAAGAGAAGAACAACAGCUUACACACUAACAGAAGAUGCAGCAACAAGAAGAUUCAAUAUGAAAAACGAAAGAGAAAUUGUAACAGAAGAUACAGCAACAAGAGAAGCAAAAGCACAAGCUCUAGAAACCAAUCAACCAAAACUAUAAAACCCAAUAAUCAUCAGAGCCAAUAUGGGUCAAGUAGAUAGCUUCUGACAAAGCUUUAUCAGUCCAUUUGUUCUUGUUUUGGAAGAAUUUGAUCACUUGUUGAGACAGAGUCAUCUGUGUUCAUAUGUAAACUAAUCUUACUUAAACAAAAGAAAUCUCCAGAUAUCACUAACGCAAAUUCAAAUGGUCCAUACAGAAACUUUACUUAAAGGCGAGAUCUAACAGAGAAAACUAAAAGCUGACCGUUUUGAGAGGAGAGCCGAGGACGGUGGCGUCGGCCAUAGCGAAGCUAGCUCCGUGAGAGAGAUCCUCUGCCGAGCUUCGUAGAAUCGGUGGGAUUCUUGGGAUACCCAUCAAUUCAGCUGCGCAAAACAGAGACAACACAAAUUCAUUCAUUUUGUUUCACGAAUUAGCACCGAUUUCAAGAGAUCAGUAUAUAUGAAAUGUACCGAGAUAGUCAGGAAUGAUGUGGCCAUCGGUGGAGAAUUGGCGUCGACAUGGUUCCCGGAGAGAAACUGCUUGUUGCUGGCGUCGUAGUAGCCGUCGCCAAAGACGAAGACCUAAUCUGAAUUAAUUUUGUUGUGAAUUUUGUUCUCAGUCGAUGUCGAGGAAAGGAAGAAAGGGUUGAAGAGAAUCUCGCCAAAGCCUUUGUUGGGCGAUGAACGGAUGAGAUUACCUUAAACAUGCAGCCGCCAAAGCCUUUGAAAGGCUGAGAUGUCGCCACGUCAUGUAUCCGAGUGAAACAUUAUGAUUGGAUUGAGUAAAUUGAUCAAGUAUUAGAUCCGAUGAAUGGCUGAGAUCUCGCCACAUCAGCAAUCCGAGUGAAACAUUAUGAUUGGCUUAUUUUGUUUAUAGGCAUAAAAAUGUGUUUUUACUAUUUAUAUAAUUUUAAAAAAUUAUAUAUUGAUGAAUUAAUAUGUUUAUGAGUUAUUUACAUGAUUAUAUAAUUUUUUCGCAAUUUAAAAAAAAUAUUUUGCAACGUUUUUAGAAAUUUGAAGGGAACACAUAUGAUUGCCUUAGAAUACAUGUACACUAAUCUUCUUAUUGUGUAAAUCAUAUUGUUGAAACACAUUAAUGAUGUUAUAAUUAAUAAAAUGAAAGAAUUCAUUUAUGUUAUAAUAGUAUACUACUUUAUAUCAUUAAUAUUAGCUACUAUUUAAAACACUAAACCCUAAACCCUAAACCCUAAACCCUAAACCCUAAACCCUAAACCCUAAACUAUUUUUAAAAAUGAAUUUUAUAUAUAUUAUUAUUUGUUAUAAUUAAUAUUAUUACUAUUUCAAACAAAUAUAAUCCAAAAACCUAAACCAUACAUUUCAUACCCUAAACCCUAUAUCCUAAACCCUAAACCCUAAACUCUAUACCCUAAACUCUUUAAAAUUAUAACUUUGUUAUUAUUUAUGUAAUUAUUAAUAUUAUAAUUAAAUAUUUAUGUCUUUUUGAGAUAUUUGGUUAUUUUUUUUUUUAACUUUUUUUUUACAAAAUUCGAAAAUCAUUUAAAAAAUCUUAAAAAAAUCUUUAAAAUCAUUUAACUUGAAACCUAAAGUAGAUGCCUUAAAAUAAUCAAUCUCAUAUAAAUAAUCAAUCUCAAAGAAAAUGGAGAACAAAAGAAUAUUGUUGGAAAUAUUUUAUUUACAAAUGAUAAGAGUAUACAUGUAACAGAGAUAUAUAAAACGAAAGUGGUGUCAUGAUCCUCUAUCAUAUCAUCAAUAGGAGGUUCUGAAUUCAGUAAGCAGAUACUCUGCUCAACUUGACAACAUUCUUCACUCUUGGUCCAGUGACCAUCAUCCUCAAGGAAGCUGUCGGCAGUAGGACCAAAUCUUUUGCAGACAAACUUAUAUUUGGACGUCAGCUUCUUGUAAGCAUUAUAGAGUUCUUUUCUUUUAUUUCUCUCAAUAGCUAACUGAGAUGAUUUCUCCAACAUUUCCCUCUCUGUCAAAUUGAGUUUACCCUGCAAAACCUCAAGAGCCGUCCUUAACUACAUCAGAGCUCAGCUAUAUCCGAUAAAAAUUUGACUACUAACUCAUUACACAUCCAUGGAAUCAACCAGCAAUCUAGCAUUGAUUAAAAAAAGACAAUGAUGAGAUAAUAUCAUUGGUCAGAAGAACUCUUUCGAAUAAUAGAUUGGUUGCUGGAAUAACAUAAAAGCUAACUCACUUUCAGGCCCUUCAAGCUUGUUCACGGCCUCUAGAAAAAGCUCAUGGAGCUCAGGACUCCAUCUCAUUCCUGGUAUGUGGUUAACUGCUGAUCCUGGAGAAGGCUCUACAGUAACAGACAUUGAUGCAGGAACACAGUUUUGGCCAUGAUUCACUUGGUAGAUCUCCUGCAAUCAGAACAAAAAAGCUAGCAAGUUAAGGAGAGAAACUCACUCUGAACAGUCUCAAGGGUAACAGCAAUCCAUGUGUCUCUCCAAGUUAACUUACAUCAAGUCUGGGGUUUCAGCACGGUCUGUGAUGCCUAACUCAAGCUCAUCAGACAAAAACUGCAGUUCCAAUUACUCUGUUAAGGAGAAGUUGUCAUUAGGACAUCCAAGGUCAAGAUCAGAAGAAGCGUCCCCAGAAAGAGUAAGCAAGGAGCUGUCUCCUCCAUCACAUGGAUUGCUUAGAAGAAAAUCCUCACUGAAUUGAGAGUAUCUUCCUUGUUCAUGAACAAGGAACAUGAAUCCUCCAGUACCUUCUGGGUCUGAAAGACCAAGUGGGUCGAAUCCAUAGCCUCCAGGUAAGCUGCAAGAAUCACAACAUCUCCACUAUUGAACAUCAUUAAGUUCGUAAAGCAAUCAAAGAUCCAAAACUUGUUUUAAAGAUUACUUGCCAUCUAAGUAAGUGAGACUCUGAGAGGAUGCAAACCACAAUGGUCUGUUUGCUCCUUGCUGAAAAACCAAAACACACAAAAUCAGGAUCUGGUUAACUAUUACAAUGCACAGAGAGAGGUAUAUAUGAGAGACUAGAGAAUGUCAUGUACCUUGACAGGUGGAGUUGAAGCAGCCUUAACAACAAAGGAAGUCUUCUUGUGUGACGCAGAACCAAGUGUCUUUUUUUGGGACUAAUAAUACUUGAGAUGUUACAAUUGUGAUUAGGGAGAGCAAAGGGUAAAGAGGAACCAGUGUUCCCUACCAAAACUUUGAUUCUUAAACCAAGAAAAACGAAAGAAGACAAGUUCUUAUUAGACGUUGAAUCCACGACUCUUUCACCUUCCUUUAGCUUUCUCAAACUUCUUGUUGGGGUCGGAUUUCACCCAUCCUUUGAGACCGAGCCAAACUUCAACACUUCGGGUUAUCCUGCUAGUCAGCUCGGGUUAUCCUGCUAGUCAGCUCGGGUACCCUGCCAGUCAAUCUGCCAGUCAGCUCGGGUACCCUGCCAGUCAAUCUACCAGUCAGCUCGGGUACCCUGCCAGUCAGUCUGCCAGUCAGCUCGGGUACCCUGCCAGUCAGUCUGCCAGUCAGCUCGGGUACCCUGCCAGUCAGUCUGCCAGUCAGCUCGGGUACCCUGCCAGUCAGUCUGCCAGUCAGCUCGGGUACCCUGCCAGUCAGUCUGCCAGUCAGCUCGGGUACCCUGCCAAUCAGUCUGCCAGUCAGCUCGGGUACCCUGCCAGUCAGUCUGCCAGUCAGCUCGGGUACCCUGCCAGUCAGUCUGCCAGUCAGCUCGGGUACCCUGCCAGUCAGUCUGCCAGUCAGCUCGGGGUACACAGUCAGUCAGUCUGCCAGUCAGCUCGGGUACCCUGCCAGUCAGUCUGCCAGUCAGCUCGGGUACCCUGCCAGUCAGUCUGCCAGUCAGCUCGGGGUACACAGUCAGCUCGGGGUACACUGCCGAGCCUUAUACUGCAGUUACCCCGAGGCAAAGUCUCAGUGCUACCCGAGGCUCAGUGCUACCCGAGGCAAAGUCUCAGUGCUACCCGAGGUGAAAUGUGUAUUGUUCCCGAGGCGAAGUCUGCAAAGUCACCCGAGGCGAAGUCUUUAGUGUCACCCGAGGCAAAGUCUUCAGAGUGACCCGAGGCGAAGUCUUCAUCAUCACCCGAGGCAAAGACUUGAUAAAUAUUCAUCUUCAAAGUAUCAUUUCCAAACAAGGCAUCAUUUCCGAAGGGUCAUUUCCGAUAAACCCGGAAAUGAUAAAGGAGAAUCACGAAGGAUCAACUUAAAUCAGGAAAUCUUCCAAAAACUCCGAAGAAUAAGGAAAUUAUCCUGAUCCGCGAUAUUCUACACCGACUUCAAGAUAAAUGGAAAUCUUCCGAGAAUAUCGCUGGAGAGGCGGUUUAUCACCCCUAUAUAAAGAGACUCAAGGCUCUCACAGGAGGGCAAGGAAUAUCGCUCUAGAAAUUACACUACGCAAAGCUCUCACAGCACAAACACUUUUUUCUUUUACGAUCAAACUCUUGUACGAUCAAAAUCGUCUUUUCAUUAAUAAUAUCAAGAACACCAUCUUUGGUAUCAAUCGUUUCUGUUGUUCUUUGAGAAUUCACGAUUGUCGUAUCCCUAAAAUAAAACCCUAGACAAAUCUUGAUUGUGUUAGUUUCGACCUCCACAGUUUGGCGCCGUCUGUGGGGAUACUUUAGAAUUCUCUUACCCUAAGAACGCAAGACUCGAAUACCAGAGAGGAUGGUGAACGAAGACUAUCGUCAGAUACCGCCAGCCGGAGGAGGGAAUCCCAAUGCUCUAAACCCUCAAAAUCCUCAAGCCGAUCCGACAAUCUUAGCAGCCCUAGCCGAACUAAAGGAUAUGAUGGUUAAAUUCCAGAAGAAAGCUGACGAUCAAGAGAAAGCUAACAAAACGUUGGCGCAGCAAGUCGACAAAAUCGCAACACGUGGGCAACAAAAAACCACGCGUUUCCAGACUCGGCCGCCACGAGCUCGGAGGGACUUCCCUGGCAUCAACCCAACAAGACUCACGUUCGCGACGCCAACCGACAACACCAGAGUCGCAACCCGAGCCGACCCUGCCAGGCGCGAGAACCAAGAUGAUCCCACCGAGCCAGACGCAGUGGACUUGACGGACGAGCCAGAUGAUCUGCAAGAUGAGCGUACCCGAGCCGGAGCUAACUCCGCCGAGCGAACAGAUCUCACUGACGAUGAAGAAACUGAGGAGAACAUAAGAUGGGCCGAAGAAUCCGAAAGGGAGGACGAGCUCAGCAAGAUCCGAGCCUCCCUAGCCAAGGCGGAAGCUGAUAUGAAGCUCGUCAUAACCCAGAUACAUAGCGUUUCAUCCUCUGCACCAAACAUCGACCGAAUUUUAGAAGAGUCUCGGAAUACGCCCUUCACCAAAAGAAUUUCCGAAACGACGAUGUCCAAUCUGGGGAAGUUCAAAAUCGACUCCUACAACGGAUCAACCGACCCGAAGUGUCACAUUAAAUCUUUCGUGAUAUCCGUAGCCCGAGCCAGGUUUAUGCCCGGGGAGAAGGAUGCAGGUCUAUGCUUGCUGUUCGUGGAACACCUCAAAGGACCCGCAUUAGAGUGGUUUUCUAGAUUGGAACGAAACUCGAUUGACAGUUUCGACGAGCUGUCGACACUAUUCCUCAAACAAUACUCCGUCCUCAUCGACCCCGGAACCUCCGACGCGGAUCUGUGGUCCCUAUCUCAACAGCCCACCGAACCAUUGAGAGAUUUCCUCACAACCUUCAAAUCGACGCUAGCCAAGGUCGAAGGAAUUACAGAUGUAGCCGCUCUUUCGGCUUUGAAGAAAGCUCUCUGGUACAAGUCAGAAUUCAGGAAAGAGUUGAACCUGUCUAAACCGACAACAAUUCGCGACGCGCUGCAUCGAGCCUCGGAUUUCGUCGCCCACGAAGAAGAGAUGGCGCUGCUAGCAAAGAGGCAUGAGCCAACAAAACAGGCGCCCCGAGCUGAGAAAACCGAGAAAGCCCAAACAGGACCGCUAAGCCAGAAGAAGCCGGAUCAGAGUGAAACGUACACGCACCACGAAGGGAACGUUUUCUCAGGAGCCCACAACUACCAAGUCGACGUAGGCCGUGGGCGAGGAAGAGAUUCAUUCACUUGGGCAAGAUGUCAACCCCCAGGUGACGAAAAAGAAUACUGCGAGUAUCACAAGACCAUCGGGCAUCACACUUCCAGAUGCAGGAGCCUCGGAGCAAUAUUAGCGGCCAAAUUUCUAGCCGGAGAGCUCGGGACGAACGUCACUCUUAAGGAUCUCGAGCCAGAGCCAGAGCCCGAGCAGACCAACCCGGGAAGAGACCCCGAACCAAGGAACCAGGAGUCUCAGAAAAGAACCCGGGGGUCGGAAGACGAAGACCGAGAUGGUACGCGGCAGAAGGUCCUUACCAUAAUGGGUGGAUCGCCAUACUGUCCUGACACCGUAGCGGCAAUCAAAGCUUAUCAACGCCGAGCCGAGACGCCUAGCAACUGGACAAGACGCUUCGAUCGACCUAACGACGUGAUCACAUUUGAAGAAAGCGAGACAAACAGGCUCGACAUGCCUCAUAACGAUCCAAUCGUCGUCACAUUAGCGAUAGGAGACCAUGAUAUUUACCGAGUAUUAAUUGACACCGGCAGCACUAUCGACGUAAUCUUUCGCGAAACGCUCCGACAAAUGGACAUCGACAUGUCACAGGUGAUUCCGAUCCCGAGGCCUGUCCUCGGAUUUUCAGGGGAAACUUUGAUGAUGCUUGGAACCAUCCAACUACCAGUCCGAGCCGGCGGGGUAACAAAGAUAGUCAAUUUCUCUGUCACAGAUCAGCCGACCAUCUACAACGCCAUUAUGGGCACCCCAUGGUUAAACCUAAUGCGAGCUGUCUCCUCGACAUACCAUCUCUGCUUGAAAUUCCCGACGCCUAACGGUGUGAAAACGAUAUGGGGAAGCCAAAAGAAUUCCAGGAUGUGCUUCAUGGCAGCACAUAAACUUCGAAACCUCUUCGCCAAAUCUAAAGUCGAGGUCAAUCAUAAAAAGGCGAAGAUUGGCCGAAGCAAGGAUAAGUACCUCGCGGAAAAGAAGGCGGCCGUAGAGAAGAAAGCUUUGGAGGCCGUUCUCGGAACUCUUGCUCCUCCCAAAGCGACUGAUGAGCAUGAGGUGGAGAUGACGAAUCCUAGCCCCAUUGCCGUCACAACCGGUCCCGAGGAGGCCGAUACUAUCUCAGUUGUGGAAACACCUCAGGAAAUACUACCACUAAAAACCUAAGGUACGCAUAAGCUUGAACUACGGGGUGGCUUGAUCCCCGAAAAGGGUACGUAGGCAGCUCGUCCUCGGACGAGUUCAGCUACCUCCCCUUAUCAAAAAGGGGGGGGAGAGUGGGGUCCGAAUAUCCAUACUCCCACUCAAAUUUUAUCAAUUAUAUGUUUCCUAUACUCCUAUUCAAAUUUUAUCAAACUAUAUUUCUAAGUAUACACUUCGGGUUUUUAUCCGAUCAAAUCCACCUCGGUCUUUACCCCGAAACUCGCCUCGGGAAAUCAACACGGUCUAAACUCCGUUCGGUUCGUUUGGGCGAUGGCCACGCCUGCGAACUAAAUUCAUCUACACCUCCACGGUUACAGCGCGCUAUAUAAGCAUUCGAGACAAUCUGGUCGAAGAUAUCCGACCAAAGAUAAAAUUGUCUUCAGAAACCCCAGUAAAAUCUUAACACUGGUGCCCCAGUUCGCUUCUAAGCACUGGUUAUCGAUUGAAUCGAAUCGGGUCGCGACCGUGAACGUUCAAAUCUUUCUGCUAAAACCCAGUUUAUCUUAACACUGGUACCCAUCUUUCGCUCCGGCUGCUAAAACCCAGUUUAUCUUAACACUGGUACCUAUCUUUCGCUCCGGCUACUAAAACCCAGUUUAUCUUAACACUGGUAUCUAUCUUUCGCUCCGGCUACAUAAUUCUUUUUUACUUAGGACAAAAAGAUGUUUCGAUACGGAAACUAUUCAAAAUCAUUGUAUUCUCUUCGAAGACAAGGAUCUUUGAAAAUAGCGUUUGUAUUUACUUUGCAAAAAAUACAACGACAAAGUCAUCCAUGCACAAUCUUACACUACAACCAAAAAAGAAGAAAAAGGACGGUUCUAAGAGUGCCGCCUUAGGUUCACUGGCGACUCGAAGCAGAAGUUAACAGCUCGGUCGACUCAUUCAUGAAGCUCGUCACACUUGCUCCCAAGUCAACGAGCUGGGGGGCUAACUGUUGGGGUCGGAUUUCACCCAUCCUUUGAGACCGAGCCAAACUUCAACACUUCGGGUUAUCCUGCUAGUCAGCUCGGGUUAUCCUGCUAGUCAGCUCGGGUACCCUGCCAGUCAAUCUGCCAGUCAGCUCGGGUACCCUGCCAGUCAAUCUACCAGUCAGCUCGGGUACCCUGCCAGUCAGUCUGCCAGUCAGCUCGGGUACCCUGCCAGUCAGUCUGCCAGUCAGCUCGGGUACCCUGCCAGUCAGUCUGCCAGUCAGCUCGGGGUACACAGUCAGUCAGUCUGCCAGUCAGCUCGGGUACCCUGCCAGUCAGUCUGCCAGUCAGCUCGGGUACCCUGCCAGUCAGUCUGCCAGUCAGCUCGGGGUACACAGUCAGCUCGGGGUACACUGCCGAGCCUUAUACUGCAGUUACCCCGAGGCAAAGUCUCAGUGCUACCCGAGGCUCAGUGCUACCCGAGGCAAAGUCUCAGUGCUACCCGAGGUGAAAUGUGUAUUGUUCCCGAGGCGAAGUCUGCAAAGUCACCCGAGGCGAAGUCUUUAGUGUCACCCGAGGCAAAGUCUUCAGAGUGACCCGAGGCGAAGUCUUCAUCAUCACCCGAGGCAAAGACUUGAUAAAUAUUCAUCUUCAAAGUAUCAUUUCCAAACAAGGCAUCAUUUCCGAAGGGUCAUUUCCGAUAAACCCGGAAAUGAUAAAGGAGAAUCACGAAGGAUCAACUUAAAUCAGGAAAUCUUCCAAAAACUCCGAAGAAUAAGGAAAUUAUCCUGAUCCGCGAUAUUCUACACCGACUUCAAGAUAAAUGGAAAUCUUCCGAGAAUAUCGCUGGAGAGGCGGUUUAUCACCCCUAUAUAAAGAGACUCAAGGCUCUCACAGGAGGGCAAGGAAUAUCGCUCUAGAAAUUACACUACGCAAAGCUCUCACAGCACAAACACUUUUUUCUUUUACGAUCAAACUCUUGUACGAUCAAAAUCGUCUUUUCAUUAAUAAUAUCAAGAACACCAUCUUUGGUAUCAAUCGUUUCUGUUGUUCUUUGAGAAUUCACGAUUGUCGUAUCCCUAAAAUAAAACCCUAGACAAAUCUUGAUUGUGUUAGUUUCGACCUCCACACUUCUUUCCCUUCGACCUAACAUAUGGCUUAGAGUGAUUGUGUGGCAAACCCAUGACUUCUCCAUAUUACCAAACACAACACAGCUCCUCGACCAGUUAUAAACAAUAAAAAUUCAAUUGAUCAGACAUUCAAGUUACUAACAUAUUCAAUCUCCUUAACAAACAUGGCCGAACAAAAAUAGAACAACAAGGAGAGAAAGGAUUCACAAUCUUACGAUUAAGCUCAAGUCUUCUUGGACAAAGGAUUUGUAGAAUCAAUUACUCAUGGAAACAAGUCGAAUUAGAAAACGUGAACCAAAAAAAUUAAAAAUCCCUAAGUAAUACUUUUAGCCAAAUCUGACCCAAAAAUCUGCAAAAAUCAGAGAAGUUUUGGAGAGGAUUAGUAUAUGUGAAACCCAAAUUAACCAAAAAUAACCCUAAAUCGACAUUGAAGAAGAGAUAAAUGGAAGAGGGGAGUCAAGAUUGAAGAAGAGACAUGGAAGAGGGGAGUCGAGAUUGAAGAACACAAAUCGAUACAAACCUAUGAAAGUGGAUCGGAAUAACGACGACGGCGGCGGAAUAACGACGGCGACGGACGGCAAAGAGAAAGAAAGCUUGGGCACGAUCGAGAAGAAAGCUUCGGCACUAGAGAGAAAUAAAGAAAGCUGGGGAAAGUUUUUUGUUUUUUUCUAAGUGUUUUGGCUUUUUGCCAACACAAAAAUUAAAACAAGCGGGCAACUAAAAAUUUAUUCCCGCUUAUAACAUAUUAUAACACUAAACGCUAUAAAAAAGUAGUGUGUACCUCAUUUAUAGCAGAAAAUUAAAAAACGCUAUAUUUAAGUGCUAUGGUUGUUCACAUUUCUUGUAGUGUCUUCUUCGCAAAAUUUAUUCAUCGAUCUUCAAUUCAUCAUCAUCUUCAUCAUCCUUCAUCAUUUUAUUCAUCGAUUCAUUAAUUUUUCAACUCAACGAGCUCAUCGAACAUCGACUCGUUGUUCUUCACAUUUCUUCACAUUUCUCGCAUCAAUCUUGAUCACUUUUCUUGGAAUUCAUUCUUCCGCUACUCGAAUCAACUUCGUUUCUCUCGAUCGAUCUCAUCUUGAUCAAAUCUCGAUAUGUUUCAAAGUUUUUGUGAUGAAUUCUGGUGAAUCUUCACGUCAGACGAUGGAUCAAUAUGAUAAUCCAUAUUAUCUUCAUAACUCCGAUCAUGCGGGUUUGGUUUUGGUGUCAGAUCGCCUCGCAACAGGUGCAGAUUUUCAUUCUUGGCGACGAUCAGUACGCAUGGCGCUCAAUGUGCGCAAUAAACUUGGAUUUAUAGACGGUACAAUUCUUAAACCAUCUGAGAAUGAUAGAGAUUUUGGAUCAUGGUUCGUUGCAAUGAUAUGGUAGCGACUUGGCUUAUGAACUCUGUUUCGAAAAAGAUUGGUCAAAGCUUAUUAUUCAUAUCUACGGCUGAAGGAAUUUGGAAAAAUUUGAUGUCACGAUUCAAACAGGAUGAUGCUCCUCGAGUAUAUGAGAUUGAGCAAUGUUUGAGUGUUAUUCAACAGGGAUCUUUAUAGAUGUCAGUGCAUAUUAUACUGAGUUGGUUACCUUAUGGGAAGAGUAUCGAAACUAUGUGGAACUUCCCUUAUGCACUUGUGGAAAGUGUGAGUGUAAUGCUGCUGCUCUUUGGGAAAAAUUGCAUUAGAGAAGCAGAGUAACAAAGUUCUUAAUAGAUCUAAAUGAGUCCAAUGAAGCUACUCGCAGGCAUAUCCGCAUGUUGAAUCCUAUUCCGACUAUUGAAGAAGUUUUUAAUAUGGUAACUCAGGAUGAACGUCAGAAGAAUAUCAAACCAAUGUCUAAGAAUGACAAUGUGGUGUUUAAUACUUUGAAUAAUACUCAGUCUGCAGUUGGUAAUGCACUGAACCAGCAUCCUUAUUUUGGUUAUUAUGAUGGAAGUGCACAAACCAAAAUCGAUGGAGAUUACGAACCAAAAUCGAAAUAUGAUUAUGGAAAUAUGGUGGAUUCGUAUAUCCGAGUUUAUGAUAUUUAGCAUUAUCUCUAAAUAUAUUAUUUAUAUUUAGUUUAUUUUAACUUAGAAAACUUAGUUUUAUUCCAUAUUUUUAUAUAAGAGAAUGUGUCUUGUAUCUUUAUUCUUAUGAGAAUCUACUAUAAUUCUUUCUAUCGUACUAUAAAAAAAAAGAACAUGACGACGUUGAUGUCAUCACCACUACAAAGAUGACAUGGCCAAACAAUACAGCUUGAUACGAAGAUGUCCGGCCAAGACUUGUAAUUGAAAAUUGUUGGAAAUAGAAAACUACGAUGAUGUAUUCUCUAUGUGGCUCUCCAUUAACUAUAAACAUGAUGAUGACCCAAGACCGGGGUAUAAACGUCGACGGCCUAACGGUUAGGUAUUGUAAUAACUUUGACCCUACGAUCGGUAUAAACGUCGAUGACCUAACAGAUAGGUACUAUAGCCGAUUUGACCCUACGACUCGAUUUGACUCGACGGAAAGGUAUAAUGCCGUUAUUUUGAAGAUAUGUCCAAUCUCACAUGUGUUACCAUGUAUGCGCUUGCCAGGGUAUCAGUGUACCAUAAUUAAGUUUAUCCUUUUCUAUUUUGGUUUUUUUUUUUAAUUUUCUUCCCUAUCAAACAAUUAAUAAAAUGAAUUAUUAUUUAUGUUAUAUUUAUCUCUCCUAUUCAUUCUCCCCUCAUUUUAAAUAGGCAUUAUCUAUGGAUCACCUAAUAUUUGUUUUCUUAAAAAGAAACCAAAAUUCUUUAUAUUAGAGCAAUCAGAUGAUUAUAAACAUAAACUAUUUCAUCUAACUAAUGUAAGCAGAAAGAUAAUGAAAAAUGGCCAGGAAUGCAAAUGGUGUCGGAAUCGUUGGUCUUUUAAUAAUUUUCAUGUUG